GCUUUGAACAUCAGCUUUCCAAUCUUGUGGCGGACGAACUUGAUGUCGAAGCCGGUAGUAAACUCGGACCUAACAUCGGUGGAGCAACAUCCUGUACCGUUGCAGUCCUGCCUGAGGCUGGCCACCUUGUCCGUGAUGUCUUCGUCAGGGCAUGUAGAAUUGCACUGACCCACCGUCUUGUUCGUAUCGUGAUCGAGCACAUACAUGUCGAAGUCGCAACCAGUGAAGUUUAAUUGUAAAGAAUAGCCACCGGGAGAUCUCCCAGGAUUCCAUGAGAUGCUGUAUGCAUCCUCGUCAGGUCUCACGUGGACGGAUUCGGAAAACGAUACCUCAAUAAUUUGUCCGGCAUAGUCAUCGCCGGGUUUGAUGUCAUCGACGACCUCGGUGAUGCCGUCGUGCAGGAAGAGUCUGGGGGGCUGCGACACAUCGUGGGUUCUGUUGCAGAAGAGCUCAAAGUCUCGCCGCGGCGGCCGGAAGCNNNNNNNNNNACCCGGCCCUAUGCCGAACGGGUAGUCGAAGCUGAGGUUGCCACACCUCUUCUGACAGCCGGCCAGGGAGGGAAGAUCACUCCUGUUCCCGGCCUGGCUUCCUUGCACGCCAGCGGAUGCUCGCACCGUUGCCAUCCAUAGCAACAGCGGCGCGACCAAGCAGAGGCUCCUCAUCGUCUUCAUCACAGUAUUUGUGGGAAAAUGGUGUAUUAAGCUUUAGGUGUCUCGCUGCUUUAGCUUCCAGCAUUGGUACUCUUGCAUAUUUAUGUACCUGUCCAGUAUCACCAUUUUCAAACGGAAUUACACGUUCCGUCGCUGUUGUGGUGGAAAAAGGACAGACAUUUUCCGAACUUGAUUUUGUAAGGUAGGGAACGUCUUUGAAGAGUUCAGCAUGCAUGCAAACUAGUAUAUCAGCAAAGGUUAUUUUAAUGUUGAAUUUUUAAAAAGUUUUAUCUUUUAAACUAUAAAUCCAAUUGACGAUCCGUUUUCACCGUUAGCUUUCUCGCAAGAGAUCUUUAAAACUAGAUCCCAUGUCGACAUGUUUCGACAAUAUUUUUUUUCGUCGAUAGUUGUCAGAUUACUAUUAUUUAGUUGUUACAUUAUGAGACACUUAGUAGCCACAUUUAAUUAACUUAGUUGUCAACUUGGCAACCGUGUGUAUAGAUUUUUGGCAACUACGCUUGCUUAAACCCGACGACCAUGUUUGACAAAUGAUUGUUGCCUUGUAGCAAUUUGCAUUAUACAUGAUAUAAACGCAUGUCAUAGUUUUGAUUUGUCAAUUUAAAUAUGUCAACUUGUCAUAUUUACAUACAACUUUGCUAGAAUUUUUUGUGCAUGUUUUCUAGUUUAACUGUGCCGACUUGUCAUAUUUACUAACAAUUAUCAAAAACAAAAAAGAUUUCUUGUGGUCGUCGGUUUUAAAUAUGGUGAGUUGUCAUAUUUUUGCACGUUAUCGUUUCAAAAAAGUUGUUUGUGCUUGUCCAUUCGAUUAUGUCGAGAUGUCAUAUUUAUACGCAAUUUUUAAAAAAUAUGGCGAUUAAGUUACUUUAUCAGACAAAUAAGUACUUACUAAUAUGACAAGUAAGUGCAACAAAUGUGGUAAGUACGAGAAAAAAAAUGUUGUCAAAACAUAUCGACAUGGGAUCUAGUUUUGAAGAUUUCGUCGAAACAAAGUUAACGACGAAAACGGAUCAUCGACCGAAUUAACGGUUUAAGAGAUAAAUUUUUUUAAAUUCUGACCAUAGAAACGAAAUCUAAGGUGAGCCCGCUGCAUGGGAGCACCCGCGUACGCACGCUUCUCUUUAGAUUUUUCCAACAAUAAAAUACAAAGCAUAUAAAAAGUGAGUAAAAAUUAUAGCUAAAAUGUAUUUUCUAACCAAAUAUGGAGGAUGAACUCUAAUGCAAAAAACUACUUAUGACUAAUAUACAUGAAUUGAUGAUGUGAAACCAUUGCAUGCAUAGAAAAAUGCAAAAAAUUUAUAUCUUGCAUCGCAUACUUACUUACGUGUCAUGAUUGCAUGGCUAGAAAACUUAGGUACUGGGUUGUAGUUAUUUAGGAAUAGAGAAUUCGCAGACGAUUGUCUUAUUUUUCAAUGGAACACAUACAUUAUUUCAAUUAUCCUGGCAGCACGGCAAACAUCUCUGGCAACCACAAUUCUUACAUCAACGGGUAACAUCUUCCAGCUGCCAAAUGGCUCUCUCUAGAACAAACAAAAACCUCCGACAAGGAGGAGCUGAUCGUCCAUAGCCAACCCAACGCCAUGGAUACAACCAGCACUGCCAUAGCAUGCAGCAUGCAUGCCGCCAGGAUCUUUUCAUAUCCUCUUGGGGCGAUCGAGCAACAGGUCUGUUUUUGCUGGUAUAUAUUGAUCCGGAUUCGGAUGCUCAAGUGGUAUUUAGAAUAUUUCAAAAAAUGGGACAUCCAACUACAAGGAAACAGGGGUCUUUGGCAUUAGUGUCAAGACAGAUAGAUUGAUGCGGCAUGGUUCCAGCGGUGUUGCGAAAUUAGACUAGACAGGCAGAGCUGCUUGCAUCGUAGAAAUAAAUCGGUGUCUUAUGUUAUUAUUGUUGCAGGAGAGAAAAUUAGGAGCUAGCAUAGAGAUAACACUAGAAGAAAAUAAUGCUUUGGUUCUGGCCAGAUAAAAGCAACAGUCUCAGUUGUACUAUCAACGGAGAUUAAUGGAAGCAUCAGUCCUGAUUCGAGCGGUUACGCCGGCCGGGCCUCUGUUUACCUCUUGUGAAGUCCUAGCUAAGCUAGCAGACGAGAUUAGACUAGUCGUCGUCGAUCGAUGACCGAUUAGCUAGCCAGUCCAUGCAUUGCUAUAGAUAUAGAAAGCAGUACACAUCUUGGGCGCCGGCCGGCUUGACUUCUCGGUGAUUAUGUUGAUAGAUACAGCUGAUUCCACAACUAGUUAACAUCACCACUAACUCUGAUAGAUCCGUGACAAGUUAGCUCGAACUGGGGAGUAGCUUAUAGUCUAGAAAAGGAGACGAGAAAACAACUCAACCAAGGGAAAGGUGCACGCAAUGCGACACGCAUGCAAUCAAAAGGAGAGAAGACAUGCCAGCCACUGCCAUAUCAGGGUCCAACACGGUGCGGGUUUUUUUCCACUGUUUUGACCCACCACUAGUGGGGACAGGGUCUAUAGCCCCGGCCCGUAAGGGCUUUAGUCCCGGUUCACCAACCGAGACUAAAGGGGCAGGACUAAAUGCCUAACCUUUAGUCCCGGCCCUGUUCCAAGCCGGGACCAAAGGUGUUCCACAUGGACGUCUCAGAGCACCCUCAGGGGCAGGCCCUUUAGUCCCGGGUCUUUACACGGACCGGGACUAAAGAGUUUCAGAUUUUGUUUAUUUUUGGGUUUAGGGUUUUAGGAUUUAGGUGUUCGGGAGAAUAACGUGAUGCCUCGUUUGGUGUUCGGGAAUUAGUUUUCAUAUAAUUANNNNNNNNNNNNNNNNNNNNNNNNNNNNNNNNNNNNNNNNNNNNNNNNNNNNNNNNNNNNNNNNNNNNNNNNNNNNNNNNNNNNNNNNNNNNNNNNNNNNUCAGAUGAAAAUGCAAGUGACAACACUAAGAUUUUUUCACUAUCAGAGUUAGAAAAGGCAACAAAUGAUUUUGAUCCCACGCGUAUCGUUGGUCGUGGAGGGCAUGGCAUGGUUUAUAAAGGCAUCUUAUCCGAUCAACGGGUAGUGGCCAUAAAGAAGUCUAAAGUCAUUGAGCAAGUUGAGAUAAGCCAGUUUAUCAAUGAGGUUGCAGUCCUUUCCCAAGUAAAUCACCGGAAUAUUGUGAAGCUCUUGGGUUGUUGUCUUGAGACCGAAGUCCCACUGCUAGUGUAUGACUUCAUCCCUAAUGGUUCGUUAUUUGGAAUCCUUCAUGCCAGUACCACUAGCAGCUCUAUCUUCUCCUGGGAUGAUUGUUUGAAAAUUGCUGCGGAAGCUGCUGGAGCACUGUAUUACCUCCACUCAGCUGCUUCGGUAUCGAUAUUUCAUCGUGAUGUGAAGUCCACUAACAUACUAUUAGAUGGAAAUUACACUGCAAAAGUAUCAGAUUUUGGUGCUUCAAGGUUAGUUCCUAUUGACCAAACUCACGUUGUUACAAAUAUACAAGGCACAUUUGGAUACUUGGAUCCAGAAUAUUACCACACGUGUAUGUUGAAUGAGAAGAGUGAUGUCUACAGUUUUGGUGUAGUACUUGUAGAGUUGCUGCUCAGAAAGAAGCCUAUUUUUACAAGUGACUCUGGGCUAACGCAAAACUUGUCCAACUACUUUCUUUGGGAGAUGAGGGAGAAACCACUUGCAGAAAUAGUAGCUACUCAAGUUCUCGAGGAAGCAACAAAUGAAGAGAUAAAUGAUGUUGCCAAUCUUGCGGAGACUUGCUUGCAACUACGAGGUGAAGAGAGACCUACAAUGAAACAAGUGGAGAUGAAAUUGCAGUAUGUGCGAUCUAGAAGGUUGAGAUCAUCUCAGGUUGUUCUGAAAAAUGAAGGCAUGCAACCCUUGUCAAGUGGACAAAGCCAAGACACUCUUCCGCUGUUGACUACUCCGAGUGGUAGAGUAGACCGAUUUAAUAUAGCUUCUCAAAGGAACCAAAAUUGCUACAGCUUGGAGCAAGAGUUCAUGGCAUCGGCGACUCUCCCGCGCUAGCUGAUCAUGUUCUCAACAUUAAUGUGUGGUUGUCUGCCUUUUUUAUUGAAGAGCUAUAUUAUUUUUUUGUCGUUUGAUGGAGAGGGUAAAGUAUAGUCUGUAUAAUGCAGUAAAUAAUGUCCGGUUUAUCGUAUUCAGAUUGAAAAAGUUCCAUUCUUGUUAUUGCCCCAAAAAAAGUGUAGUGCUACGGAUCUACCAUAUUAUUAUGUCUGGACCUGACGGUUGGGCAUUGUAAAUUGUAACAUCCUGAUUUUCGUGGGUUAAAACAAUUAAAAGAAACGGACACCAUGGUUGUUUAAAUGAAGUAAUGUAUUUUAUUUGGAGUAACCCAAAUAAAUUCAAAAAAUAUAUUAAUGCAUGAAUGUAAUGCCACUGUUAAAUUGUGAUUCAAAUUCUAUCGUAUUGAACUAGACGUAGUACAAACGGUGUUGGUACCAACGCGUACGAGUACAACUCGUUUACUUGUCCUUCAAGGACUCUCAUGUAUUGUCCCUCAUAUAUACUCUAUGUAGUCGCAUCUAAAGACGGCAUGUCAUCUCGUGCUUGUAAUACUCCACCCUCAUAGUGAUUGCGCCUUCAUGCGUCCGUGGUUUUCUUCCGCAAGGGUUUUCACGUAAAAAUCCGUGUCUCUUGUGUCUCCUUAAUCUCGUUUUAUCUAACAAGUGGUAUACAUAGCAGAGGUUCUACACAUACGAUAUUUGGGACGAGAGCUAGGGUUCGGCAUCGUGUGAGCCGCCACCGACACGACCUGACGAUCCGAAGCCAGAUCGAUUACGGAGCCGAGUUCGACACGCUGCUGCAGUUGUCGUACGCGGCGUAGUAUAUAUCUGCGAGUUCCGCUGCCGUGCACAGGAUACAAGUCUUGAUCGAGGGUUUCGGCGGCAAGUGCCCUUACCAGCCUUCGCUUUCUCGCAUCGCCGCGUGCUGUACAAGCUGCAAGUCGCCGAGUUCCAUCGCUGAUCAAGCUCAAGUCCCGAGGAGAUCAAGUAUCGCUGCGCUGCUACUUCCCAGCCACAGAGCACCAUCCAUCAAGCAAAGUUUGUGCACUAUUUUGACGUGGAGAUACCAACCGCUCGUGAAGACUAACUAGUAGUUCGACUUUGUUUCUUUUUUCUCCAAUUGCUACGUCUACAUCCGAGACAUACUACCAGGUGCUAUUUAUCCUAUUCCGUUUGAUCCGUAAAUUAAUUCUAUCAAGAAUUUUUCUACCGGCUUUUACUACUUUGUGUACACAGAUUUAUUUACUCAUGGCAUCCAUGAAGUAUGAUCUUCCGUUGCUGGACCGUGACACAAGGUUUACCCUAUGACAAUUCAAGAUGCGUGCGUUAUUGGCACAGGCCGACUAUGAUGAUGCACUGGAUAGUUUUGGAAAGAACAGAAUUGAGGACUGGACUGCUGAUGAGAAAAGAAGGCAUCGUAAGGCUUUGUCACAAAUUCAACUCCAUUUGCAUAAUAAUAUUUUGCAGAAAGUUUUGAGCGAGAAAACUGCCGCCGCUCUAUGGUUAAAGCUGGAAGGGAUUUGCAUGACAAAAGAUCUCACCAGCAAGAUGCAUUUGAAGCAAAAAAUAUUCAUGCACAGGUUACCCGAGGGAGGUAAUGUUUUGACUCAUAUUUCAGAAUUUAAAGAGAUCAUAUCCGAUCUAGCUGCAAUGGAGGUUACGUAUGAUGAAGAAGAUACUGCUUUAAUGUUACUUUGUUCGCUGCCAAGUUCUUAUACCAAUUUUCGAGACACCAUAUUAUAUAGUCGUGAUACUCUCACGCUAAAUGAAGUUUAUGAAGCUUUGAACUCUAAGGAGAAGAUGAAAUUAAUGGUGCCUCAUGAUGGUUCAAGUUCAUCCCAAGCCGAGAGAUUAUCUGUUCGUGGCAGGACAAAGGAGAAGAACUCACAUAAUAGAAACCGUGGCAAAAGUAAGAACGGCCAGAGGGGCCGGUCGCAAUCCAGAGACAAGAAGCAGUCUUGCAGGUAUUGCAAGAGAGACGGGCAUGACAUCUCAGAAUGUUUCAAGUUGCAGAACAAGGAAAAGAGGAAUGGUACGUAUAAACCGAAAGGUAACAAACAAGGUGAAAAUUCUGCUAAUGUUGCUCGUGAUGAAAGUUCCGAUGAUGCUCCUGUUGUUAUUGCUGGAUGUGUUGAGACCAAUGAUGAGUGGGUACUUGACACUGCGUGUACUUUUCAUAUGUGCCCGCAUAGAGAUUGGUUUACUACUUUUGAUUCUACUACUGCUGCUGGUUCCGUUUUGGGUUUUGAUAAUUCACCAUGCAAGAUUGAAGGCAUAGGUUUCAUUCGAAUCAAGAUGUUUAAUGGCACAAUCAGAACUUUGACAGAUAUUCGGUAUAUUUCGAAGAUGAAGAGAAAUCUUAUCUCUGUGAGUGCCCUUGAUGCAAAGGGCUACAAGUAUUCAGGUGGAGAUAGCGUUUUGAAGGUCACCAGAGGUUCUCUCAUUGUGAUGAAAGGUGACUUAAGUUCGACCAAUGGUCUUUAUUACCUUCGAGGUUCUACCGUUUCAGGUAACGCUACUCCAGUUAUUUCAAAGAAUUCUGGUUGUGAUGCUUCUAACCUUUGGCAUAUGUGUCUUAGACAUAUGAGUGAACUUGGGUUGGCAGAGUUAAAUAAGAGAGGUCUUCUCAAAGGAUACCAAACUGAUAAAUUGAAAUUUUGUGAGCAUUGUAUCUUCGGCAAGCACAAGAGGGUGAAGUUCAACACUUCCACUCAUACAACUGAAGGUAUUCUUGAUUAUGUGCAUUCUGAUUUAUGGGGACCAUCUCGCAAAAAUUCACUAGGUGGUGCUAGUUACAUGUUGACUAUUAUUGAUGAUUAUUCGAGAAAGGUUUGGCCUUAUUUCUUGAAGCAUAAAUGGCGAGCUUUCUCAGCUUUUAAGGAGUGGGAGAUUAUGAUUGAGAGACAAACUGAAAAGAAGGUAAAAAUACUUCGCACUGAUAAUGGUAUGGAAUUCUGUUCUAAGCAAUUUAGGAAUUAUUGCAAGUCUGAAGGCAUUGUCAGACACCACACCGUUCCUUAUACUCCUCAAUAAAACGGUGUUGCUGAGCGUAUGAACAGGGCCAUUAUUUCCAGAGCCCGUUGCAUGUUGUCCAAUGCAGGUUUGCAUAGGCGUUUUUGGGGUGAGGCCGCUUCCACUGCUUGUUAUCUCGUCAACCGUUCACCAUCUAUUCCUCUUAAUAAGAAAACUCCAAUUGAGGUAUGGUCUAGUUCACCUGCUGAUUAUUCACAGUUGAGAGUUUUUGGUUGCACUGCUUAUGCUCAUGUUGAUAAUGGGAAGUUGGAGCCUAGGGCUGUUAAGUGCAUCUUUCUUGGUUAUAAAUCUGGUGUUAAAGGUUUUAAACUGUGGAAUCCUGAAACACAAAAGAUUGUUAUUAGCAGAAAUGUUAUCUUUAAUGAAUCUGCUAUGUUACAUGAUGUUCCAUCUACUAAUGUUCCUCUUAAGUGUGAACAGCAGUCUACUGUUCAGCAGCCUAUUGUUCAGGUGGAGCAUGUUAUCGAUUCAGGUGAUACUUCUGAUAAGGAAAAUGUUGAUGCACAUGAUGAACCCGUCUUUGAUGAUGAAAAUGUCACUCCAAAUCAGCCUAUUGUUCCACCCAGUUGGAAUCUUGCUCGUGACAGAGUUAGGCUGGGUAUUAAUGCACCUGAAAGGUUAAUUGAGGAGUGCAAUAUUGUUUCUUUUGCUUUAUCUGUUGCAGAAGAAAUUGAAGGUAAUGCUGAGCCUUCUUCAUAUUCUGAGGCUAUUAUUUCUGGUGAUAGUAAUAAGUGGAUGACUGCUAUGCAUGAUGAGAUGGAAUCACUUGAAAAGAAUGGCACUUGGGAUUUAGUAAGAUUACCUAGAGAGAAGAAACAUAUUUGUUGAAAGUGGGUUUUCAAAAUAAAGGAAGGUGUUUCUCCUAAUGAUGAGGCAAGAUAUAAAGCAAGGUUGGUUGCUAAAGGUUAUAGCCAAAUUCCAGGUAUUGACUAUAACGAAGUCUUUUCUCCUGUUGUGAAGCAUAGCUCUAUUCGCACUUUACUUAGUAUUGUUGCCAUGAAUGAUUUUGAGCUUGAACAAUUGGAUGUUAAAACUGCAUUCUUACAUGGAGAAUUAGAAGAGGAUAUUUAUAUGGAACAACCUGAAGGUUUUGUUAUUCCUGGAAAACAAAAACUUGUCUGUAAGUUAAAGAAAUCUCUUUAUGGAUUGAAGCAAUCCCCUCGACAGUGGUACAAGAGAUUUGACACAUUUAUGCUCUCUCAAGGUUUCAAUCGGUCUAAUUAUGAUAGUUGUGUUUAUUUGAAAACUGUCAAUGGUUCAGCUAUUUAUUUUCUCCUUUAUGUUGAUGAUAUGUUAAUUGCUGCAAAGAGCAUGUCAGAGAUUGAUGAACUAAAGAAGCAAUUGAGUAAUGAAUUUGAGAUGAAGGAUUUGGGUGCAGCAAAGAAAAUACUUGGCAUGGAAAUAUCCAGAGAUAGACCAUUUGGAAAAUUACAUCUCAGUCAGAAGGGAUAUAUUGAUAAAGUUCUUCGUCGUUUUAAUAUGCAUAAUGCCAAGCCAGUAAGUACUCUGUUAGCUGCACACUUCAAAUUAUCAUCAGCCUUAUGUCCUGAGUCAGAUGCAGAUAUUGAGUACAUGUCUAGAGUUCCCUAUUCGAGUGCAGUUGGUUCACUUAUGUAUGCCAUGGUUUGUUCUCGUCCGGAUUUAUCUUAUGCACUGAGUGUUGUUAGUAGAUACAUGGCUAAUCCUGGAAAAGAGCAUUGGAAAGCAGUUCAGUGGAUUUUCAGAUACCUGCGAGGUACUUCUAAUGCUUAUUUACAGUUUGGGAAAACUGGAGAUGGACUUGUUGGUUUUGUUGAUUCUUAUUUUGCUGGUGAUUUGGAUAAGAGAAGAUCGCUCACAGGUUCUGUUUUCACCAUUGGUGGUUGUUAUGUGAGUUGGAGAGCAACUUUGCAGUCUAUUGUGGCUUGUUCCACUACUGAUGCCGAGUAUAUGGCUAUUUCUGAGGCAUGCAAAGAAGCUAUCUGGUUGAGAGGUUUGUAUACUGAGCUUUGUGGAGAUUCAUCUUGCCCUACCAUAUUUUCUGACAGUCAAAGUGCUAUAUAUCUUACAAAGAAUCCAAUGUAUCACGAGAGAACAAAACACAUUGAUGUCAGAUUUCACUAUGUUCGAGAUGUUGUUGCUAAAGGUGAUUUGAAGGUAUGCAAGAUAAGUACUCAUGAUAAUCCAGCUCAUAUGAUGACAAAGCGAGUUCCUACCAAUAAGUUUGAGCUAUGCUCAGGCUUAGUUGCUAUUUCUCACUAGUCCUAUGGAGUUUGACGCACAAGGUGUUUAUGCUGAUUUGGAUGGAGUUAUUCACUUUCUUCGACUACUGGAGGGAAUUUGUCUCAAGGUGGAGAUUGUUAAAUUGUGAUCCAAAUUCUACCGUAUUGGACUAGACGUAAUACAAACGGUGUGGGCCUUUGCGUUGGUACCGACGCGUACGAGUACAACUCGUUUACUUGUCCUCCAAGGACUCUCAUGUAUUGCCCCUCAUAUAUACUUCAUGUAGUUGCACCUAAAGACGGCAUGUCGUCUCGUGCUUGUAAUACUCCACCCUCAUAAUGAUUGCGCCUUCAUGCGUCCGUGGUUUUCUCCCGCAAGGGUUUUCACGUAAAAAUCCGUGUCUCUCGUGUCUCGUUAAUUUUUUUAUCUAACAGCCACUUCACUAUUGUGGAUACGGAAAAGGAUACCUCUCUGUCCCUCCGCUCACGCCCCCAUCUGACUCCUCCCAAGCGGUUCGGGGGAAAACCAUAGCCACCGCUAGCAGGUCAACCCCUCCAGCGCCCCAUCUCCUCUGCCAUCGUCGUCGGCCUAGCUGAGGUGGCGACAGCCCCCAGUUUCCAAAGGAGGCUCAGGGAGAGCAAAUGGUCAUGGUGGAUGCUCAUGCUCCAACUACUGGGAUGGGAGGGGGGAAAUAUCUGGUGCACCGGAGCUUGUGGUGCUACCGGUGCGCCGAACUUACAUUGUGCUUUUCAAAUGUUUGAAACAAUUUGAAAAAAAUACCACACUCAUAGAACAUUAAUGUAGGUUGUCACAAAAUUUGAAGUCAAAAUUCGAAACAUAACUUGACAAAUUCAAUACUAAAUAGUACACAACAUAACUUGGGCUUUAGAUUCGGCCCAUUAUCACACUAAUGUCAAAUUUGUUAUUUUCAUAUCUUAAAAAAUACUUUAAAUUUUUAUAUGAAUUUUUGUGACAUCAUACAUUGAUGUUGCGCUAACAUGCUAGAUUGUUUUCAGAAUGUUUAAAACGUUUGGUGCACCAGUAGCACAACAAGUACGGAUGCACCGGAUACAUUCCCAUGGGCGGUCUCGCAUGUCCCGUUCGCAAUGACUACUCCCCAUGCGUGGGUGCCUUCCCUCAGCAGCGGAUAUGACACCCACACCUAGAUCCGGGUUGAUCCACGGGAUACGCGUUCAUUUGCCUCUCGGUGUCUGCGCGCCAAGGAAGGUGGUCUCCAUUGGUCCUGCUGUGGUGCUGCUGCUCGGAUCUGCUGUUAUGGCUCUAGAUCAGGCCGUGCCUGGUUUGUGGUGAGUACGAAUGUCGACCACAGAGGCUCCGGGCAGUGGAGGUUGGUGUUCGGUGCUCUAGUCAUGUGGAUGGCAGGCCACAGGUUGGUGGUCGACCGGUUGCAAUGCCUUUGUUUCUAAUGUUGUGCCCCCGGGAUCCUUUUGCACUCUGGUUGAAAUUCCAGCACCUUCUCUUUUGUUAAACAACAUGUAAUCUACGGUGUUUGUAUAAACCGUAUAUGUGCGGUUUAAGUUGCCGGGUUGUUGGUUGUUGAGAUAGAAUCCUUGCGGAUCAAUCCGCCCAACAAACCAUGUAAAUCUUACCUGUAAUCUCGAUGCCUAUAUAACACGCAACGCGUCCCUGCAACAAGCAUACACUUAACCUACGUUUUUCUACAUGGUAUACAAAGCUAUUUUCUUCCAUCGCACCUAGGGUACAUGUCUUCGUCCUCCUCCUCCAUCGCCAUGGUGUCCCCUCCCUUGCUACGCAAGGCCACACCAUCACAAACAAGUUGGACCGUGAAAACUUCCUCAUAUGGAGGGUAUAGGUGCUGCCCCAUCCAAGGGCCGCUGGCAUGAUGGGGUUUCUUGAUGGCUCGAUCAAGGAACCAGCUGUCGAGCUCCUCCUGGAGAAGGAAAUCUCUGGAAAGAAGGAAACUAGCCUCGUUCCCAACCCCGAGCAUGUUGUCUGGGUCUCGCAAGAUCAGCAGGUAUUGACCUUUCUGCAAGCGUCGCUCUCCCGCGAAGUUUUGCUUCAUGUGAGAAACUGCACCACCACCGCCACCACUUGGACUGCUCUGCUGCAAAGUUUUUCCUCACAAUCUGUGCCAGAAUCAUUCAGCUUCAAUCCCAGAUUGAUAGCACCCGGAAGGGGGACCUCAAUGCCGAUGUUUACUUCACCAAGAUGAAGGGCCUUGCAGAUGAGCUAGCUGCUGCCGGAAAGCCUCUGGAGGAAGAAGACGUAGUCUCUCAUAUCCUCGAGGGACUCAUGCACGAACCGGAGUACAACGGGUUCGUGACCACAAUCUCUACGUAGACCAUCACUGACCAACCCAUCAGCCUCGGUGAGCUCUUCUCGCUUCUACUUGUUGUCGAGGCGCGUCUCACCGCUCAGACGACCGCCUACUCUGCCAACCUCGCCGCUAAGGGCGGCGUCCGCGGCGGCUCUGGCCGUGGAAAUGACAACUCCGGCAGCAACGGCGGUUUCCGUGGCUACAACAACAACACCAACACGGGAGCCCGCUUCUCCGACAACUCCUCCGGUGGCUUUGGUGGUGACCACGCGCGGUCGUGACCACGGUGGCCGCGGCGACCAAAAACGUGAGAAGUGCCAGAUCUGCAAGGAGCUUGGACACGGUGUGUGGUGUUGUAAGAUGCGUUAUGAUCGUGGCUACAACAACAACGUGUGCAAUCCCGCGAGAAGUGGUGGCUGCCAUCGCUCCUAUGGAGUUGAUACCAAUUGGUAUCUCGACGCCGGUCCAACAGAUCAUGUGACCAGAGAACUAGAGAAGCUUGUCAUCCGUGAUCGGCACACGGGCGCGGAACCAAUCCACACUGCGAGUGGUCAAGGUAUGAACAUUGCACAUGUUGGUCAUUAAGUUCUAUCUACUCCCUAUGGCUCCCUAGAUCUUAGUAACAUCCUUCAUGCUCCCCAAGCUAAUAAGAGUCUUCUAUCUGCUUACCAACUUAUGAUUGAUAAUCAUGCCUUUCUUGAAUUUACCCUGAAAUUGUUUUUGUUAAGGAUCAGGAAACUUGGAGAACCAUUCUACAAAGCAAGAGUAGGGGUGGGCUCUUUCCUGUCCAUGGCCACCAAGAGGUGCCGCAUCGUCAAGUCCUUGGCAUGAUAAAGCCAUCCACCUCAUGGUGACAUAAACAUCUAGGGCAUCCUACCUUACCGGUGGUCCAGAAUAUUCUGUGAGAUUUUUCCCUUCCAUUUUCCAAUAAAAAGGAUCAUUUGCUAGUAUGUGAUUCUUGCCAAAUGGCCAAGAGCCAUCAGCUUCCUUUCUAUCGAUCUAGUAGUGAGUCAAAAGCUCCUUUAGAGCUUGUUUUUUCGGAUGUCUGGGGUCCUGGACCCGUCUCUGUUGGCAGACAUAAGUAUUAUGUGAGUUUCAUUGAUGGUUUUAGCAAAUUCAGUUGGAUAUACUUGCUCAAAAAUAAGUCCAAUGUCUUUGAGAAGUUUCAUAAUUUUCAGCAACAUGUUGAACGCCUCUUUGAUCGCAAAAUUCUUACUAUGCAAACUGACUGGGGUGGUGAGUACGAAAAACUCAUUCCUUUUUUGAGCGAAUUGGCAUCAUCCACCAUGAUUCAUGUCCACAUACACAUCAUCAAAAUGGUUCUGCCAAACAUAAACAUAGACAUAUUUUCAAAGUUGGUCUAUCCUUCCUUGCUCAUGCUUUUAUGCCACUAAAAUUUUGGAACGAGGCAUUCCUCACUCCUGUUUAUCUUAUAAAUCGUGUUCCCAGUAGGGUCAUCAACAACCAAACCCCUCUAGGGCAUCUCUUUGACACAAAACUAGAUUACCCUUUUCUUCGUAUUUUUGGGUGUGCUGUGUGGCCCAACUUAUAUCCCUACAAUAAGCAUAAGCUCGAAUUUCGCUCCAAAUAGUGUUUUGUUGGACUACAGUUCCAUGCACAAAGGUUACAAGUGUCUAGAUAUUGCAUCUGGUCGGGUCUAUAUCUCACGCGGGGUGUGGUAUUUGAUGAGCAUGUCUUUCCCUUCUCCAAACUCCACCCAAAUGUCGGCGCACAACUUCGCAGGGAACUCAUUCUCUUGCCAUCUCAUCUUCUGCCAUCUCCCACUUUUCUAUCACGGGGUGCUAAUACUACUGAUGAUCACAUGUCCUUGUUGUUGGAAAUAUACCCUAGAGGCAAUUAUAAAAUAGUUAUUAUUAUAUUUCCUGUUUCAAGGUAAUCGUUUAUUAUCCAUGCUAUAAUUGUAUUGAAUGAAAGCAUAGUUACAUGUGUGGAUAUAUAGACAAAACAAUGUCCCUAGUAAGCCUCUAGUUGCCUAGCCAGUUGAUCAAGGAUGGUUAAGGUUUUCUGACCAUACGCAAGGUGUUGUCACUUGAUAACUCGAUCACAUCAUUAGGAGAAUGAUGUGAUGGACAAGACCCAAACUAUGAACGUAGCAUGUGAUCGUGUCAUUUUGUUGCUAUUAUUUUGUGCGUGUAAAGUAUUCAUUCCUAUGACCAUGAGAUCAUGUAAUUCACUGACACCGGAGGAAUACCUUGUGUGUAUCAAACAUCACAACAUUACUGGGUGACUAUAAAGGUGCUCUACAGGUAUCUCCGAAGGUGUCUGUUGAGUUAGCAUGGAUCAAGACUGGGAUUUGUCACUCCGUGUGACGGAGAGGUAUCUCGGGGCCCACUCGAUAAUACAACACCACAUAUAAGCCUUGCAAGAAAUGUGACUCAAGUGUAAGUCACGGGAUCUUGUAUUACGAAACGAGUAAAGAGACUUUCCAGCAACAAGAUUGAAAUAGGUAUUGAGAUACCAACGAUCAAAUCUCGGGCAAGUAACAUGCCGAAGGACAAAGGGAAUGUUAUACGGGAUUAUAUGAAUCCUUGGCACAGAGGUUCAACCGAUAAGAUCUUCGUAGAAUAUGUAGGAUCCAAUAUGGACAUCCAGGUCCCGCCAUUGGAUAUUGACCGAGGAGUGUCUCGGGUCAUGUCUGCAUAGUUCUCGAACCCGCUGGGUCUGCACACUUAAGGUUCGAUGACGUUUUAGUAUAGUUGAGUUAUAUGUGUUGGUGACCGAAGGUUGUUCGGAGUCCCGGAUGAGAUCACGGGCGUCACGAGGGUUUCUGGAAUGGUCUGGAAACAAAGAUUGAUAUAUAGGAUGGUUUCAUUUGGUCACCGGAAAGAUUUCGGACAUUACCGACAGUGUACCGGGAGUGACGAAUGGGUUCCGAGUAUUCACCGGGAGGGGCCCACCCACCCGGGAGUGAGCCCAAUAGCACUAGGGUGGUGCACCAGCCCUUAGUGGGCUGGUGAGGCCAGCCCAAGUGGGCUAUGGCGCCACAAGAAGAAAAACCAAAGGAAAAAAAGGAAAGAGGGAGGUGAGAAGGAAGGAGUGGACUCCUCCUUCCCCAAACCGAAUUGGGGUGGGAGUCCACCUCCUCCUCUCGGUCGGCGCCCUUGGGGCUCCCUUGAGCCCCAAGGCUAUCCCCUCCCCUCCUCCUAUAUAUGUUGGUGGUUUUAGGGCUUUUGAGAUAGAACUUUUUCACGUGCAACUCAAACCUAUACCUCGUAGUUCUUCCUCUAGAUCGGAUUUCUGCGGAGCUCGGGCGGAGCCCUGCAGGAAUAGAUCAUCACCAUCACCGGCGCGCCGUCACGCUGCCGGAGAACUCAUCUACUUCCUCGUCUCUCUUGCUGUAUCAAGAAGGCGGAGAUCGUCAUCGAGUUGUACGUGUGCUGAACGCGGAGGUGUCGUCCGUUCGGUGCUAGAUCGGGACGGAUCGUGGGACGACGGUGAUUGGAAUCACGAAGUUGUACCACUACAUCAACCGCGUUUCUUAACGCUUCCCGCUUAGCGAUUUGUAAUGGUAUGUGGAUCCGAUCUCCCUCUCGGAUAUGAACAUCACCAUGAUAGGUCUCCGUGUGCGUAGGAAAUUUUUUGUUUCUCAUGCAACAUUCCCCAACACUUGUCUCAUGGUAAUACCUUUGAUGACAGUUUUGUCUGCAGAUGCCACAGCAGCCACAGAUGAUCCGGGCUCCCCACCCCGGUGUACAUCCUAGCGCCCCCUCCUUAGGAUCGGGCUCGUAGGGCGUUGCACGCGCUCCAGGGCGAUCUCAUGCAGGGUCCGCUCUAGCCCCUGAUUUGCCCGUCCGACACACCAGUGGGCCAGGCGCCACGCACCACGUGCCUGCGUCGGGACCAGGAGGGUCCCCCGCACGUGCCUCCGGUAGGCCUGCUCCCGUGCCUGGUCGUGACGGGCCCAGAUCCUCGGCGGUCGUUGUCUCCCACGGGCCAUCCGCGGACGGUGAUUCGCAGGUGCGCGUCCCACCGACUGCGUCGCCCCUGUCCUCCGCUUCACAGGCACCAAGUGGAAGUUCUAAAUAUGGCGCGGAUCCAGAUGGUGCUUCUUCUGGAGAGGAGCUGUCUGGUGUAUUCUUUGUGGCUAAUUCUGGAUCGGUUGUGUCUUCCUCGUCCAACCGGCUACAUCAACAAAUCAAACUGCCAAUGCCGCCUCCUCCUGAGCGUGCACAAACAUGUUCUCAAAGAGGUAUUAUUAAGCCAAAGAUUUAUAAAGUUGGAUGCAUUCGUUGGGGCUCUUUUUGUGCCAUGGGUGAACGGCAGAAUUUGCAAGACGCUCUUAUGAAACCCAAGUGGAAGCAAGCCAUGGAUGAAUAGUACAUGGCACUCAUGGCAAAUAAAACAUGGUGUCUUGUUCCACCUAUCACGGGUAGAAAUAUAAUUGACUGCAAGUGGGUCUAUAAGGUAAACAGAAAGUCUGAUGGUACUAUUGACAUGUAUAAGGCAAGCUUGGUGGCUAAAGGGUUCAAAGAUAGGUAUGACAUUGACUAUGAGGACACGUUUAGUCCGUGGUCAAAGCUCCUACCAUCCGCUUAAUUCUUUCAGUUGCGUUUCCAGAAAUUGGUGCAUGAGACAGCUAGAUAUGACAAACGCGUUUUUGCAUGAUGUUCUGGAAGAGGAAGUGUUUAUGCGACAACCUCCUGGGUAUGAAAAUCCGAGCUCAUCACGUUUUGUCUGCAAACUUGAUAAAGAAUUGUGCGGGUUGAAACAAGCAGCUCGAGCUUGGUAUUCUUGGCUAUCCACCAAACUUCAAUCUCUUGGUUUUGUUCCUUCCAAGGGAGAUACCUCGUUGUUCUUUUAUCGUAAUCAUGACACCAUUAUUUUUAUGCUCAUCUACGUUGAUGAUAUAGUUGUUACAAGCUCUUCAUCCAAAGCAGUAGAAUCCCUCCUCAAAGAUCUAGGCAGGGAGUUUGCUCUCAAGGAUCUUGGUCGCCUACAUUUCUUCCUUGGUAUUGAGGUGAAGAGUGUUCCAAAUGGAAUUAUCAUGUCCCAAGAAAAAUAUGUGCAGGAAAUACUUCAAAUAAUGGGUAUGCAAGGGUGUAAGCAAUAUUCCACGUUGUUGUCCACUUCAUAGAAGGUUUCCCUUCAUGAUGGAGAGGCACUUGGGAUGGUGGACUCAACCAGGUAUCGUAGUAUUGUGGAUGCACUAUAGUACUUGACAUUAACUCGCCCAGACAUUGCAUAUUCAGUGAAUAAAGUAUGCCAGUUUUUACAUGCUCCCACUAGUUCACAUUGGACAGCGGUGAAACAAAUUCUUAGAUACCUCCAACGAACAAAGGGCCAUGGACUCGGACUUGGGAAAUCUGAUUCAAUGCUUGUAAGUGCAUUCUCUGAUGCGGAUUGGACAUGUUGCCCUAGUGACAGAAGGUCUACAGGUGGUUUUGCAAUAUUUUUGGGAGGAAAUCUUGUUUCUUGGAGUGCACGCAAACAACCCACCGUGUCUAGGUCCAGCAUAGAAGCUGAGUAUAAGGCCUUAGCAAAUGCAACUGCUGAGAUAAUUUGGGUUCAUAAUUUGUCGAUUGAGUUGGGUGUCUACCUUACAAAAUCAGCAUCAUUUUGGUGUGAUAAUCUCGGCACUACAUAUCUAUCUAUUAACCUUGUUUUCCAUGCCAGCAAAAAGCAUAUUAAGAUAGACUAUCACUUUGUUCGCGAGCGACUAGCUGAGAAGUUGCUGAAUAUAUAUCAGGUUCAUACCUACUGGUGAUCAAGUUGCAGAUGGCUUUACUAAGCCUCUUACUCUUCAUGAGCUAGAGUUAUUUAGACACAAUCUCAACUUAAAUAGUUUUGAUUGAGGGGGAUGUUAAACAACAUGUAAUCUACGGUGUUUGUAUAAAUUGUAUAUGUAAGGUUUAAGUUGCUAGGUUGUUGGUUGUUGAGGUAGAAUCCUUGCAGAUCAAUCGACCCAACAGACCAUAUGUAAAUCUUACAUGUAGUCUCGAUGGCUUCAACCUAUAUAACACGCAACGCGUCCCUCCAACAAGCAUACACUUAACCUACAUUUUUCUACAUAUUUUGGUGCCGAUGAGGACGACACCUUUGUCACUCUAUUCCUUCCUGAAGGCCUCAUCGUGGGGUUUGCCUCUUCUUUUUCGUGAUGUCAAGUGAUCUUUAGGUGAAAACUCAUGCUCACUUCCAGCGGGCAACGCUGACGCCGAUGUCACUACCUUGUUGAACGUGCCACCUUGGAAUCCUUUGACAUUGUGGGGCGGCAGAUCUGUGGUUGACAUUGUGGGGCGGCAGAUCUGUGGAAGUUGUGUUGGAUCUUGUUGUGGUCUAUGGCGGUGGAUGUUGGGGUGGCUGUUGGAAAUAUGGCCUAGAGGCAAUAAUAAAUUGGUUAUUAUUAUAUUUCCUUGUUCAUGAUAAUUAUCUAUUAUUCUUGAUAUAAUUGUAUUAACUGUAAACCAUAAUACAUGUGUGAAUAUAUAGAUCACAAUGUGUCCCUAGUGAGCCUUUAGUUGGCUAGCUCGUUGAUCAAUAGAUGAUCAUGGUUUCCUCAUCAUGGACAUUGGAUGUCAUUGACAACGGGAUGACAUCAUUGGGGAAUGAUUUGAUGGACAAGAACCAAUCUAAGCAUAGCACUAGAUCGUGUUGUUCGUGUGCUAAAGCUUUUUAAAUGUCAAGUAUCAUUUCCUUAGACCAUGAGAUUGUGCAACUCCCGGAUACCGUAGGAAUCCUUUGGGUGUAUCAAACAUCACAUAACUGGAUGGUUAUAAAGGUGCACUACGAGUAUCUCCAAAAGUAUCUGUUGGGUUGUACGAAUCGAGACUGGGAUUUGUCACUCCGUGUGACGGAGAGGUAUCUCUGGGGCCACUCAGUAAUCCAUCAUCAUAUUGAGCUCAGUGUGACUAAGGAGUUAGUUGCGGGAUGAUGUGUUACGGAACGAGUAAAGAGACUUGCCGGUAACGAGAUUGAACAAGGUAUAGGGAUAUCGAUGAUCGAAUCUUGGGCAAGUAUCAUACCGGUAGACAAAGGGAAUUGCAUACGGGUGCUGCGGCAACAAAAGUCCUUCCCUGGCGCGUAGGAAUUCUUCUUGUUACUUCUCUGGUUUGCGUCAGUUUUUCCCUUGAAGAGGAAAGGAUAAUGCAGCACAGGAGCAGUAAGUAUUUCCCUCAGUUUGAGAACCAAGGUAUCGAACCAAAAGGAGGGCCUCGUCAAGUCCAAAGUACCUGAGCAAAAACAAACAAACUUGCACCCAACGCUUCAAAGGGGUUGUCAAUCCCUUCAAGAUUGUUUGCAAAAGUGAGAUUUGAAGGCGGAAAGUGCAACGAAGUAAAAAGUGUAAGGCUAAAAAUAUGGUGUGGAGUAGACCCUGGGGGGCAUAGUGUUCACUAGAGGCUUCUCUCAAAAUAGCAAAUAUCACGGUGGGUGAACAAAUUACUUUCGGACAAUUGAUAAACCGCACAAAGUCAUGAUGAUAUCUAAGGCAAUGAUCUAGCAUAUAGGCAUCACGUCCGAGACAAGUAGACCGAUACUUUCUGCAUCUACUACUAUUACUCCACACAUCGACCGCUAUCCAGCAUGCAUCUAGUGUAUUGAGUUCAUGACGAACAGAGUAACGCUUUAAGCAAGAUGACAUGAUGUAGAGGGAUAAUCUCAAACCAAUGAUGAAAACCCCAUCUUUUUACCCUUGAUGGCAACAACAGGAUAUGUGCCUCGCUACCCCUUCUGUCACUAGGUGAGGUCACCGCACGGUAUGAACCCAAAACCAAGCACUUCUCCCAUUGCAAGAAUCAUGGAUCUAGUUGGCCAAACAAAACCCACAACUCGAAGAGAACUACAAGGAUAUGAAAUCAUGCAUAAGAGAGAUCAGAAGAAACUCAAAUAAGAUUCAUAGAUAAUCUGAUCAUAAAUCCACAAUUCAUCGGAUCUCGACAAACACAUCGCAAAAGAAGAUUACAUUGGAUAGAUCUCCAUGAAGAUCAUGGAGAACUUUGUAUUGAAGAUCCAAGAGAGAGAAGAAGCCAUCUAGUUACUAGCUAUGGACCCGUAGGUCUAUGGUGAAUUACUCACGCAUCAUCGGAGAGGUCAUGGUGUUGAUGGAGAAGCCUUCCGUGUCCGAAUCCCCCCUUCGGCAGGGCACCAGGACGUGCCCCGGAUGGGAUCUUGCGGAGACAGAAGCUUGCGGCGGUGGAAAAGUGAUUAUGAUGCCCCCCUAAUUUUUUUGGGAAUAUUUGGGAAUUUAUAGGCGCAAGAUCUAGGUUAGGGGACCUCCAGGGAGCCCACAAGCCUGCAUGGCGCGGCCCCCCUGGCCGCGGGGUGGGGGCUUCUGGGGCCCCUGGGGCUCUUCUGGCUUGGCCCCCAAGCUCUCCGAUCUUCUUCCAUUCCAGAAAAAAAUCUUUUCGGGGAUUUUCUUCCGUUUGGACUCCAUUUCAAAAUCUUCUCUCAAAGGGGUCAAAAACAUGGAAAAACAGGAACUGACACUUGGCACUGAGUUAAUAAGUUAGUCUCAGAAAAUAAAUAAAAGGAAUGCAAAACAUCCCAAGUUUGACAAGAUAAUAGCAUGAAACCAUCAAAAAUUAUAGAUAGGUUGGAGUUGUACCAAGCAUCCCCAAGCUUAACUCUUGCUCGUCCUCGAGUAGGGAAGUGAUAAAGAACGAAUUUUUGAUGUGGAAUGCUACCUAGCAUAGUUGUCCUUUGCAACUUCUUUCACGUGGCAUGAAUAUUCAGAUCCGUACGAUUCGAAGCAAUAGUUUGUUAUUGACAUGAAAACAGUAAUACUUCAAGCAAACUAGAAAAGUAAUCAUGAACUUUCAAAAUAACAAGGCCAAAGAAAGUUAUCCCUACAAAAUCAUAUAGUCUGGCUAUGCUCCAUCAUCCUCACACAACUAAUGUAAAUCAUGCACAACCCCGGAAUUGGACAAGUAAUUAUUUUCGCACUCUUACUUUCUCAAACUUUUUAUAACUAUCACGCAAUACAUGAGCGCGAGCCAUGGAUAUAGCACUAUAGGUGGAAUAGAGUGUGGUGGUGGUUGUGAGACAAAAAGGAGGAGAUGGUCACAUUGACUCGGUGUAUCAAUAGGCUAUGGAGAUGCCCAUUAAUAGAUAUCAACGUGAAUGAGUAGGGAUUUCCAUACAAGAGAUGCACUAGAGCUAUAAGUAUGUGAAAGCUCAAGGGAAAAGUAGUGGGUGUGCAUCCAACUUGCUUGCUCACGAAGACCUAGGGCAAUUUUGAGGAAGCCCAUCAUUGGAAUAUACAGGCCAAGUUAUAAAACGAAUAUUCCCACUAGCAUAUGGUAGUGGCAAAGCAAGAAGCUCUCAGUCAUGAAGAACAUGGUGCUAUUAUGAAGCACAAGUGUGGAAAAAGAUAGUAGCAUUGUCCCUUCUCUCUUUUUCUCUCAUUUUUUUUAUUUGGGCCCUUAGGCCUUUUUUUCUUUUCUCUCCCUUUUUUUUGUUUUUGGGCUCUUUGGCCUCUUCUUCUUUUUUUCCUCACAUGGGACAAUGCUCUAAUAAUGAUGAUCAUCACACUUUUAGUUACUCAAAGCUCAAAAAUUACAAUGAUGAUGACUCCAUAGGAAAUGCCUCCGACAGUGUACCGGGAUGUGCAACGAUCUAGUAUGAUCAUGCAAUGGCAAUAUUAAAGUGACGGCACAAGUCAUUAGACGGAACGGUGGUAGUUGCAUGGCAAUAUAUCUCGGAAUGGCUAUGAAAAUGCCAUAGUAGGUAGGUAUGGUGGCUGUUUUGAGGAAGGAAUUUGGUGGGUUUGUGCACCGGCAAGAAUUGCGCGGCGCUAGAGAGGCUAGCAAUGGUGGAAGGUGAAAGUGCAUCUGUACCAUGGACUCAACAUUAGUCAUAAAGAACUCACAUACUUGUUGCAAAAGUUUUUAUUAGUAAUCAAAACAAAGUGCUAAACGCAUACUCCGAGGGGAAGGGUUGGUAGGUGUAAACCAUCGCGCGAUCCCGACCUCAACACAAAGGAUGACAAUCAAUAGAUCAAUUAUGCUCCGACUUCCUAACAUAGCGGUUCACCAUACGUGCAUGCUACGGGAAUCACUAACUUCAACACAAGUAUUUCUAGAUUCACAACACCCUCCUAACAUAACUCUCAAUAUUACCGAAUCCGUGUCUCAAAACUAAUUGAGAGGAAUCGAAACUUCUCUUUCUACUCAAUGCACAUGAAGAUAGAGUUUUUUGCAUCCUCUUUGGGUACCUAUAGCACAUGGGACUUCUUUCAUAGCAUAAGCCAACUACCAAAUCACGCAUCGUCGUGCUCUAAAGAUAUAAGUGAAGCACAAGAGCAAAAGUAUCUAGCUCAAAAUAUAUAAGCACUAGAGCAAAAGUAUCUAGCUCAAAAGAUAUAAGUGAAGCACUAGAUCAAAAGUAUCUAGCUCAAAAGAUAUAAGUGAAGCACUAUGAGCAAAGUAUCUAGCUCAAAAGAUAUAAGUGAAGCACUAUGAGCAUUCUAGCAAAAUCACGAUGAGUGCAUGUCUCUCUCUCUCAAAAAGGUGUGCAGCAAGGAUGAUUGUGACACAACAAAAAGAAAAGACUCCUAUGAUACAAGACGCUCCAAGCAAAACACAUAUCAUGUGGUGAAUAAAAUUAUAGCUGAUGGAUUGAAGACGGAAGAGGGGAUGCCUUCCCGGGGCAUCCCCACGCUUAGGCUUUUUGGUGACCUUGAAUUUGGCUUGGGGAGCCUUGGGCAUCCCCAAGCUUGAGCUCUUUCCACUCCUUAUCUCUUUGUCCAUGAGAACGUCACCCAAAAGUUGAAAACUUCACAACACAAAACUUAAACAGAAACUUAUGAUAACAUUAGUACAAGAAAACAAACUACCACUUCUUUUGGUACUGUAGCAAACUUGAAUUCCAUCCAUAUUGAUGAUGAGCUACUGCAUUCUCACUUUUCCAUGGCUAGUACCCCCCGAUACUAACCAUAGUUUCAUCAAAACAAGCAACCAACUCAAUAAAAACAGAAUCUAUAAAAAACAGACCAAUCUGUAGCAAUCUGUAUACUUCGUAUACUUCUGGUACCUCAAAAAAAUCUGAAAAAUUACAAAGGUCUAGGGAAAAAGCAUAUCAAUCAGAAGCAAAAAUAAUCAACUCAAACACUCUUUCUGAAUAAAAAUGAAAAAUCAUCUCGUAAGCGAAAAGUUUCUGUCUUUUUCCAGCAAGAUCAAACAACCAUUACCAAGACCGAUCAUAAAGGUUUUGCUUGGCUCAAACACAAAAAGAAACACAAAAAACACAAUCACAACAGAAUUGUGAAAGUGUGGACGUAACAAAACAGAAAGAAAUAAGAUAAAUUCAUUGGGUUGCCUCCCAACAAACGCUAUUGUUUAACGCCCUUAGCUAGGCAUAGUAGCAAUAGAAUCAUGUAUCGUCGUCUUUGGUGCUCAAACCAUAAGUAGCCCUCAUCAUGGAUUCAUAAGGCAAUCUUAUUUUAUUUCUAGGAAAGUGUUCCAUGCCCUUCCUUAAAGGAAAUUGAAAUCUAAUAUUCCCUUCCUUCAUAUCGAUGAUAGCACCGAUAGUCCUUAGGAAAGGUCUACCAAGAAUAAUAGGGCAUGUAGGAUUGCAAUCAAUGUCAAGCACAAUGAAAUCCACGGGUACAUAGUUCCUAUUUGCAAUAAUAAGAACAUCAUUGAUCCUUCCCAUGGGUUUCUUGAUAGUAGAAUCAGCAAGAUGCAAAUUAAGAGAACACUCUUCAAUCUCAUUAAAACCCAGAACAACACAUAUAGACUUUGGAAUCGCAGAAACACUAGCACCCAAAUCACAUAAAGCAUUGCACUCAUAGUUUUUUAUUUUGAUUUUGAUGGUAGGUUCCCACUCAUCAUGAAGCUUUCUAGGGAUAGAGACUUCCAAUUCAAGUUUCUCUUCAACAGCUUUUAUCAUAGCUUCGACGAUAUGAUCGGUAAAGGCUUUGUUUUGGCUAUAAGUGUGCGGAGAGUUUAACAUGGAUUGCAUCAAAGAAAUGCAUUCAAUCAAGGAGCAACUAUCAUAAUUGAAUUCCUUGAAAUCCACGGUAGUAACUUCAUUACUACUCAAAGUUUAACGUCUUCUACUCCACUUUUAACGCUUUUAGCAUCAAGAUAGAUGGACUCCAAAUCAUUGGGGCACUUUUCAACCAAAGUGGAUUCAUAUCCAGCCCCAUAAUCAUUAGGUUUGACACAAGUAAACAAAGAUUCAAUGGGAGUCACACCAAGCACUUUAAGAUCUUCGUGAUUCUCAUCACGAGUUUCGGGUUUAGCAGCCAUUUUAUUGACUAAAGUAGCUUGCUUUAUCAGAAAUUUGGCCUACUAGCUUUUCAAGACGAGCAAACUGAGAAUUGAGCGCAAGGAAUUCUUUGGCCAUAUCAUCAACUUCUCUACUCAUAAAAUCCAGAAAAGAAUUUUGCUCCUUCAACUCUCUACGGAAGUAACUAUUAUAUUCAAAGUGUGUAGACAUAAAGCCUUUAACACUAGUUUCAAUCUCUUCUAACUUCGCAAAGCGAGCAUCAAAAUCCCUUAAUGGGGCCAUUCGGGCCAUAGCAUGCAAGCAAGCACAGAAGCAAACAAAAAAGCGGGCGAGAAAAAGGGCGAACGAAAAAGGCGAACGAAAAGGCGAAUUGGUGAAGUGGGGGAGAGGAAAACGAGAGGCAACCACAUGGUGAUCACGGAGUUCACCAACAAGCACAGGAUCGAUGCCAAUGACAUUGGGAAGCACCUCUCCAGGCUCUAUGACAGGAUUGAUCACCUCCAGGCCCAGAUCUAUGACUUGCAGAACCAAAACUGUGAGUAUGAUUAUUGAUUUAAAUCAAUAUAGUUGGCUGCACAUUUGAGGAUUUCAAAGACUCGUUCAUCUUUCCAUGAUGGAGCACCUAUGCCUUGGAAGACGGAGGAUCAAAACCAUGUUGCAACAACUUCACCACCAUCACCUCCAAAGGAAGACAACUAAGCAUGGGUAUGGGCAAUCCCCUUAGCUUGUGCCAAGAUUGGGGCAGUUGCCCCGGUAUCGUAUCACCAUCACAUAUUUUGCCUUUACCUUUGUUUUAGUUUGUUCCUUUUCAGUUUUCUCUUUAUCUAGUAGAAUAAAAGUCUUAAUGUUUUAGGCUUGAGUUUUGCUUUGUGUCACCCCCGAUGUAUUCGAGCUCGUGAGCCAUAUAAUAAAGAGUGUCUUAGUUGAAGUGCCUUGCCUCAUGCCAUGAUCAAAAGAGUGAGAAAAGAACAAAAGCAUGAAAGAUCAUGUAAUGAUCUUAUGGAAAGUGAUGGCUUCACAUAUAAAAAGAAUGAUGAUUGAAACUUGUUGAGGGUAGACAAACGUAGAACUUGGUCAUUGUUGCAAUUAAUAGGAAGUGAUAAAGAAGGAGAGUUUCACAUAUAAAUAUAUCAUCUUUGACACCAUCUAUGAUUGUGAACACUCACUAAACUAUCGCAUGCUUAGAAGUAGAUGUUGGACAAGGAAGACAACAUAAUGAAUUGUGUUUGCUUGGUUCCGAGCAAUGUUAUAUGACUAGAGAUCCCUUAGCAUGUGACAAUUGCUUCCACCUCAUAUUAGCCAAAACUUCCGCACCAAGUAGAGAUACUACUUGUGCAUCCAUAAACCUUCAACCCAAUUUUGCCAUAAGAGUCCACCAUACCUACCUAUGGAUUGAAUAAGAUCCCUCAAGUAAGUUGGCAUCGGUGCAAGCAAUAAAAAUUGCUCCCUAAUAUGUAUGAUCUAUUAGUGUGUGGAAAAUAAGCUUUGUACAGACAUGUGAUGAGGAAGACAUAAAAGCGACAGACUGCAUAAUAAAGUUCUUUAUUACAGGAGGCAAUAUAAAGGGGCGUUCCUCCACACUAAGAGGACACGCAUCCAAACCUCAAAAGCGCAUGACAACCGCUGCUUCCCUCUGCGAAGGGCCUAUCUUGUACCUUUACUUUUUUCCCUUGAAAGAGUCAUGGUGAUCUUCACCAAUUCCUUAUCUCGCCUUUAUCUUGGCUAACGUCAUAUGCUUGGGAAAGAUCUAUAUUCAUAUGUCAACUUGGAAGUAAGUAUUCAUGAAUUAUUAUUGUUGACAUUAACCUUGAGGUAAAUGGUUGGGAGGCAAAACAAUAAGCCCCUAUCUUUCUCUGUGUCCAGCUGAAACUUUGAUCUCAUGAGUACCAUGUGAGUUGUAGCAAUUGUAGAGAACGAAAGGAUGAUUGAGUAUGUGGAUUUGCUUUACAAGAUCUUAUUUGACUCUUUCCGAUAUUGUGAUAAAUUGCAAUUGCUUCAAUGACUAAAGGCUAUCGGUUGUUACUUCUCAGUAAGGUUCUUGAUCCAUGCUUUACUUUAUGAAGGAAUUGUUACUUUAGCAUAAAAGUUCAUAUGAUGGUAUUGUUGUUCUGAUCAUGAUCAUGAUGCAUGCAUGUUCGUAUCUUGUUUUGUCGACACCUCUCUCCCUAAACAUGUGGGCAUGUUUAUUGAUCUAGGCUUUCGCUUGAGGAGAAGCGAGAUCUAAGCUUGGGCGAGUUGAUACGUCAGUUUUGCAUCAUGUGUUCAUGUCGAUAUUUAUCACUUCCUGGGUUGUUAUUUCACUUCACGGUACAAUACUUAUGCCUUUUCUCUCUUAUUUUUUAAGGUUUACAUGAAGAGGGAGAAUGCCGACAGCUGGAAUUCUGGCCUGAAAAAGGAGCAAGUUUGAGAUGCCUAUUCUACGCAACUCCAAAAGCCGUAAAAAUCAACGAUGAUUUUUUUUUGGAUUUAUAAAAAAUACUGGGCCGAAGAAGUGCCAGAGGAGCGCCAGCAGGUGGCCACAAGCCUGCUAGGCGCGGCCACCCCCCUGGCCGCGCCUAGGGUGCCUGUGGGCUCCCUGCUGGCCCACUGCCCCCCCUCUUUUGCUACAAGAAGGGUUUCGGUCUGGAAAAAAUUAAGAGGAGGCUUUUCGGAGGAUUCGCCGCCGCCACGAGGCGGAACUUGAGCAGAACCAAUCUAGAGCUCCGGCACGACGAUCCACCAGGGAAACUUCCCUCCCAAAGGGGGAAAUCGUCGCCAUCGUCGUCACCAACACUCCUCUGAUCGUAGGGGACUCGUCACCAUCAACAUCUUCAUUAGAACCAUCUCAUCUCCAAACCCUAGUUCAUCUCUUGUAACCAAUCUCCGUCUCGCGACUCCGAUUGGUACUUGUAAGGUUGCUAGUAGUGUUAAUUACUCUUUGUAGUUGAUGCUAGUUGGAUUACUUGGUGGAAGAGUUUAUGUUCAAAUCCUUGAUGCUACUCAUUACCUCUCUGGUCAUGAAUAUGAUUAUGCUUUGUGAGUAGUUACUUUUGUUCCUGAGGACAUGGGAUAAGUCAUGUUAUAAGUAGUCAUGUGAAUUUGGUAUUCAUUCGAUAUUUUGAUGUGUUGUACGUUGUUUUUCCUCUAGUGGUGUUAUGUGAACGUCGACUACAUAAUACUUCACCAUUAUUUGGGCCUAGAGGAAGGCAUUGGGAAGUAGUAAGUAGAUGAUGGGUUGCUAGAGUGACAGAAGCUUAAACCCUAGUUUAUGUGUUGCUUCGUAAGGGGCUGAUUUGGAUCCACUAGUUUAAUGCUAUGGUUAGACUUUGUCUUAAUUCUUCUUUCGUAGUUGCGGAUACUUGCGAGAGGGGUUAAUCAUAAGUGGGAUGCUUGUCCAAGUAAGGGAAGUACCCAAGCACCGGUCCACCCACAUAUCAAACUAUCAAAGUAACGAACGCGAAUCAUAUGAACAUGAUGAAAACUAGCAUGACAGAAAUUCCCGUGUGUCCUCGGGAGCGUUUUUCCUCCUAUAAGACUUUGUCCAGGCUUGUCCCUUGCUACAAAAGGGAUUGGGCCACUUUGUUGCACCGUUGCUACUUUUGUUACUUGCUACUUGCUACAAAUCAUCUCACCACACAACUACUUGUUACCGAUAAUUUCAGUGCUUGCAGAUAUUACCUUGCUGAAAACCACUUGUCAGAUCCUUCUGCCCCUUGUUAGGUUCGACACUCUUACUUAUCGAAAGGACUAUGAUAGAUCCCCUAUACUUGUGGGUCAUCAGCAGGCCACUCCUGGAUUGCUUUAAUUUUGGAAGGAUCAAUAGCAACCCCUUCCUGAUUAAUUAUGUGGCCCAAAUACUCCACCUCAGUCUGACCAAAAGAGCACUUUUCCAAUCUUGCAUACAACUUGUUCUUCUGUAGAAUGUCAAACACCUGAGUAAGGUGGUCCUUGUGCUCUUCUAAGGAAGUGUUGAAAACCAGUAUGUCAUCAAAGAAUGUUACCACAAACUUCAGCAUUCCAAAUAAAAAAUUCAUUAAAGCUUGGAAGCUAGGGGGGCCAUUAGUCAGACCAAAGGACAUAACUAAGUACUCAAAUAAACCCAUAUGAGUGACAAAAGUUAUUUUGUGUAUAUCCUCUUCUGCCAUUUUGAUCUGGUGAUAUCCAUUUCUGAGAUCAAUUUUGGAAAAAUACUUAGCCCCCUUCAAUUGGUCUAGCAAAUCUUCAAUGAUUGGAAUUGGGUACUUAUUCUUGAUUGUUAUAGCAUUCAGCUUCCUGUAAUCAAUGCACAACCUCCAGGAUCCAUCCUUCUUUUUCACAAGUAACACGGGAGAGGAAAAGGGGCUUGUGUUGGGCAUGAUCACUCCAGACUUCAGCAAUUACAAGAUCUCCUUCUGGUGAUGUGGCAUUCUGUAAGGCCUUUGGUUCACUACUUUGGCCCCUUCUAUCAGAGGAAUUUUGUGAUCACAUGGUCUGCUUGGAGGCAACUCAGUUGGUUCCUGGAAGAGCUGUUCAUAUUUCUGCAACAGAGUUUGCAACUCAUCAGGUAACUCUUUAGCUGUGCUUACUACUUCCACAGCACAAGCAGUAAACAGCACAAAACCACACACUACCUGCUCCAUCAGCUUAUCAGUGCAGUCCUUAGCUUCUUCAGGCUGUACCCUGGGCACUGUUUCAUCGGCAAAUGUGACUAGGUGGACAUCUAAAGCAGACACUUUCAUUUCCAUCUUAAUGAAGUCCAUGUGCACUGGGCUGUACUCUUUCAACUAAUCCACUCCUAGUAUCAUAUCAUAACCUUUUAACUGCAGAACUCUAAAACUGUCAGUAAACUGCUUACCCUGUAUCUCAUACAUACAAUCCUGCACCAUGAAUUCACUCCACAAUACUUCUCCACUUGCUACAGCUACUCUCACUCUAGGGGUGGGCUUGGGUUUAACUUGGAGCUAGGUUGCCAUUUCAGGAGACACAAAUGUAGAUGUGCUGCCACUGUCCACUAAGGUUGUUGCAGAAGUGUUUCCCACCUUGAUUGUUAGAACAGAAGUGUUCUUGACAGCUCCAAUCCCCAUAGCUGCAUGCAUAGAUAAUUGCGGAAGUGUAUCAGCUAGGAACUGGUCCAUGUUCUCUAGUUGUGGAUCAGCAAAAUCAAUUACAUAAAUAGUUUCAGGCACUUCUUCCUCCUGUGCGUGCAGAGCUUGGAUCUGUGCUUUCUGACUCAUUUUGCACACUUGCCUAUGCCCUGGGACCCAAGGUUCCCUACAUUUGUAACAAACAUGAUUCUGUUUUGCUAGUUGGAUUACUGCAUUCCUAUUUUGCACUAUAGCACCACCUUCAAUUUUUGGUUGUUCAAAAGUACCCUGCCUCCUAGGUUGUGGCACAUAGUCCUUCGUUUGCACCACUUGCACUUGUGGCUAAACUUUUUCCAUCCUUCCAGCAUACCACAUAGCAGUCUGCAUAUCCUUUGGUUUAAAACACUCCACAUGGCUCUUGAUGUAAAUAUUCAGGCCAGACACAAAACUAGUUACGUAGUAACUAUCUGGAAUUCCAGGAUUCUCUCUUCUCAUUACAUUCAUUAAGUGCUCAAACUGUUCAAUAUAAGCUGGCAUGGUGGAAGUUUGAUGCACUGCAUGGAAUGAACUCACUAUGUCACAAGCUGAAUCAACAGCAAAUCUCUGAGAUAAGUAGGAACAAAACUUGUGACAGGGUACAUUGUUAGGAGCAUACCCAGUUCGUCUCCAUCACUGAACAGCAAGACCUUUUAAGUAAGAAACUGCCAAUUUUGUUCUAUGUUCAAUUGGUACGGUGUUCUUGCAGUAGCAAAGUAUUGGUCUAAAUUCUGAAUCCAUGCUUCGGGAUCCAAUCCUUCAAACUCAGAAAUGUUCACCUUUGCACGCUUCACUGUGAGAACUAGUCUUCUACUGUCAGAAGGGGAAUAUUACCUGUGUCUCUUCCCAUCAGGCCACUCCUCUAUUGCCCCUGUCUCCACUGGUUGCAACUGCAACUGUUGGUGAUGCCCAGCUGCUUGUUGUCCCUCAUUUUUUUUGUUGGUGAAGUUAGGAUGCCUAUAUGGGGCUUUGUUUGUACCAUCUAAAUUAAGCUCCUUUCCUGUGGGAUCCCUCAACACAGUUGUGCCCACUACCACCGGUGCUUCCUUCUCCUGGCCAUGGACUGAAGGUGGUGUAAAAUUGACCAACUGCUUUCGGCCUGCCUGCAGGAAUUACUGGCGAGUGCACCUCAUCUACUUUCCUCUGGGUACUACCAUGCUCAGAGCGCUCAAGUUGCUCUUCCUCUGAACCAUGAUCCAUCAGCAAUUUCCUGAAAUUAUCUUGAUCUUGUCGAAAUUACCUUGCAUCGUGACAAAAUUCUUGUUCACCAUCGCCCGGAACUCCUGAAACUCCUUUUGAUCCCCCUCUCUGUUGUUCUGCGGGGUCUUGAUAUCUAACUCCAAUGAUGCUAGUUGCAGAUCCGCAGUAACAACCGAGUCUGUUUGGCCCGUCAUGGCGCUGCUCAAAACAGGGUGGGUGGUGGGAUUGAUGCAAUUACCUUGUUCUGGAUCUGGAUCUGAAUCACGUCGAGAAGCUUUAGCUCACCUCUCCUCUCUGCUUCACCUCCGGCCGAAAAAUCGAUUGGCUCUAGAUACCAAUUGUCAGGCUCUAGCAACUGACUCAAGCAGAAACACUCAUCGGCAACUAAAUUCACAAAUCAAAAUUAGCUCGAGGAGGGUUUCUAUUGCUUCGAAAAUGGGGAAAGUAGGUAGAGCUCGCCACAGGCGGCUUAGGGUUUGUACCCAUACACUUUUUACAUGCCUAUAAGGGCUGGAAUGAGAGGCAUUUAUAAGCCAACUCACUAAAAGCAACAAAGUAAAAAAGAACACUAGCUAGUGCGCCUUGUCUGAAAAUGAAUAGCGACGCGGGAGUCUAGCCUAGUCGUCGGAUGCAGGAUCAGCGGUCGUUGCUUGUUCAAUUGCCGAAACGGUAUCGUCUCUUCCCAACCGUUGGAUGUGAGAUCAACUCACCUGGUUCAUCCGGCACAUAGAAACAGAGGAGGCGAUCCUGACAUAAAGUUGGAUUUCUCACUGUCUCCGAACGACAACAACCGUCGGCCAUGAGCGAGAAGCUGGACACCGGAGCCCAAAACCACCUCCGUCCUGUUGGUUGGUUGGGCCAUCGGUGAUGAGUACCGAGUGACCCAACAUUUGCAGUUGAUGGAUUGAAUGCAGAGAAAUUAGUGACCGACAACGCAGUUGGUGGAUCGAGUACAGAGAAAUGAGUACCAAGAAGGCGUCGGCCCGGACACUGCGUUCUUGGUUUGGUGAUUGGGCCACAGCCACGAUCCCGCCCCCAUGACCGCGCCCCGCCUCGACACCGGAACGGAACCGCCGCCUUCUCCACGCCCGAAGCGUCGUUGCCGCGAUAGAGCCACCGCAGGUCGCCGUCCGACUCCCAUCAAUUCCAAUCGCCCCAUCCAGCUGAACACAUGCCGAGAGAGAAAGAAAUUCUUUUUUUACAUGUACAUGGAUGGGCCUAACAGAAAAAAUAAAAAUAAAAGACUAACCGGUGAGGCUUGUACAUGCAAAAAUAGCGAUGUCCCAAAUGCCCUCAAAAGGCUCGGGAUGAGUUUGGCCUAGGUCGUCGGGGCUAGUUUUGCUCAAAUCCGACGCAAAAACAACGUCCCUCAGGCAUGACUGAGACUUUUUUCUACCGCCGACGACUGAAAAGUGACCUAGGGGCGCGGCUGGAGAUGCCCUAACCCUCUAGAGGUUGAUAAUUGAAGUGUGGGCGCCGUGUAUUUUUACUCAACCUGUUUAUUAUCAACUGUUUCUUGAUAUCAUGGUUACUCCAUCUUGGGUUAUAGGACGUGGUUCUAGAUCACCAAUUUGACUAACUAAAUAUGAAUUAUAUGUCAUCAAAAAUAUAUCAUUUGAUUCUUAAUCAAAUAUAAUUUCUAAAAAUAUAUUUUUUAUCAAAUAUAAUACACAUAUAUAGCUAGUUAAAUUGUCAACCUAAAACACGUGGAUGGUUUAUAAAGCCGAAGGAAGUGCUAGAUUUGUUUCAUUGUUUGUCACACAUGUCUUCCGGAAUCAUAGGAGAGGCCUGGCCCCGCGUAUCUCUCUCACGCAAGACUUGCUAAUCAACCAAUUACUGACAUUAUUUGACGAAUCCCCAUAUAUUGGCUUACUGGUUUUUGACAUCAAACCAAGCAUGCUCACAAAAGAGAGAAAAAGAACCUCCCUACAGGCCAGAUGGCUCGGCUCUUAGUCACCAAACUAAUUACAACCCAAACAAAAAGGAGGUUGUAGCAAAAAGGAGGUUGUAGCAACAAUGCUCAGGCGGCGGCUAGAAAAGAUGUGGAGAGAGCAUUUGAGAUUUUGCAAACCCAAUUUGCUAUUGUGAGAGGACUGGCUAGAUUUUGGGAUCAAAAAAUGCUUCGAUACAUCAUGCACGCUUGUAUGAUCAUGCACAAAAUGAUCAUCGAAAAUGAGCGUGGCCAAGAUUUAGACUACUCACAGUAUGAGCUCUUGAAACAUCCCGUGCGAGUGCGACGGAGGGCUGAAAGGGUAGCCCAUUCUUUUGCCUCCUAUCAUGUCAUUCGGCGUCCCGCAACGCACAAUGAACUUCAGAAAGAUCUGAUUGAAGAGUGGUGGGCAUGGCAUGGACGAUAAAGAGCAUGAUUUCUGCAUUCGACAUUGUAUUGUUUAUGAAAUAUUGGUUGUGUUUAUUGCAUUAUUUGUUGUACUGAACGAUAAACUAUUUGUUGGAGUUGUAAUGACUAUUUAUUGUUGAUUUAUUUUGUUUGUUUGAUCAUUUUUGCUCCUUUUUUCUGAAAUGUAUAUGUAGUUUGUACGUGCUGCACGCGCUGUAUUUUUGCACGCUGCUGGAGCGGCGCGCACUGUGCAUUAUAGCGUGUCUGUUGGAGCCAGCGCUGGCGGCCACGCUAAACCAGCCGAAGCGCGCGGCAAACAGGUUUUUUGCGCGCGGCGCAAAGCGCGGCUGUUGAACGGAACCAUCGCAGUGGCGACGCCAUUGGAACCGCCAUCGCGUCCGCGACCGAAGCGCCGCUGUCGCGCGCCUGCUACUGUAGAGCCACCGCGGGUCGCCGUCCGGCUCCCACCGCUUCCAAUCGCUAGGCAAGCUUCGCCGCCGGGAAACCCUGGCCCUCGUAAUGAGCGGCCGGCACUGCGUCGUCUUGGACGUUUGCACUUGUCGUCGCUGUUACAUGGGGGGUAAAGUUGGAUUUCUCACCAUCUCCGAACGACAGCAACCGUCGGCCAUGAGCGAGAAGUUGGACGCCGGAGCGAAAACCACCUCCGUACUGUUGGUUGGUUGGGCGAUCGGUGAUGAGUACCGAGUGACCCCACAUUUGCAGCUGAUGGAUUGAAUGCAGAGAAAUUAGUGACCGGCAACGCAGCUGGUGGAAGACUUGCUAAUCAACCAAUUACUGACAUUAUUUGGCGAAUCGCCAUAUAUUGGCUUACUGGUUUUUGACAUCAAACCAAGCAUGCUCACAAAAGCAAGAAAAAGAGCCUCCCUACAGGCCAGAUGGCUCGGCUCUUAGUCACCAAACUAAUUACAACCCAAACAAAAAGGAGGUUGUAGCAAAAGCACUCUAUUCCCUUCUUAAUUAAAUUAAUACAUGUAGCAAAUCUUUUGCCAUGUUUCAGAAAAAGGGGAACUGGGUCGGCGCUUAAAAUUGACCCAGUUAAAACAGAUGGAUACUCAUCAGCAAAACAUCAUCAGGGUAAGAAAGGUGUUAAAACAGAUGCAUAACUCCAUGCAUGCCGCAACCAGUGCAGAAGACACAAUAACGGACGGGUGCAUCAGGUUACAAGAAGACGAUAAUAAAAUUCAGGUCACAUAACAAUCUCUGCAUAAUAAGAGCCAAAAAAAGAACAGUAUAAAAGCAAAGAAUAUCACAAAACAGCAAAUAUUGGGCCAUCAACUUCUGGAAUUUAUUACUUCACCAACGUAACAUAUUAUUCUUCUACCAUGGGAAUAGUGCUAAAUCCUUGUGGGUCAAUUCACAACUCCACUAACAAAUCAAACCAAUAAUUCACAUCAAAGUAUCAUGAACGACACAUACUCAUCACCAAAACAUCAUCAGGCCAAUAAACACAAGCAAAAUCCCACAAUUAGUGCAGAUCCUCCUUUGUUGAUACAAAAAAAGCGAAAACAUGUGCAUCAGGUUACACUGAAUCAAAGCUAAACUUCAGGUGUUACAUUACAGACAAGAAGAUGAUAACAAGUUUCAGGUCACAUAAUAAUCUCUGCAUAAGAGCAGGAAAAAAAAGGUAUAAAAAAGAGUUUUUGGUGAUCUAAAUCAGUCACCUCCAGCUUCCUUGAUGUCGACGGUGAACUCGUACUCCUGGUCACAGCCGAGGUAGGAGUCUGACAUCAGGUAGAUCAUGUAGUCCUUCCUCCCUGUCUCGGUGGCGGCGGUGAACUCAAGCUUCACACGGGCCCUUUUCUGGAGGGUGACCCUCUUGAUCGCCAGCAGCUGCUUGGUGGAGCUGUCGCCGACCACCAGCCACCAACCUUCCUCCUUGGUCUUGGGGAACCUGGGGGCGUGCACCGGGCCGACCUCAGAGUUGGGCAGGUUGGUCAUGUCACGCUCCAGAGUCACCUGCAAGGUCACGUUGUCGCCGGCCCUUAUGUCGUCACCCUCGCGGACUUCAUAAGACAUGUCGACGUUGGGGAACCGCUUGAAGAACUCAACGAUGUCCUGCAGCUCAGAGUUUGACAGCUGCAGCAGAUCCCGCAUCUCAUCGAUGCUCAUCUCAGCCAGAUCAAAGAUACUCUCUACAGGUUUCCCUUCGUUUUCCUGGCAUCGCCGGGCCAGGUCCCUGGUGAAGUGUGGGAGUUGGAGCAACACAGAGUCACGAUCCCACAUACCUUGCGUCACCAUCUGGCUCAACUCCAUUGCAUUCAGAGCCAGAGUGAGCCAUCCGCUGCUGGAGAUGACAUCAACCAUCGCCAGGAGCAGUCUAUGGGCGGAAAGGAGGAUCUCCCGCUGGUCUGCUGCCAGGUUCCCUACCACCGUGUGCCUUGCAAAGUGGGAUUGCAGCAGGGCGUUGGCCUUGACAUGUGGAUCGCCAUACUUGGGCUUGUCAAUAGAAAACCUCUGGUGACGGACUAGCCUCUCAAUGUAUUCCUCUUCGCCUGGGCGACUUGGAAGCUCUGCAUAUUCUGAUGCCGAAGCUAGAAUUUCCAGGAGACCUUUCAUCUUAGUCUUCUGAGUUAGCAUCGAACUGAACCGUUCGAUAGUGGUGUAACUGAUGUAGUAGUACGCAGCAAUGAGACCAAGGUUGAGCGGCUUCAGGUACAUGUCCUCCUCUACAGCCACACACUUGCUUGACUCCAGGUCAUUCAACACUGUCUCGAUUAGCUCAGAAAGAUGAUCUGACAGAUGCCUGUGACUUACACCCUGCAGAUUGUAGUAGUUAGGGUUCUUGUUCAGCCGCCUGUACAUGAAAGUCCAUGUAAGAUAGUCCACUGCAUCUUGUUUGUUUUCUACAACACCCACAACAACCUCAGCAUUCAUAUGGUCAUGCAAGAAAUGAUGGAGAUGACUCUCCACAGGGAAGGCCUCAAAAAGGAACUUCUUGUAGUACUCUUUCCGAGGUGCAUGGCACAAUAUAACGCAUUUCCCAGAGUUAUCUUGAAGAGGCCUGCUAGCAUGACCCAUCAUCUGCAGCAGAUCAGUGAUUGGAUAAUCAGUAUGAGCACUCUCCCGGCCAUCAUAAUACUGGGUUCCCAUCACAACAACUAAAUGAGCAGGCAAUGAUCUCCCCCAGCACAUCGUGCUGCUUGCAACACACACUUGGAUCCUCCCACCAAGAAAGAGCUGAGUCACAAGUUCCUGGUCAAGGUCACUAAGACCCUCAUGCAAGUAGCCCACACCACAUCUCAGCGUAUUUUUAAGCGUUUCUUCAUUGACACCUCCAAUGAAAGUAUCCAUCUCAUCUUGGGACCCAAGAAGGAAUGGUGUACCGGCACCCUCAGCACUUGAGUAUGCACACAGGUCCAAUGCAGUCAACCUUGCAUGCUUCCGUGUCGGCACAAACACCAGGGCAGGCUUACCACUCUUUGCAUGUUGAGUGAUAGCAGUGUAUGUUGGCUUCGCCAUUGCUUGCAUUCUUGCCUCAAAAUUUGCUAUAUCCACACCCUGAAUGUGUAUUUCCAGUGGAACUGGCCGCACUGCUGGGGGGAAGUUGAAAAGACCAUGAGCAGUAGCGCCAAUCCAUUCUCCAAGAUCUUUAGCAUUUCCAAGUGAUGCUGAAAGGGCUACAAUCCGGAUGUUAGUGCCAAUAUGACUUGAAAUACGCCUCAUCCGAGAGACAACUAUUUCCAGGACAUGUCCCUUCUCAGAUCCAAUUAGAUGAAGCUCAUCAACAAUAAAUAAGCUGACUUGCUGGACAGGUUUCCGCUGCUUCCACCGACGAGAAAGUGCAUCCCACUUUUCAGGAGUACUAAUAAUGAUCUCCCCUUUGUCAAGAAGUUUCAAAUCAGCUGCAGUUUCGCCUGUUAGCUCAACUACACGGGCAAAUUCACCAAAUUUCUUUGACCAGUCUCUGUAUCUUUCUUUGGCCAGAGCCUCAAUAGGUGCUAUAUACACAACACGCAUGUUGGUUUCACCAGAUACAGCCUUCUGGUGGUUCCUUAGUAUAGCAAAUUCCGCACAGAUAGUCUUCCCACUACCAGUUGGUGCAGCAACCAAGACACUGUCGUCACUAUUAUACAAGACAGUGAACACUUGAGUCUGGAUGGGGUUGAAAUGUUUAAAAGCACUAUAAAGACCUUCAUAUCGUGCAUUCCUUAAUGCAGUGACAGGUAGUGGCUGCAGAUCAAGCAAUUCAGUUGGUGGAGCAUAUUUUUCUGGAAGAAUCAAGUGCCUAAAGCAAACAGGGAGAAUCGUCUGAGAACCAAGCCACUUGUCAGAUACAACACGUAUAAAAUACUGAGGAGGCAGUGGCUCAUAUAUCGGCACUGUAAAGUGAAGUGUGUGAUCUUCAUCCACGUAUUGUUUCUUAAGCAUGAAGUACUCAUGGUGAAGAAUGUACUCUCCAUCAUUGUCCUCAACUAUAACCCAAAAGGGCUCAACAUAUCCAUGUACCUUAUCAUCCCAUAGGAAAUCAGGCGUUAUAGUCAGUUCGAAACCCAAAACUGUGCGAGUAAUAGGUUGAACAUGGGCAGAAAGGUUCAACUUCGGCAACUGGUGGAUGCACCUGUGCAGCUGCUUCCCCAUCUUUUGAAACCGGAUUAGUUCACCGAUUUCCUGCGAUGACAGGUCAUAGUACCUCUCCCAGGCCAAUUCUUUCUUCUCCAGUUUCAUCAAAAUUUCCUUUGGAAUACCAGGAAACUGGCGCAAGGGUGUUUGGACACUCCACAUCUGCUUAUCAAUCAUCUUGCAAAGAUUCAGAGCCUUCUCUGCUAACUGAGCCCAUCCCCUCUUCAGAACUAUCUCAAAAAGUGCUCGUAGAAGUCGGCCAGCACUCUGUAACAUUGAGAAUAAGAGUUGUAAGAAUACUAGACAAAAUAAGCAAGCAGUUCAAAGUUCAAACUCAGUUAUUGUAUGGAACGUAGAGAACAUGUUACCUGUCUGAUGUAGACCAUAUCAGAACCAAGGGAGAGGCCCUCCAGUUUCAACCUAGAUAUAUAUGCUUGCAACAGCACAUUGAUCUUUGCACUGGGCUCAUCUAAACUCUCUUUUAUAGGAAUUGGCACACGAUCCAAAAGCUUUGCCAGCUCCAUCUUCUCAUCUUGUCUGACACUAACAUACUUAAACUCUUCACUCAAAGAGAACAAUCGACACAGCUCAAUAUCACCCAUCGUGGGCUUCAGAUACUCAUUGUACGUCGAUAUAGUCCCAUGACUAAUAUAGUAAUAACUGGCAAUCCUUCCAAGAUCAGUAACCUGAAAGUAUCCUGUUUUCCUGUCGUACUUUAUCAAAUUAUUCCUAUCCAGCAAAUUUGCAGCGGAGUGCACCUGAAGCAGCACACCAAGAAUCAGCAGUGGAACAGCAAGAAGUACAAAAUCAAGAGAGCGUCUAAAGAACAAUAUUGAUAAUGAAAUCAUAAGCUAACUGCCAACUAAUUUUACUCUGAUAUUUCUCUAAGAUAUGGGACCAGUAUCAAGAUGCCCAUAUAACUUCCAAAUAAAUUAAUAAGGAACUCAUCCAAUGAAAAGCAAAUAGCUGUGAGUUUCUUUUCCUAUAACCAUAAAAUACCCAAUACCACCUUACUGAUAGGAUGAAGCCUAUUCCACCUUCAUUUUUCCCAAUUCUAAAAACUAAACUCAAGCAAAUGCGUGCUGUAUUACAAAAAAUUAUCCAUGAUAAAUUUUAUAUCUACAUGCCUACCCAUAUUUGACUGUUAGAAAAAUUAGAAACAAAUUUCCGUUAGAAUGCCACAUUUGUCCGGGCUAUUAUGCUAUUACUGAUACACAGAAAUCAAACGGAUACUAAUUACCAAAGAGGAUAUUUGUUUAGCAAUCUACAAAAUGGGCAACUGCAGUGCAUCUGGCAUAAACCAUACUGAAGAAACAAAAGACUAGUACGAACACAAGACACGUUCCCCUGGAUGCAAUUGCCGUAGUCGGGUAGAAACAUGUUGGCUAUACUAUUCUCCGCACAUAAAUACUGAACACCACAACAUACAGACAACAAAUUUAACAAUUGAUUAUUUACAAAAGAUUAUGUGCCCAUGCACAACAUCGCCAUGUAUAGCUAGUCCAUAUAUGUAAGUGCAACGGCUGAAACUAUGCUUGAAAAUAAAUCACCAGGAUGAUGGGAUUAUGCAGUUUCAGAAAAAACAGAGUAUAGCAUGUACUUACCAAGUCAGCUCGCCUCUCAUCUAGCGUUUUGUCCGUCUCCAUGAUAUCUGCUGGUAAGCCAUACAGUGUUGGAUUCCGGAGCAUCCGGAUGUAGAGAUAAGUGUAGCCAAGCCAAGAGCAUGCUUCCCGAGCAUUCUGAAUAGUACCCAGAACAAUCUCUGCAUUUAACUGAUCUGCCAACUUGGAUAUGAACUGACUCUCAAUAGGCAGCUGUUGAUUCAUAAGGGAGAGGUAGUAUUGCAAUUCACUGUGGCCAGUUAAGAUUAUUCCCUCUCCGUGUGUGUCAUACUGAGGCCUACCUGCACGACCAAGCAUCUGCAUGACAUCCAGAGGACUUAAUUCUGUCCAAGCACCUUUUUCCGGAUUAUAAAUCUGUGUGCCCUUUAUAAUAACAGUAUGUGCAGGCAAGUUGACACCCCAUGCAAGGGUGGCUGUCGAAACAAGAACCUGUAUAUGCUUAUCAGCAAAAAGUUCCUCAACAAGUUCACGGUCUACCCUUGCCAUCCCAGCAUGAUGUAUAGCAAACCCAUACGGCAAAAGGUCUUUAAGAUCACUGCUUUUGACAAUAUCUGUAUGACUGCCAAGGAUCUCCUGGCUUGCACUCUCAUCCUUCAGAAAGCGAGUCAAUGUAUCAUUCGCCAAGGCAGUGUCUCGGAUUGCUCGAGCAGUUUUCGAUGUCUCCUUCCUGGAGUGCACAAAAAUAAGCACUUGAUGCUUACCAGCAGAAGCCAUCACUUUCUCAUAACAGAUCUCAUUCAUCAACUGAAACCUCUGCAGUGGCUUCCUCACAGUGAUCCCAAUGUACUGCUGAGCAAGAGGGCAAGGCCGGUAACUGUUGUCAAAAUGGAAGAGACCCUCAGAGCGAACACGCAGGAAUACAGCAACAUCUUCAUAGUUUGGAAGAGUUGCGGAGAGGCCAACUAGGCGAAUAUGUUCCUUGGUCGUCUCAAUCUGCCGUACUGUUCUAGACACAAUACUCUCCAGGACAGGCCCUCUGUUGUCAUGAAGCAGAUGGAUCUCAUCGAUGAUCAGAAGCUUUACCAUUUGAGUGUAUGUUCUGUCCCCAGAUUUCCUCGUGACAAUAUCCCACUUCUCAGGUGUGGUGACAAUGAUCUGUGUAUCAUCAAUCUGUUGUUUUGUCAGGUUCUGGUCUCCACUGAGCUCCCUAACAUUAACAUUGAAGUCUUUAAGCCGUGCCGACAAGUUUCCAACAACUUCAGCAACCAGAGCUUUCAUUGGGGCCACAUAGACAAUUUUGUACUUGCUAUUAUCAAACUCACCAUCCUUCAUAUGCAAACCUAUCUGGUGAAGAAUUGUAAGCACAGCCACAUUGGUUUUACCAGCACCAGUUGGAGCACAGAGAAGGAUGUUGUCUGGUUUGAACAGGGCAGUAUCAUAAACCUUGCUCUGGACCCUGUUCAGUUGCUGCAUUCCAGCAAAAGCCGGUUGUGCCCACCCUGGGAUAUCAGAUAUCUUCACAAUCUUCUCUCCAGUUCCAUAUGGCCUAGGUUUCAACGCUGGCACAUGGACUUCCUCAUACCCCUUAUGAGGGGUUCUGAACGAUCCCUCGGGAAGUUCACAUUUCUUGUUGGCCAUCAAGAGACCACCUUGGUGGAAGGAGAGGCUAUCAAGAUCAAGCAGCUGCCUCUGGCCUUUUAGCCAUCCACUCUCUGUAUCCCGCUCAACUGCCCGACGCUCCCUUGGACCAUCAGUGCCAGCACUGUCAUUGUUAAGAAGCCUCUUGGCCUCAUCCCUGAUACUUUUCUCCAAGUUUUUCUGCCUCUCCUUUGCAGAGGCUCUCGUUGCAUGUAGCUGCUCCAAUAUUGGGGCUAAGCUUGGGUCAUCCAUCAUCUCUUCCUCUAUCUUCUUCCGCUCUUCCUGAUCUUCAGCCCUGGCUAAGCGGGUACACCAGACUAUCUUGAACCGGUUGCGCAAUACCAGUUUAAUGAGAUCGAAUUUCUCAUAGUCCAACUCCAUGACAAGGCGAUUCUCUACAUCUCUGUCAUCACCCACAGCAAUUAUCUUCAAUAUCUCCUCGGCUAGCUUCUGGCUCUGCUGGGGAUCAAUAUCUUCAUAUGCUUGUGUUAUCUUCCUCUGCAGCCAGUAAGCGUCAAUGUCCUGCACAUUUAUGUUGAGCCCCUCGUUGGAGUUCUGCAUAUCAUCGUCAUCCAACUCGCCACCCAUCUGCAUACCUCCAGGACGGUUCAACUCAGCCACAUCAUCAUCAUCGUCAUCCAAAUCAUCUUGCACCUGAUCCAGGCAAAAACGUUGAAGGUUAUACACACAAGUAUACAUAUGGGAUGUUCCAAUCAGGAACAGGCAAGAGAAAGUGGAACACCGUAAUACUGCAAGGUUACACGCAUAUGUAUACCUGAUCAAAAUCACUUUCCUCGUCAUCUUCAUCCUCCUCGAACUCAACAGCAACUCCGAUAUCAUCAUCCAUGGUAGCGUCCCCACCAUCACCAGAAGGUACGGCAGCAGGGUCGCUGGCGUCGUGGAAAUCCGUGAUGAGCUUCCCGAUGGAGACGAACUGGUCGAACAUGGCGCUGGAGAUGGGGUUAAGCAGCUUCUCGAUCUCCUUCUUCUUGUCAGGGUUCUUGAUCUUGUCGUUCUUGAGGACGGCGAGCACCUCAUCGGCAGCCCCGCCGAGCACGUCGAGCGGCUGGCCGCCAAACUGCUGCUGGAUGACGCUGAGCAUGGCCUCGUAGGCGGCGCGCGUCUCCUUGGUCUGGGGCUUGUAGACGACGUCGUCGGCGAGGGAGAGCACGCUCUCCUCGCGCUGGGCGGCGGCGGAGCGGCGCCUGCGCUUGCGGGGCUGGUCGGCGUCGGCGUCGGCGGAGGCCGCGUCGCGCUCCUUCUUCUUGCGGGACUUGGUGAGGCGGUCCUCGAGCUCGGGGGGCUUGGCCUGCACGGCGCGGUCCCCGAAGCUCCUCUUGUCGAUCCGGCCCCAGAGCGUCUCGGGCUCGCCCGUGGGCUCGUGCGUGUCCCGCGGGCGCGAGUCGGUGGUGAGCACCAGGCUCGAGUUGGCGCGGUACUCGUACUGCUUGAACCGCGCGUGCGCCUCCGCGCCGCCUCCCAGGUUCGCCAUCCCGCCGCUGCGGGGUCAAGGAGGAGGAGGGGGAGCGGUCAGGCGGCGGCUAGGGUUUUGGAAGCGGCUGGGGUUCUGAGGAGGGGAGCGAGGGAGGGGCGUGCUGGCUGUUGUUACCUGUGGGUGGGUCGGCCGGCGGGCGGAGCUAGCGGGCGCGGCUCCCGCCGGCUCGGGUGGUGGGGGCGGCGGCGUCGUCGGCGUCGGAGACGGGGGAGNNNNNNNNNNNNNNNNNNNNNNNNNNNNNNNNNNNNNNNNNNNNNNNNNNNNNNNNNNNNNNNNNNNNNNNNNNNNNNNNNNNNNNNNNNNNNNNNNNNNNNNNNNNNNNNNNNNNNNNNNNNNNNNNNNNNNNNNNNNNNNNNNNNNNNNNNNNNAAGAUGCGGCGGGGCGGAGAUUGGAUUGGACUUUGGGGGAGGAAUAUUAGCCUAGGUCAGGCUCAGGCCGGGUCGGUUCGAGACGAGAGGCCUGCCUACGAACCGACCAUGCCCAUGUCGGCUCCUGGGCCGGCCCGCCUUGCUUGGUGGGCCCUGAGAGGGGAUAAUAAGAUGUUUACAUGUUAACCAUCUAAGUAGUUGUAAGAAAAAUAUGACCUAUCAAAUGUACUCCAUCCGUCCGAGACUACUUGUCGCGACAAUGAAUAAAAAUGAAUGUAUCUGAAACUAAGACGCAUCUAGAUGCAUCCAUUCCUCCGACGAAUAUUUCCAGACUGAGGGAGUAAUAUGUAGCGGUGUGCAAUGGUCCAAAACAAAAAAUAGAUGGUCCCAAAUUAUGCGGUAACUAUCGGAGUAUGUUGGAAAUCCAUAUGCAUAUGUGCAAACAACUUUAAUAAGUAUAGAUUUGGUUCUUCAUAGUAUCUUAUUUUAGAAUGGCUUUCGUGCAGAUGGAGCCACAUGCCGGUUGAAUGUUAGAAUUGCAGUGUGCAUGUAGAAGUUAUUAAAUGUCUACAUUAUUGUACUCCAUAAACUCGGUGGUUCGCAUCUUCUUUCAUAAUGGCUUCCAUGCAUAUCUUCAGAUAUGGCAAUAUCUGAACUGCAACAUGCAUAUCUUCUGGAUAGGAUCACACAAUCAUUCAAAAGGCUUUACUUGACACAAACACUAAUUUAAAUAUAAAAACACAAUAAUUACAACAGCAGUAAUAUUGUUAUCUGACACAAACUGAAAGUAGAACAAGAAAAAAUAAGAUAAUUAUUGGGUUGCCUUCCAACAAGCUUUAUUGUUUUACGUCCCUAGCUAGGCAUAAUGCAUAGUUCUAAGUGUUCUCCUUAUUGGUGGGACCCUUAUCGGAUCCCGGAGAUUCCUUUCGUUUAUUAAUGACCUCUGAAAGUGAAGUCACCAAUUUGUCAAGGGACUCAUGUUUUUUAUUGGCGGUGGUAAGAAAAGAGUUCAUGUGAUGAAGCCUAGGCCCUGAUGUUUUAAUGGGUUCGUUAACCUUUUGUAUUGCAGUAAUAUUCUUUUGCAAAUCUCCUAGCUUCUCUAAUAUUUGGAUGUCCUCAUGUGUAAAAGAAUAUGUUUGAGGUAACUAGCAAAAGAGCUCGUGCGUUGCAACGGAAGCAAACCAUACAACACGUCUUAACCUAAUAAUCAUGACUUGAGAUCUUUAUUUAAACUUACUGCAUAAAUAGAAUUUAAAAAAUGUUAAAUAAGUAAAAUAACAUCAUAUUUAGAUUAUACACAUCACUAUAGAUUCAAAUUACAUUACAAAUAGAAAUUUAAAAACUAAAUAGGUAAGAUACAUUAGAUUUCGAUUCAACACAUUUUUUGAAUGAAAGUUCAUAUGUAAUAAUUUAAAAUUAAAGUUACAGUUUAAAAGAUAAAAUUGUUUAUAGUAUUUGUUAAUUAUAAUUGGACCGUGGAUUAAUUAACAACAUGGAUUGGCCUCCUUAUGAAAAAUGGAUUGUACACUAUUGAUUAAAAUUACAGCAUAAAUAUUAUUUAAAAAUUAUUAAAUAAAUAAAAUAAUAUUAUAUUUAAAUUGUGCGCAUCACUAUUGAUUUAAAUUACAUUAUAAACAGAAUUUUAAAAAAUUAAAUAGAUAAACUAACAUUAUAUUCAGAUUUUACAUAUUUUUCUAAAAAUUUCAUAUAUAAUAAUGUAAAAUUGGAGUUACUGUUUAAAAGACAUAUUUUUUAAAAGUAUUUUGCACUUAUAAUUUAACUAUAGAUUAAUUAAUUAAAAAACUGUAGGAGUGUUUUCGGAAACAUACGGAAAAUGAUUGGUUUUUUUUACUCAAGUAUGUACUGCGGGUUUAUUUUAUGAAAACUGAAGGAGGUUUCUAUAAAAAAUCUAGAAAAUGAUUCGUUCUCUCACUGUGUUAUGUACUGCGGGUUGAUUUCGGGAAAGCACAGGGGUUUCCUGUAAAAACGAAAAAACGAUUCAUCUCUCACUUAAAUCUGGACUGCGGGUUGAUUUUGGGAAACUUUAGGGGGUUUUCUGCAAAACGACCACGAUGGACGAAAGAAGCAUUGUGUGCUUUAUUAUUAGGGAGAGAUGGAGGAGUUCCUACCAUUCUUUCUACUAUUUCAUAUGCAACAGUGGGAUCCAAUUCGAUAAAAUUUCCUUUUGCAGCGAAGUCUAGAACCUGUCUAUGAGACAUCCCUAGACCUAUAUAAAAAUUACGAAGGAGGAUCUUCAUAUCAUUCUUUAUGGUAGCAUUAUGAUGAAACUCAAUUAUAUGAUACCAUGUGCUACUGCAACAAAAGACCUUCCAACGACGUCAGAAAUAGGAGUGUUACUUGAUACUCCUCAGUAACGGCACCAGAAAUACUUCUGAUGCCAGUUGUGCUUCCCUAGCAACGGCGUCGGGAAUAGUCGUGUCGACGACACCAAGAAUCCUUCUGUUACGGCUACGCCUUAAGGGACUUCCUAGGCAAAUAUGCAAAGGAUUUCCCCCGUGGCCUUGGAGCCUUGUGUUGGUGUUCCCUCGAAACGGAAAGGGUGAUGUAGCACAGCGGUGGUAAGUAUUUCCCUCAGUUUGAGAACCAAGGUAUCAAUCCAGUGGAGGAGUAUCUCAAGAUCCUGCACAAACACAAAAGCUUGCUCCCAAGCUAUGAAGGGGUUGUCAAUCCCUUAUAGAUUGUUUGUCAACUGAGAACUAAAAGCAACAAAGUAACAAAGCAAAAUAAAAGCAGAGGUGUAAAUGAUGGAUGUGAAUAGACUUGGGGGCCGUAGUGUUUACUAGUGUCUUCUCUCAUGAAAGCAAGUAGACGGUGGGUGCACAAAUUACUGGCGAGCAAUUGAUAGAACCGCGCAAAGUCGUGACGAUAUCUAAGUCAAUGAUUAUAUCUAUAGGCAUCACGUCCAAAACAAGUAGACCGAUACUUUCUGCAUCUACUACUAUUACUCCACACGUCGACCGCUAUCGAGCAUGCAUCUAGUGUAUUAAGUCCAAAAGAACAGAGUAACGCCUUAAGCAAGAUGGCAUGAUGUAGAGGGAUAAUCUCAAACCAAUGAUGAAAACCCCAUCUUUUUACCCUUGAUGGCAACUACUUAAUGUGUGCCUUGCUGCCCCUACUGUCAUUGGGAAAGGUCACCACAUGGCAGAACCCAAAACCAAGCACUUCUCCCAUUGCAAGAAUCAUAGAUCUAGUUGGCCAAACAAAACCCAAGACUCGGAGAGACUUACAAGGAUAUCAAAUCAUGCAUAUAAGAAAUCAGCAAAGACUCAAAUAUAUAUCAUAGAUAAUCUGAUCACAAAUCCACAAUUCAUCGGAUCUCGACAAACACACCGCCAAAGAAGAUUACAUCGGAUAGAUCGCCAUGACGAUCAUGGAGAACUUUGUAUUGAAGAUCCAAGAGAGAGAAGAAGCCAUCUAGCUACUAACUACGGACCCGUAGGUCUGAAGUGAACUACUCACGAGUCAUUGGAGGGGUGAUGAUGAUGAUGAAGAAGCCCUCCAACUCCAAAGUCCCCUCCGACAGGGCGCCGGGAAGGGUCUCCAGAUGAGAUCUCGCGGAAACGGAAGAUUGCAGCGGCGGAAAAGUAUUUUCGAGGCUCCCCUGAUUUUUUCCUGAAUAUUUGGGAAUAUAUAGGCCAAGGAUCUAGGUCAGGGGCGGCCAGGGAGGCCACAAGCCCUGACACCGCCGCCUCCCCCCUAGUGGCGGAGUGGGAGCUUGUGGGCUCCCUGGAGCCCACCUGGCUUGGCCCAAAGGCCCCCUGAUCUUCUUCCGUUUGGAAAAAAAUCAUUUCGGAAUUUUUAUUCUGUUUGGACUCCGUUCCAAAAUCAGAUCUGAAAAGAGACAAAAACACAGAAAAAACAGGAACUGACACUUGGCACUGAAUUAAUAAGUUAGUCCAAAAAAAGAUAUAUAAAAGGUACAUAAAACAUCCAAAGAAGACAAGAUAAUAGCGUGAAACCUUCAAAAAUUAUAGAUACGUUUGAGACGUAUCAAGCAUCCCCAAGCUUAACUCCUGCUCGUCCUCGAGUAGGGAAGUGAUAAAGAAUUAAUUUUUGAUGCUUUCAUGCUACCUAGCAUAGAUGUCCUUUGUAAUUCCUCUUAUGUGACGUGAAUGUUCAGAUCCAUUAGAUUCAAAACAAUAGUUUUCUAUUGACGUGGAAACAAUAAUAAUUCAAGCAAACUAGCAAGGUAAUCAUGAACUUUCAAAAUAACAAGGCCAAAAGAAAGUUAUCCCUACAAAAGCAUAUAGUCUGGCUAUGCUCUAUCAUCAUUGCACAACGAAUUUAAAUCAUGCACAACCCCGGUAUUGGCCAAGUAAUUGUUUCACACCUUUACUUUCUCAAACCUUUUCAACUCUCACGCAAUACAUGAGCGUGAGCCAUGGUUAUAGCACUAUAGAUGGUGUGGAAUGUGGUGGAGGUUGCAAGACAAAAAGGAGAAGAUAGUCACAUUAACUACGCAUAUCAAUGAGCCGUGGAGAUGCUUAUCAAUAGAUAUCAAUGUGAAUGAGUAGGGAUUGCCAUACAAAUGAUGCACUAGAGCUACGAGUAUGUGAAAGCUCUUAAAUAAAACUAGUGGGUGUGCGUCCAACUUGCUUGCUCACGAAAACCUAAGGCAAUUUUGAGGAAGCCUAUCAAUGGAAUAUACAAACCAAGUUAUAUAAUGAAAAUUUCGCACUAGCUAUAUGGUGGUGACAAAACAAGAGACUCUCAAUCAUGAAGAUCAUGGUGCUUAAUAUGCACAAGUGUGGAAAAAGUGGUAGCAUUGUCCCUUCUCUCUUUUUCUCUCAUUUGUUUUUUAUUUUUUUGGUGGGCUCUUUGGCCUCACUUUUUUUUGGUGGGCUUCUUUGGCCUCUUUUAUUUCCUCACAUGGGACAAUGCUCCAUUAAUGAUGAUCAUCACACUUUUAACUCAAAACUUAGAGCAACUAUGACUCUAUAUGGAAUGCCUUCGGUAGUGUACCGUGACAAAGAUCUACGAUGGCAUAGACAUCAAUGGAAACAUCAUGCUAGAUAUCUUACGAUCAUGCAAUGGCAAUGUAGACGUGGUGGCACAUGUCAUGGUGGUAGUUGCAUGGCAAUAUAUCUAGGAAUGACUUUGAAAAAGCCAUAGUAGGUAGGUAUGGUGGCUGUUUUGAGGGAGGCUAAUGGUGGAUUUUGUGCAUCGGCGAAAGUUGCACGGCACUAAGAAGAUAGUGAUGGUGGAAGGUGAAAGUGCAUCUAAACCAUGGACUCAACAUUAGUCAUGAAGAACUCAUAUACUUGUUGCAAAAGUUUUAUUAGUAACCAAAACAAAUCAUUCAACGCAUACUCCUAGGGGAAGGGUUGGUAGGUAUAAACAAUCGCGCGAUCCCGACCACGACGCAAAGGAUGACAAUCAAUAUACUAAUCAUGCUCAGAUUUCAUCACAUAGCGGUUCACCAUACGUGCAUGCUACGGGAAUCACUAACUUCAACACACGUAUUUCUAGAUCCACAAGACCUUACUAGCAUGACUUGAAUAUUACCAUAACCACAACUCAAAACUAAUUGAGAUGAAUCAAACUUCUCUAACUGUUCAAUGCACAUGAAGGUGGAAGUUUCCGUAUCCCUUUGGAUAACUACCCCUUUUGAGACUACUUUCAAAGCAUAGAUCAACUACCAAGACACGCACCGCUGUGCUCUAAAAGAUAUAAGUGAAGCACAUAGAGCAAAAGUAUCUAGCUCAAAAGAUAUAAGUGAAGCACAUGUGAGCUGAAUUGUCUACCAAAAGAUAUAAGUGAAGCUCGACAAAAUCACGGUGAGUGCAUGUCUCUCUCUCUAGGUGUGCAGCAAGGAUGAUUAUGACACAAAAAAAAUAAAACACUCCUACGAUACAAGACGCUCCAAGCAAAAAACACAUAACAUGUGGUGAAUAAAAAUAUAGCCCAAGUAACACCGAUGGAUUGAACACGAAAGAGGGGAUGCCUUCCCGGGGCAUCCCCAAGCUUAGGAUUUUACGGCAUCCUUGAAUCUCUUGGGGUGCCUUGGGCAUCCCCAAGCUUGAGCUCUUGCCACUCUUUAUCAUUUUGUCCAUAAGAACUUCACCCAAAACUUGAAAACUUCACAACACGAAACUUAAACAGAAACUCGUGAUAACAUUAGUAUGAGAAAGCAAACCACCACUUCCUUAGGUACUGUAGCAAACUUAAAUUCCACUUGCUCUGAUGUUGGGUUACUGUACUUUCCAUCUCCCAUGGCUAAUACCCCCCGAUACUAUCCAUAGUUUCAUCAAAAUAAGCAACCAACAUAACAAAAACAGAAUCUGUUAACAGCAGUCCAGUCUGUAGAAAUCUGUAUAUUUCGUAUACCUAUGGCCUAUGGUACUUCAAAAAUUCUGAAAAUUUACGGAAGUCUUAAGAAUUUGCGUAGCAAUCAGCAGCAAAAAGAAUCAACUCAAAAUCUCUUACAGAAAAAAAAAUGAAAAUUCUUUUCGUGAGCAGAAAGUUUCUGUCUUUCCAGCAUGACCAAACGAUCAUCCCCAAGACUAAUCAUAACGGUUUUGCUUGGCACAAACGCAAAAAGAAACACAAAAACACAAUCAUAACAGAAUUAUGAAAGUGUGGAAAACACAAAACAUAAAUAAAAAUGAUAGAUUCGUUGGAUUGCCUCCCAACAAGCGCUUUUGUUUAACGCUCUUAGCUAGGCGAAAGUGAUGGAAUCACGUAUAGUCAUCUUUGGUGCUCAAACCAUAGGUAGCCCUCAUCAUUGAUUCAUAAGGCAAUCUUAUUUUCUUUCUAGGAAAGUGCUCCAUGCCCUUCUUUAAAGGAAAUUGAAAUCUAAUAUUCCCUUCCUUCAUAUCGAUGAUAGCACCAAUAGUCCUUAGGAAAGGUCUACCAAGAAUAAUGGGAUAUGAAGGAUUGCAAUCUAUGUCAAGUACAAUGAAAUCCACGGGUACAUAGUUCUUAUAUGCAACAAUAAGAACAUCAUCGAUCCUCCCCAUGGGUUUCUUGACAGUAGAAUCCGCAAGAUGCAAAUUAAGAGAACACUCUUCAAUCUCAUGAAAACCAAGAAUAUCACAUAAAGACUUUGGAAUCGCGGAAACACUAGCACCCAAAUCACACGAAGCAUUGCACUCAUAGUUUUUGAUCUUGAUUUUGAUAGUAGGUUCCCACUCAUCAUGAAGUUUUCUGGGUAUAGAGACUUCUAGUUCGAGCUUCUCUUCAAGAGAUUUCAUCAUAGCAUCUACGAUAUGCGCGGUAAAGGCUUUGCUUUGGCUAUAAGCAUGUGGAGAGUUUGCAAUGGAUUGCAUCAAAGAAAUGCAUUCAAACAAGGAGCAAUUAUCAUAAUUGAAUUCCUUGAAAUCCACGGUAGUAACUUCAUUACUACUCAAAGNNNNNNNNNNNNNNNNNNNNNNNNNNNNNNNNNNNNNNNNNNNNNNNNNNNNNNNNNNNNNNNNNNNNNNNNNNNNNNNNNNNNNNNNNNNNNNNNNNNNUCUACCUCUCCACCUACGUUUAAUUAGAUUAUCCUGGGUUAAUACCACGCCUUUGUGUACAAACCACAUAAAUUUUUUAAUCCGUAGUGGCACUUUAAUAUUCCAAAUAUGCAACGAUCUAGAUAAAGUUCCUGUAUUAGUCAGAUCUGUGUACAUGGACUUUACUGAGAAUACCCCAUUCGCAGUUAAAAUCCAUCAAAUGCUGUGUCUGGAUGAUCUGACAAUUGUACCUGCACAAAUCUUCUUACUAAAUGCAUCCAUGUCUCCCAACGUUCCCAACUUCAUGAUAUGUUCUGUGAAAUUUGCAUCUCAAAGGCUAGGGAGGAAAACCUUGUUUUCACGCUGGAGGAAGGAUGUUGUUUGAGUGACACAUAAGGUGCAAUACGUGAUCUUGUCAUUGGCAGCAACUGGAAAAGGGAUAGAGAUGUGCUGGACGCCAGGCUAGACUUGUCACACGUACGGCCAUUGACCGUUUUCGGAGAGUGGAGAUCGUUUUUCAUCUCUUACAAUAUGAGGUUCCUCCGAGUACUUGACUUAGAAGACACACUGGAGUUAAAAGAUCACCAUCUUGAUGAUAUUGGGCAGCUCCUUCACCUCAAGUAUCUUUCUCUUCGAGGAUGCCGGAACAUUUUAUGCCUGCCUAAUUCUUUGAAAAAUUUGAGGCACCUUGAAAUGUUGGAUGUUAGAGGUACGCAUAUAUAUGAGUUGCCAACAACAAUCACCAAUCUUCUGAAGCUACAACACCUCCAUGGAGAUAGUUAUUACUACAAUAAUCUUAAUGUCAAGGGAGAGGAUGAAAUAGUUGAGAAGUAUAAAACUUACACUAAACAUAAUUCCACAGGUCGAAUAUGUGGCAUUUGUCUCUGCAAGGGCCAUCUUUUCUUGAGACCCCAAGUUCUAGAUUCUAGUUUGAACAGGCAUGAUAUAUCCAGAAGAUGAAGCUAGAUGGCGUUAUACUUCCUAUAGGGAUCGGUAAAUUGAAGGCCCUUCAUGCACUAGGUGUUGUGGAUGUUUCCGGGAGAAACGGAAAUGCCACUAUAAAAGAGUUUGGAGAGCUUACUCAGCUACGUAAGCUUAAAGUGAGUGGCGUGAGGUACAGAAACAUCAAUGAGUUAUGGUCAGCCAUUGCUGGUCAUAAUCAACUUCAAUCUUUAUCUGUUGAUGAAACGCGUAGCCUGAAGAAAGGGAGGAUUGAGUUAGAUGGCUGUUUGGGUGAGGAUUUGUCGCCACCAAGCAGCCUGGAGAGCCUCGCUCUUAUUGGUAAGCUAGUCAAUGUGACACAAUGGAUCCAUAAGCUUCAGAAUCUCACCAAUUUGGUGCUCAAGUGGAGCGGAAUGGAGAAAGAUGAUGCCACACAAGCCCUCGGGGUGCUACUGAAUAUAGCGGUUCUGCGCCUGAGCAGUAAGUCGUUUGAGGGGAGACAUCUCCAUUUCCCGAGCCUCUUGGUGCUGGAUUUUUAUUUUUUUUUUGAAAAGGAGGAAGAGCCCCCGGCCUCUGCAUCAAUCGAAGCAUGCAGCCAUAUUAUUAACAAUCCAAAGUAACAACAUAGUUCGAGAUAAGUCUGUAAAACGGAAAUGAAAUUAAUCUGAAAAUAAACCAACUCUUAAUAACCUGUCAAUCCGGCGUAACUAAUAUCAGACUACUAUGCCUAUACACUUAGUCUAUUACUAGCACACCAUCCAAACCGGUUGAAGAUAACCCGUGCGGCCAUCUCCCAUUUGUUGCACCGAGUAACCAUAAGAUCCCUGCUGUCCGCAUGACUGAGUAAUGACCACGUACGGAUCCAGGACGUUGCUCAGAAUAUGACCUGCAAAAAAUUAUGAAAUUUCAUCCCAUUAAAGAUUAUGUCGUUCCUGGUAUUCCAUAUAGCCCAGAAAAGAGCACAUAUCCCAAUUCUAAUAAGUUUAGAUACUCUAACGUCCACUCCAUUGAGCCACGUUGUAAAAAUUGAAUUGAUGCAUGCAGGUGGAAUCACAUUAAAAGCUAUAUGAACAAUACGCCAAAGUAGUUUUGCGAGAGGGCAAUCCAAAAACAAGUGUCUAAUUGUUUCAUGUUGAUCACAGUAACAACAAUUAGAUCUACCCCUCCAACUACGUUUAAUUAAAUUAUCUUUGGUAAAUAUCACACCUUUGUGUGCAAACCACAUAAUUUUUUUAAUCCGUAGUGGCACUUUAAUAUUCCAUAUAUGCAAUGAUGUAGAUAAAGGACCUGAAUUAAUCAGGUCUGUGUACAUGGACUUUACUGAGAAUACCUCAAUCACAGUUAAAAUCCAUCGAACGUUGUCUGGAUGAUCUGAUAAUUGGACCUGCAUAAGUCUUCUUACCAAAUGCAUCCAUGCCUCCCAACGUGCACCUACUAGAGCUCGCCUGAAGUGCAUAUUAAUAGGUACAGAUUGUAAGACUGUGGACACAUAGUCCUGCUUACGCUGUGCAAUAUUGUAGAGCAUGGGAUAUUGUAAAGCAAGUGAUAUGUCACCAAGCCAAGUAUCUUCUCAAAAUCUUGUCGAGGUACCAUCCCCUACAAUGAAUUUCACCCUUUGAAAAAAAAUAAUCUUUAUCCUCAUUAACCCUUUCCAGAAAGGAGAGUCAUCAGGCCUAAUUGUUGCUUGAGCUAAAGUUCUUGUGUUAAGAUACUUAUUUUUUAAUAUUUGAAUCCACAUGCCUUCUGUCUCAGUGGAUAAUCUAUACAACCAUUUGCUAAGUAAGCAUUUGUUCUUAACUUCUAAAUUUUCAAUUCCAAAACCCCCCUCGUCUUUGGGUCUACAAAUCAUAUCCCAACGCGCUAAUCUGUAUCUUUUCUUAUUCACAUCAGAUUGUCAAAAGAAACGAGAUCUAUAAAAAUCCAGUCUUUUCCGUACCCCUUUAGGUAUCUCGAAAAAAAGACAAAAGAAACAUGGAUAGGCUUGUUAACACAAAGUAAAUUAAAACCAGCCUGCCUCCAUAUGACAUAAGUUUGCCCUUUCAGCAACUUAGUUUCUUUUCAAAUCGUUCUUCAAUACAUUUCCAUUCUUUAAUUGUUAAACGUCUGUGAUGUAUAGGAAUCCCAAGAUAGCUAAAAGGUAGAGAACCCAUUUCACAACCAAAUAGCUGUCGAUACGCGACUUCUCUUCUCUUGCCUUCCCAAAGCAUAAGAGUUCACUUUUGUUAAAACUGAUUUUCAACCCCGAUAGUUGUUCAAAUAAACACAAUAUUAAUUUCAUAUUCCUCGCUUUCUCCAUAUCCUGUUCCAUGAAAAUAAUUGUAUCAUCCGCAUAUUGUAAAAUGGACACCCCUCCAUCUACCAGAUGUGGAAUAAGGCCACCUAUUUGACCUUUCUCUUUGGUUCUUUCAAUGAGUAUUGUUAACAUAUCUGCUACUAUACUAAACAAUACAGGAGACAUUGAAUCACCCUGUCUUAACCCCUUAUGGGUUUGGAAGAAAUGAGCAAUGUCGUCAUUAACUUUAACUCCAACACUCCCUUUAUGAAUGAAAGUGUCAACCUGCUGUCUCCACUUUUCAUUGAACCCUUUCAUACUUAAGGCUUGUUGAAGAAAAUACCACUUAACUUUAUCAUAAGCUUUUUUCGAAAUCCACUUUAAAGAUAACCCCAUCUAGUUUCUUUGUGUGAAUUUCAUGAAGCGUUUCAUGCAAGACGACCACACCCUCCAAGAUGUGUCGCCCUGGCAUAAACGCAGACUGUGUUGGUUGGACAAUGGAAUCAACUAUCUUCGUUAAUCUAUUGGUUGCCACCUUAGUAAAAAUCUUGAAGCUCACAUUGAGUAGACAGAUUGGUCUGAACUGUUGAAUGCGCAUGGCGUCCACCUUUUUUGGCAACAACGUUAUUGUUCCAAAGUUUAGGUGAAAUAAUUGUAGUCGACCAUUAAAUAAAUCAUCAAACAUAGCCAUUAGAUCCCCCUUAAUGACAUGCCAACACUUUUUAUAAAAUUCUGCAGGGAACCCAUCUCGUCCGGUGCUUUAUUGUGUUUCAUUUGUGCUAUCGAAUCAUACACCUCCUUCUCUGUGAAUUUGGCUGAUAAAACCUCAUUCUCCUGUUCAUUAAGUUGAGGUAUAUCCUGAACAUUGUUUUCAUCCAAAGAGAUCAUCAUCUCCUCUGGUGCACCAAAAAGACUUAUAAUAAUCAGAGAUAUAUAACUUUAAGUUUUCAUGACCUAUUAUAGUUCCCUCUGUUGGAAAUAUGCCCUAGAGGCAAUAAUAAAAUGGUUGUUAUCAUAUUUCCUUGUUCAUGAUAAUCGUCUAUUGUUCAUGCUAUAAUUGUAUUAACAGGAAACAGUAAUACAUGUGUGAAUAAAUAGAUCACAAUGUGUCCCUAGCAAGCCUCUAGUUGGCUAGCUCGUUAGUCAAUAGAUGAUCAUGGUUUCCUGAUCAUGGGCAUUAGAUGUCAUUGAUAACGGGAUCACAUCAUUGGGAGAAUGAUGUGAUGGACAAGACCCAAUCCUAAGCAUAGCACUAGAUCGUAUUGUUCGUAUGCUAAAGCUUUUCUAAUGUCAAGUAUCUUUUCCUUGGACCGUGAGAUUGUGCAACUCCCGGANNNNNNNNNNNNNNNNNNNNNNNNNNNNNNNNNNNNNNNNNNNNNNNNNNNNNNNNNNNNNNNNNNNNNNNNNNNNNNNNNNNNNNNNNNNNNNNNNNNNNNNNNNNNNNNNNNNNNNNNNNNNNNNNNNNNNNNNNNNNNNNNNNNNNNNNNNNNNNNNNNNNNNNNNNNNNNNNNNNNNNNNNNNNNNNNNNNNNNNNNNNAGUGUCUGUUGGGUUGGUACGAAUCGAGAUCGGGAUUUGUCACUCCGUGUGACGAAGAGGUAUCUCUGGGCCCACUCGGUAGAACAUCAUCAUGAGCUCAAUGUGACUAAGGAGUUAGUCACACGAUGACGUGUUGCGGAACGAGUAAAGAGACUUACCAGUAACGAGAUUGAACAAGGUAUAGGUAUACCGACGAUCGAAUCUCGGGCAAGUUCUAUACGGACAGACAAAGGGAAUUGUAUACGGGAUUGAUUGAAUCCUUGACAUCGUGGUUCAUAUGAUGAGAUCAUCGUGGAGAAAGUGGGAGCCACCAUGGGUAUCCAGACCCCGCUGAUGGUUAUUGACCAGAGAGGUGUCUCGGUCAUGUCUGCCUGUCUUCCGAACCCGUAGGGUCUACACACUUAAGGUUCGGUGACGCUAGGGUUAUGAGGUUACCGAAAGUUGUUCGGAGUCCCGGAUGAGAUCCCGGAUGUCACGAGGAGCUCCGGAAUGGUCCGGAGGUAAAGAUUGAUAUAUAUGAUGGAUGGUUUCAGAUACUGGAAGUGUUUCGGGCAUCACCGGUAACGUACCGGGAGCACCGAAGGUGGCCCCGGGGGUCCACCGAAGGGGGGCAACGACCCCGGGAGGUAAGGUGGGCCAAGUGGGGGAGGGAACCAGCCCCUAGGUGGGCUGGUGUGCCUCCUCACUCAGCCCAAUGCGCAGGGGAGAGGGAAGGGGGCAAACCCUAGGCACAGGUGGGCCUUAGGCCCACCAGGUGGUGUGCCACCCCCUCCCACCCUAGCCGCCGCCUCCUUUCCCAUAUGGUGGCUGCCGCACCACCUAGGGAGGGAACCCUAGGGGUGGCGCAGCCCCUCCCCCUCCUCCUAUAAAUAGAGAGGGGUUUUGGCCCUUGGGAGACAGACUUCUCCCUCUCCCUCGGCGCAGCCCUGCCCUUCUUUCUCCUCCUCUCUGCGGUGCUUGGCGAAGCCCUGCCGGGAGACCUCGUCUCUCCAUCGACACCGGGAGACCUGCUGGAUCAAGUUGCAGGAGACGUCACCGGGCUGCACGUGUGUUGAACGCGGAGGUGCCGUAGUUCGGCACUAGAUCGGAAUCGCUGCGAGUACGACUCCAUCAACCGCGUUCUAGCAGCGCUUCCGCUUAGCGAUCUUCAAAGGUAUGAAGAUGCUUUUACCCCUCUCUCGUUGCUGGUCUCUCCAUAGGAAGAUCGGAAUAUGCGUAGGAAAAUUUUGAAUUUAUGCUACGUUACCCAACAGUGGCAUCCGAGCUAGGUUUUCUAUGCGUAGAUUCUAUGCACGAGUAGAACACAAAAGUUGUGGGCGAUGAUUUGUCAAUUUGCUUGCCGCUACUAGUCUUAUUCUUUUCCAGCGGUAUUGUGGGAUGAAGCGGCCCGGACCGACUUGACACGUACGCUUACGUGAGACUGGUUCCACCGAUAGACAUGCACACCGUGCAUAAAGGUGGCUAGCGGGUGUCUGUCUCUCCUACUCUAGUCGGAUUGGAUUUGAUGAAAAGGGUCCUUAUGAAGGGUAAAUAGCUUUGGCGUGUCAUCGUUGUGGCUGUCACGUAGGUAAGAAGGCGUUCUUGCUAGAAACCCAAAUCAGCCACGUAAAACUUGCAACAACAAUUAGAGGACGUCUAACUUGUUUUUGCAGGGUUUGACAUGUGAUGUGAUAUGGCCAAAGUUGUGAUGUUGCAUGUAUGAUGUAUGAGAUGAUCAUGUUAUUGUAAUAGGUUUCACGACUUGCAUGUCGAUGAGUAUGACAACCGGCAGGAGCCAUAGGAGUUGUCUUAAUUUAUUGUAUGAGAUGCAACGCCAUGUGCUUACUACUUUUACUUCAUUGCUAACGGUUAGAUAUAGUAGUAGUGAUAGUAGUAGUUGGCGUGACGACUUCACGGAGACACGAUGAUGGAGAUCAUGAUGAUGGAGAUCAUGGUGUAACGCCGGUGACGAUGAUGAUCAUGCGAUGCCUGAAGAUGGAGAUCGAAAGGGCGAAGAUGAUAAUGGCCAUAUCAUGUCACUAUAUGAUUGCAGUGUGAUGUUUAUCAUGUUUUACAUCUUAUUGCUUAGAACGACGGUAGCAUAAUAAGAUGAUCCCUCUUAAAAUUUUGAGAAUGUAUUCCCCUAAGUGUGCACCCUUGCGAUGGUUCGUUGUCUCGAAGCACCACGUGAUGAUCGGGUGUGAUAGAUUCUAACGUUCGCAUACAAUGGGUGUAAGCCAGAUUUACACACGCGAAACACCUAGGUUGACUCGACGAGCUUAGCAUGUACAGACAUGACCUCGAAUACAAGAGACCGAAAGGUUGAACAUGAGUCGUAUGGUUGAAUACGAUCAACAUGAAGUUGCUCACCAUGGUGACUAGUCCGUCUCACGUGAUGAUCGGACACGGGUUAGUCAACAUGGAUCAUGUAUCACUUAGAUGACUAGAGGGAUGUCGAUUUAGGUGGAAGUUCAUACUUAAUUUGAUUAAAUGAACUUAAUUGUCAUGAACUUAGUCUAAAAGUUGUCUUUAUAAAUAUUGUAGAUGGCCAACGUCAACCUCAAUUUCAACGCAUUCCUAGAGAAAAACAAGCUGAAAGAUGAUGGUAGCAACUAUGCGGACUGGGUUCGCAACUUGAAGCUCAUCCUUGAAGCAGCUAAAAAGGCAUAUGUCCUUGAUGCGCCGCUAGGUGAUCCUCCCGCUCCCACAGCAGCCCAGGACAUUCAGAACAUCUGGCAAACGCGGAGUGAUGACUACUCUCUGGUUAGGUGUGGCAUGUUAUACAGUUUAGAAACGGGGCUCCAAAGGCGUUUUGAGCAACACGGAGCAUAUGAGAUGUUCCAGGAGCUGAAGCUAGUUUUUCAAGCUCAUGCCCGUGUCGAGAGAUAUGAAGUCUCCGACAAGUUCUUUAGCUGUAAGAUGGAGGAGAACAGUUCUGUCAGUGAGCACAUACUCAAAAUGUCUGGGUUACACGGUCGUCUGACUUCACUUGGAGUCGAACUUCCGGAUGAUGCUAUAAUUGACAGAAUCCUCCAGUCUCUCCCACCAAGCUACAAAGGCUUUAUGCUUAACUACAACAUGCAAGGGAUGGAGAAGACCAUUCCCGAGUUGUACUCGAUGCUCAAGUCUGCAUAAAUAGAAAUCAAGAAAGAGCAUCAAGUGUUGAUGGUCAACAAGACCACUAGUUUCAAGAAGGGCAAGGGUAAGAAGAACUUCAAGAAAGACGGCAAAGCUGUUGCCGCGCGCGGUAAGCCAGAUGCCGGGAAGAAGAAAAAGAAUGGACCCAAGCCUGAGACUGAGUGCUUCUAUUGCAAGGGAAAAGGUCACUGAAAGCGGAACUGCCCCAAAUACUUAGCGGAUAAGAAGGCCGGCAAUGUUAAAGGUAUAUGUGAUAUAGAUGUUAUUGAUGUGUGCCUUACCAGCGCUCGUAGUAGCUCCUGGGUAUUUGAUACCGGUGCUGUUGCUCACAUUUGCAACUCAAAGCAGGAACUAUGGAAUAAGCGGAGACUGGCCAAGGACGAGGUGACGAUGCGCGUCAGGAAUGGUUCAAAGGUCGAUGUGAUCGCCGUCGGCACGCUACCUCUACAUCUACCGUCGGGAUUAGUUUUAAACCUUAAUAAUUGUUAUUUAGUACCAGCUUUAAGCAUGAACAUUGUAUGAGGGUCUUGCUUAAUGCGAGACGGCUACUCAUUUAAGUCAGAGAAUAAUGGUUGUUCUAUUUAUAUGAGUGAUAUGUUUUAUGGUCAUGCUCCGCUGGUGAAUGGUUUAUUCUUGAUGAAUCUCGAUCGAGAUGUUACACAUAUUCAUAGUGUGAGUACCAAAAGAUGUAAAGUUGAUAAUGAUAGUCCCACAUACUUGUGGCACUGCCGCCUUGGUCAUAUAGGCGUUAAGCGCAUGAAGAAGCUCCAUACUGAUGUACUAUUAGAGUCUCUUGAUUUUGAAUCAUUUGACACAUGCGAACCGUGCCUCAUGGGCAAGAUGACUAAGACUCCAUUCUCAGGUAUAAUGGAGAGAGCAACCGACUUAUUGGAAAUAAUACAUACUGAUGUGUGUGGUCCAAUCAACGUUGAAGCUCGCGGUGGCUAUCGUUAUGUUCUUACUUUCACCGAUGAUUUGAGUAGGUAUGGGUAUAUCUACUUGAUGAAGCACAAUACUGAGACAUUUGAAAAGUUCAAGGAAUUUCAGAGUGAGGUUGAGAAUCAACGUGACAGAAAAAUCAAGUGUCUACGAUCUGAUCGUGGAGGAGAAUAUUUGAGUCAUGAGUUUGGCACACACCUAAGGAAGUGUGGAAUCGUUUCAGAACUGACGCCGCCUGGCACACCGCAACGCAACGGAGUGUCUGAACGUCGUAAUCGCACUUUAUUAGAUAUGGUACGAUCUAUGAUGUCUCUUACCGACUUACCACUAUCAUUUUGGGGAUACGCAUUAGAAACUGCAACAUUCACUUUAAAUAGGGCACCGUCUAAAUCCGUUGAGACGACACCGUAUGAACUAUGGUUUGGCAAGAAACCUAAGUUGUCGUUUCUUAAAGUUUGGGGCUGCGAUGCUUUUGUGAAGAAACUUCAACCAGAAAAGCUCGAAUCCAAAGCGGAGAAAUGCGUGUUCAUAGGAUACCCUAAGGAAACUAUUGGGUAUAACUUCUAUCUUAGAUCCGAAGGUAAAACCUUUGUUGCCAAGAAAGGAUCCUUUCUAGAGAAAGAGUUUCUCUCGAAAGAAGUAAGUGGGAGGAAGGUAGAACUUGAUGAGGUAAUUACACCCCCUCUCGAACAGGAUAGUAGCGCAGCGCGGGAAGUUGUUCCUGUGGCGCCUACACCGACUGAAGAGGAAGUUAAUGAUGAUGAUCAUGAAGCUUCGGAUCAAGUUACUACUGAACCGCGAAGGUCCACAAGGGCACUCUCCACACCAGAGUGGUACGGCAAUGCUGUGAUGCAUGUUGUUAGACAACGGUGAACCUUCAAACUAUGAAGAAGCGAUGGCGGGCCCGUAUUCCAACAAAUGGAUUGAGGCUAUGAAAUCCAAGAUAGGAUCCAUUAUAUGAGAACAAAGUAUGGACUUUGGUGGACUUGCCCGAUGACCGGCGAGCCAUAGAAAAUAAAUUGAUCUUCAAGAAGAAGACUGAUGCAAACGGUAAUGUAACCGUUUACAAAGUUCGACUUGUCGCAAAGGGUUUUCGACAAAUUCAAGGAGUUGACUACGAAGAGACUUUCUCUCCCGUAGCGAAGCUGAAAUCAGUCCGAAUCAUGUUAGCAAUUGCCGCCGUUUAUGAUUAUGAAAUUUGGAAAUGGACGUCAAAACAACGUUCCUUAACGGGAACCUUAAGGAAGAGUUGUAUAUGAUGCAACCAUAAGGUUUUGUCGACCCUAAGGGUUCUAACAAAGUGUGCAAGCUCCAGCGCUCCAUCUAUGGGCUGGUGCAAGCAUCUCGGAGUUGGAACAUUCGCUUUAAUGAGGUGAUUAAAGCGUUUGGGUUCAUACAAGUUUACGGAGAAGCCUGUCUGUACAAGAAAGUGAGUGGGAGCUCUGUAGCUUUCCUCAUACUGUAUGUGGAUGACAUAUUAUUGAUGGGGAAUAAUAUAGAGAUGUUGGAGAGCAUAAAGGCCUAUUUGAACAAAAGUUUUUCAAUGAAGGACCUUGGAGAAGCUGCAUACAUAUUAGGCAUCAAGAUCUAUAGAGAUAGAUCAAGACGCCUCAUAGGUCUUUCGCAAAGUACAUACCUUGACAAGAUAUUGAAGAAGUUCAAUAUGGAAAACUCAAAGAAAGGGUUCUUGCCAGUUUUGCAAGGUAUGAGAUUGAGUAAUACUUAGUCGCCGACCACGACAGCAGAUAGAGAGAAGAUGAGUUAUGCCCCCUAUGCUUCAGCCGUGGGCUCUCUAAUGUAUGCCAUGCUGUGUACCAGACCUGAUAUAAACCUUGCCAUAAGUUUGGUAGGGAGGUACCAAAGUGAUCCUGGUAUGGAACACUGGACAGCGGUCAAGAAUAUCCUUAAGUACCUGAAAAGGACUAAGGAAGUGUUUCUCGUUUAUGGAGGUGACGAAGAGCUCGUCGUAAAGGGUUACGUCGACGCUAGCUUCGACAUAAAUCCGGAUGACUCUAAGUCACAGACCGGAUACGUAUAUGUGUUGAAUAGUGGGGCAGUGAGCUGGUGCAGCACCAAGCAAGAAGUCGUGGCAGCAUCUACAUGUGAAGUGGAGUACAUAGCUGCUUCAGAAGCGGCUCAUGAAGGAAUUUGGAUGAAGGAGCUCAUCACCGACCUUGGAGUGGUUCCAAGUGCGUCGGGUCCAAUGACACUCUUCUGUGAUAACACUGGGGCCAUUGCCAUAGCCAAGGAGCCCAGGUUUCACCGGAAGACGAAGCACAUCAAACGCCGCUACAACUCCAUCCAGGACCAUGUCCAGAAUGGAGUGAUAGAUAUUUGUAAAGUACACACGGAUAUGAAUAUUGCAGACCCGUUGACUAAACCUCUUCCACGAGCAAAACAUGAUCAACACCACAAUGCUAUCGGUGUUCGAUACAUCACAAUGUAACUAGAUUAUUGACUCUAGUGCAAGUGGGAGACUGUUGGAAAUAUGCCCUAGAGGCAAUAAUAAAAUGGUUGUUAUUAUAUUUCCUUGUUCAUGAUAAUCGUCUAUUGUUCAUGCUAUAAUUGUAUUAACAGGAAACAGUAAUACAUGUGUGAAUAAAUAGAUCACAAUGUGUCCCUAGCAAGCCUCUAGUUGGCUAGCUCGUUAGUCAAUAGAUGAUCAUGGUUUACUGAUCAUGGGCAUUAGAUGUCAUUGAUAACGGGAUCACAUCAUUGGGAGAAUGAUGUGAUGGACAAGACCCAGUCCUAAGCAUAGCACUAGAUCGUAUUGUUCGUAUGCUAAAGCUUUUCUAAUGUCAAGUAUCUUUUCCUUCGACCGUGAAAUUGUGCAACUCCCGGANNNNNNNNNNNNNNNNNNNNNNNNNNNNNNNNNNNNNNNNNNNNNNNNNNNNNNNNNNNNNNNNNNNNNNNNNNNNNNNNNNNNNNNNNNNNNNNNNNNNNNNNNNNNNNNNNNNNNNNNNNNNNNNNNNNNNNNNNNNNNNNNNNNNNNNNNNNNNNNNNNNNNNNNNNNNNNNNNNNNNNNNNNNNNNNNNNNNNNNNNNNNNNNAGUGUCUGUUGGGUUGGCACGAAUUGAGAUCGGGAUUUGUCACUUCGUGUGACGGAGAGGUAUCUCUGGGCCCACUCGGUGGAACAUCACCAUGAGCUCAAUGUUACUAAGGAGUUAGUCACACAAUGACGUGUUGCGGAACGAGUAAAGAGACUUACCGGUAACGAGAUUGAACAAGGUAUAGGUAUACCGACGAUCGAAUCUCGGGCAAGUUCUAUACCGACAGACAAAGGGAAUUGUAUACGGGAUUUAUUGAAUCCUUGACAUCGUGGUUCAUAUGAUGAGAUCAUCGUGGAGAAAGUGGGAGCCACCAUGGGUAUCCAGACCCCGCUGAUGGUUAUUGACCAGAGAGGUGUCUCGGUCAUGUCUGCCUGUCUUCCGAACCCGUAGGGUCUACACACUUAAGGUUCGGUGACGCUAGGGACACCGGAAGUGUUUCGGGCAUCACCAGUAACGUACCGGGACCACCGGGACCACCGGAGGUGGCCCCGGGGGUCCACCGAAGGGGGGCAACGACCCCGGGAGGUAAGGUGGGCCAAGUGGGGGAGGGAACCAUCCCCUAGGUUGGCUGGUGCGCCUCCUCACUCUGCCCAAUGCGCAGGGGAUAGGGAAGGGGGGCAAACCCUAGGCAUAGGUGGGCUUUAGGCCCACGGGGUGGUGCGCCACCCCCUCCCACCCUAGCCGCCUCCUCCUUUCCCAUCUGGUGGCUGCCGCACCACCUAGGGAGGGAACCCUAGGGGUGGCGCCGCCCCUCCCCCUCCUCCUAUAAAUAGAGAGGGGUUUUGGCCCUUGGGAGACAGUCUUCUCCCUCUCCCUCGACGCAGCCCUGCCCUUCUUUCUCCUCCUCUCUGCCAGUGCUUGGCGAAGCCCUGCCGGGAGACCUCGUCUCUCCAUCGACACCACGCCGUCGUGCUGCUGGAGUUCUUCCCCAACCUCUCCCUCCUCCUUGUUGGAUCAAGGUGCGGGAGACGUCACCGGGCUGCACGUGUGUUGAACGCGGAGGUGCCGUAGUUCGGCACUAGAUCGGAAUCGCUGCGAGUACGACUCCAUCAACUGCGUUCUAGCAACGCUUCCGCUUAGAGAUAUUCAAAGGUAUGAAGAUGCUCUUACCCCUCUCUCGUUGCUGGUCUCUCCAUAGAAAGAUCUGAAUAUGCGUAGGAAAAUUUUGAAUUUAUGUUACGUUACCCAACACCCUCCUCUUGCUCUAGUUGAGUAAUAAUCUUCUUUCGAUGUUUGCCAUUUGCAAUCAUGUGAAAGAACUUAGUAUUAUCAUCCCCAUGAAUCACUUUCAUCACCUUAGCUCUUAGUGCCCAUUUCAUCUCCUCCUCUCUCAGUAAUUUUUGCAAUCUAGUCUCAGCAUCAAUUUUAAUAUUCCUUUCAAUAAGAUUUAGCUGCACAGACUCAGCUUUGACGUCUAGUUCAUCAAUCAGAUUCGUGAGUCUUUCUUUUUCUUUCUUAUAAAUACCACUCAGAUUUUUCACCCAUCCUCGAAGGAAUUGGCGCAAAUGUCUGAUCUUGUUUUGCCAAAUUUCCACACUGUUGGAUCCACCUAAAUCUCUAGCCCACUCAUUGGUAAUUAGAUACAUGAAACCUUCUCUUUCAAACCAACUUAGUUCGAAUGAGAAGACAUUCUUGUUACCCCUAUGAUUGGCCUCCCCUGAGUCCACCGGAAGAGGUGUGUGAUCUGAUAUAGCCGUGUGUAAAGCUUUUACUAUGACUAAUGGGAAUUUCUGCUCCCACUCAGCACUUGUAAGUACCCGAUCCAACUUCUCAUAUGUUGGAACCGGUAGUGAAUUUGCCCAUGUGUAUUGUCUACCAGAAAGCUCAAUCUCCCUUAAAUUAAGGCUCUCAAUAACCAUAUUGAACAUCAUUGACCAUCUUGUGUCAAAAUUGUCAUUAUUUUUUUCAUUCUGUCUUCAAAUAAUAUUAAAAUCUCCCCUCACCAUAAUUGGUAGUGUUUCAUCUCCGCAGAUUCUCACUAGAUCUACAAGGAAAUCAGAUUUGAGCUCUAAUUGUGCCGCCCCAUAUACAGCCACUAAAGCCCACUUAAAACCGUCAACUUUCGACCUUACACGAAGUUUGACUGUGAAUUCACCAUAGACCACACUCAUCACCUCUAAAGUCUCUCACUUAACCCCAAGUAAGAUCCCACCGGAUCUUCCCCUUGGUGGUAGACAAUGCCAAUCAAAAUCAACCCCACCUGAUAAAUUAUUUAAGAACUGAGGUGUGAAAUUAUCUCUUCCAGUUUCUUGUAUUGCCAUGAAGUCCAGAUUAUAUUGUAUCGAUGCUUCUCUAAGGACCCUAAUUUUAGCCAAGUCCGCAAGACCUCUGUUAUUCCAAAAAAUUCCUUUCAUAAUUCAUCAUGAAUUUUUUUUCUUUUGGUUAACUCUCGCACUCCUCCUAACCGCUGAUUCAGGAUAAACCUUCCUUUUUCAAGGACUCCUAGUUUUUUCCCGAAUAUGAUUUAAUUCAUUAUGUGUAACCAAAGGUUGUGAAUGACAAUCCGCAUUUGAAGGGGCGAUAUACCCCUCCAAACCCAUCUCAUCCACAUCGUCUACUUCCCCGUCCGUAUGUAAAAUGUUAUCACAUAAUGUUUGAACGUCUGCACCUCCUAAAUCAUUAAUAUCUGAGUCAUUCAUAGGUUUAACUGCUGCUAGGUUUUUCAUGAACUCUAUGGUUCUAUCAACUUCUAAAUCAAGAAUAUCAUUAAUGGACUUAGCUAUAGUUUUACUAGAUGCACCCAUAGAAAUACCUAUGUCGCCAGCAUUAUUCAUGAUCUCAGAAUCAGAUAAGUUUAAAAUAGUAGCAGUCUGAUCAAUAGACAAACCUGUAGUUUUUCCAGCAUCUCGUAAUUUAGGAGCCCGCAUAGCACAACCCAUCAACAUGUCAUCAGCAUCAGGCUUCUCCUGAAUACGCUGACUGAACCGUCUAUUACCAGAAGUUGGAUCCGGGAUCCCACCAAAAGAGAUUACAUCAUCAGCAGUAAUCUCAUUGUGGGUCUACCUGUUCGAAGUACGAAGAUCAUUCUGAGCCGCUACCUGCAACUUCGCAGCCUCAGGAGAAAAAGCUGGAGUAGGAGAACACCUCGCCUCCUGCAUGCUUUCUCGCAUAAGCAAUGAUGCAUCCCUCAAAACCAGUGAUUGAUACGUCCAUUUUGCAUCAUGCUUUCAUGUUGAUAUUUAUUGCUUUUUGGGCUGUUAUAUUACUUGUGGUACCAUAUUUAUGCCUUUUCUCUCUUAUUUUGCAAGGUUUAUUUGAAGAGGGAGAAUUCAGGCAGCUGGAAUUCUGGACUAGAAAAGGAGCAAAUCCUAGUCCACUAUUCUGCACAUCUCCAAUUGCCCUGAAAAGUUACAUGGAUUUUUUCUGGAUUAUAUAAAAGAUACUGGGCAAAAGAACUACCGGAGGGGGGAUGCCAGGGCGCCACAAGCCCUGACACCGCCACCCCCCCUAGUGGCGGAGUGGGGGUUUGUGGGCUCCCUCACGGCCCACUAGCCCCCCUCUUUUGCUAUAUGAAGCGUCCUGGUCCAGAAAAAAUCAAGAGGGAGCUUUUUCGUGGUUUCGCCACCGCCACGAGGAGGAACCUGAGCAGAUCCAAUCUAGAGCUCCGGCAGGACGAUCCUGUCGGGGAAACUUCCCUCCCGGAGGGGGAAAUCGUCGCUAUCGUCAUCACCAACACUCCUCUCGUCGGAGGGCAGGCAUCUUCAUCAACAUCUUCAUCAACACCAUCUCCUCUCCAAUCCCUAGUUCAUCUCUUGUAACCAAUCUUCGUCUCGCAACUCCGAUUGGUACCUGUAAGGUUGCUAGUAGUGUUGAUUACUCUUUGUAGUUGAUGCUAGUUGGAUUAUUUGGUGGAAGAUUUUAUGUUCAGAUCCUUGAUGCUAUUCAUUACACCUCUGAUCAUGAUUAUGAUUAUGUUUUAUGAGUAGUUACUUUUGUUCCUAAGGACAUGGGAUAAGUCAUGUUAAUAAUAGUCAUGUGAAUUUGAUAUUCGUUCUGUAUUUUGAUAUGAUGUAUGUUGUUUUUCCUCUAGUGGUGUUAUGUGAACGUCGACUACAUAACACUUCACCUUAUUUGGGCCUAGAGGAAGACAUUGGUAAGUAGUAAGUAGAUGAUGGGUUGCUGGAGUGACAAAAGCUUAAACCCCAGUCCAUGCGUUGCUUCGUGAGGGGCUGAUUUGGAUCCACUAGUUUAAUGGUAUGGUUAGACUUUGUCUUAAUUCUUUUUUUGUAGUUGCGGAUGCUUGCGAGAGAGGUUAAUCAUAAGUGGGAUGCUUGUCCAAGUAAGGGCAGUACCCAAGUGCCGGUCCACCCACAUAUCAAAGUAUCAAAGUAACGAACGCAAAUCAUAUGAACAUGAUGAAACUAGCAUGACAGAAAUUCCCGUGUGUCUUCGGGAGCGUUUUUCCUCCUAUAAGACUUUGUUCAGGCUUGUCCCUUUCUACAAAAGGGAUUGGGCCACUUGCUGCACCGUUGCUACUACUUGUUACUUGUUACUUUUUGCUCGCUACGUUUCACCUCACUACACCAUCACUUGUUACCGCUACUUUCAGUGCUUGCAGUUAUUACCUUGCUGAAAUCCGUUUAUCAGAGCCUUCUUUUCUUCGUUGGGUUCGACACUCUUACUUAUCGAAAGGAAUACGAUUGAUCCCCUAUACUUGUGGGUCAUCAACACUCUUUUCUGACGCCGUUGCCGGGGAGUGAAACGCCUUUGAUAAGUGGGAAUUGGUAAAGAAACAUUUUUAUACUGUGCUGAAAUUUAUUGUCACUUGUCACUAUGGAAACUGUUCCUUUGAGGAGUUUGUUCAGGGUAUCUUCACCAUGAAUGGAAGCACGAGGAGGUGCUCCUCAACCUGAGGUACCUACUGAAAAUAUCUUUUAUGAAAUUCCUUCGGGUAUGCUUGAUAAACUGCUCGCUAAUCCUUUCACAGGAGAUAGAUCUUCACAUCCAGACUUGCAUCUAAUCUAUGUAGAUGAAGUUUGUGGUUUAUUUAAGCUUGCAGGUUUUCCCGAGGAUGAGGUAAAGAAGAAAGUCUUUCCUUUAUCUUUGAAGGAUAAGGCGUUGACAUGGUAUAGGCUAUGUGAUGAUACUGGAUCAUGGGGCUACAAUCGGUUGAAAUUGGAAUUUCAUCAAAAGUUCUAUUCUAUGCAUUUAGUAAAUCGUGAUCGGAACUUUAUUUAUAACUUUUGGCCUCGUGACCGGGAAAGCAUAGCUCAAGCUUGGGGGAGGCUAUAAUCAAUGCUAUAUUCAUGCCCCAAUCAUGAGCUCUCGAGAGAAAUCAUCACUCAAAACUUUUAUGCUCGGCUUUCUCAUGAAGAUCGUACCAUGCUUGACACUUCUUGUGCCGGUUCUUUUAUGAAGAAGGAUAUUGAUCACAAGUGGAAUUUAUUGGAGAGAAUCAAACACAACUCUAAAGAUUGGGAGCUGGAGGAAGGUAAGGAUUCAGGUAUGAAUUUCCAGUUUGAUUGCGUUAAAUCUUUUGUUGAGACAAACACUUCUAGAGAUUUUAGCGCUAAGUAUGGACUUGACUCUCAGAUAGUAGCUUCUCUAUGUGAAUCUUUUGCUACUCAUGUUGAUCUUCCCAAAGAGAAGUGGUUUAAAUAUCAUCCUCCUGUAGAAAGCAACAUAGCCAAAACCAAUCUAGUUGAGGAGAAAGUCAUUGCUUUUAGUGAUCCUGUUGUUCCUCGUGCUUACAAUGAGAAACCACCAUACCGUGCUAGGAUAAAGGAUUAUUCUAAAGCUCCAACUGUGAUACAUAGGGGUUACAUUAGAUCACUUGCACCCCCUGAGGAGAUUAGAGUUGAACCUAGUGUUGCUAUUAUCAAAGAUCUCUUGGCCGAAGACAUAGACAGGCAUGUUAUCAAAUUCUGUGAGGACUCCGCUAGAAUUGCUAAACCUCACGCAAAAGACAAACACGGACCUGUAGUUGGCCUGCCCGUUGUUUCUGUUAAGAUAGGAGAUCACUGUUACCAUGGUAUAUGUGAUAUGGGAGCUAGUGUUAGUGCAAUACCCCAUUCUCUAUAUGAUGAAAUCAAAGAUGAGAUUGCACCUGUUGAGUUAGAACCCAUUGAUGUCACUAUUACGCUAGCUAAUAGAGACACUAUCUGCCCUCUGGGAAUUGUGAGAGACGUAGAAGUCCUGUGUGGUAAGACGAAGUAUCCUACUGAUUUCCUCGUCCUUGGUACUGCACAAGAUAGCUUUUGUCCCAUCAUAUUCGGUAGACCCUUUCUCAACACUGUCAAUGCUCACAUUGAUUGCAUUAAGCAGACUGUCACAGUAAGUUUCGAGGGUGUGUCUCAUGAAUUUAACUUCUCCAAGUUUGGAAGACAAACCCAUGAAAGAGAGUCGUCUGGUAGAGAUGAAAUCAUUGCUCUUGCCUCUAUUGUCGUACCUCCUACGGAUCCUUUAGAGCAAUAUCUGCUUGAGCAUGAAAAUGAUAUGCAUAUGGAGGAGAGAGAUGAGAUAGAUAAAAUUGUCUUAGAACAAUAUCCUAUUCUCAAGAAUAAUCUCUCUGUUGAACUGCUUGGGUAUCCUCCCCCACCAAAGGGUGAUCCUGUGUUCGAGCUUAAACAAUUGCCCGAUACUCUUAAGUAUGAUUAUCUUGAUGAGAAGGAGAUAUAUCCUGUCAUUAUUAGUGCUCUCCUCUCAGAGCGCGAAGAGAAGAAGUUACUAAAAACUCUGAGGAAGCACCGCGCUGCUAUUGGAUAUACUCUUGAAGAUCUUAAGGGUAUUAGUCCUACUCUAUGUCAGCACAAGAUUAAAACCGAUCCUGAUUUUAAACCAGUUGCUGAUCAUCAAAGGAGAUUAAAUCCUAAGAUGAAACAGGUCGUUUGAAAAGAAAUAUUAAAGCUUCUAGAAGCAGGAAUCAUUUAUCCUGUUGCUCAUAGUGAUUGGGUAAGUCCAGUACAUUGCGUACCUAAGAAGGGAGGUAUCACCGUCGUUCCUAAUGAUAAGGAUGAACUAAUCCCACAAAGGAUUAUUACCGGCUAUAGAAUGGUGAUAGACUUCCGGAAACUGAACAAGGCAAUCAGGAAAGAUCAUUAUCCUUUGCCGUUCAUUGACCAAAUGCUAGAAAGGCUAUCAAAACACACACACUUCUGCUUUCUAGACGGUUAUUCAGGUUUCUCGCAGAUACCUGUUGCACAAUAUGAUCAAGAGAAAACCACUUUCACCUUCCCUUUCGGUACCUUUGCCUAUAGACGUAUGACUUUUGGCUUAUGUAAUGCACCUGCCACCUUCCAAAGAUGUAUGAUGGCUAUAUUCUCUGACUUUUGUGAAAAGAUCAUCGAGGUUUUCAUGGAUGACUUCUUCGUUUACGGGUCUUCCUUUGAUGAUUGCCUCAGCAACCUUGAUCGAGUCUUACAGAGAUGCGAAGAAAUUGAGGCAUUGAAGUUGAUAAGGGUAAGGUUGAGGCAAUUGAGAAAAUGCCUUGCCCCACAUAUAUCAGAGGUAUACGAAGUUUCCUAGGUCAUGCUGGUUUCUAUAGAAGGUUCAUUAAAGACUUCUCUAAGAUUUCUAGGCCUCUUACCAACCUUUUGCAGAAGGAUGUUCCUUUUGUUUUUGAUGAGGAUUGUGAGGAAGCUUUCAAAAUACUUAAGAAGGCUUUGAUAACCACACCUAUUGUUUAACCACCUGACUGGAACUUGCCCUUUGAAAUCAUGUGUGACGCUAGUGAUUAUGCUGUUGGUGUUGUUCUAGGACAAAGAGUUGACAAGAAGUUGAAUGUCAUUCACUACGCUAGUAAACCUCUAGACAGUGCCCAAAGAAACUAUGCCACUACAGAGAAGGAAUUUUUAGCAGUCGUGUUUGCAUGUGAAAAGUUCAGAUCUUACAUAGUCGACUCCAAAUUCACUAUUCACUCUGAUCAUGCUGCUAUUAAGUACCUCAUGGAGAAGAAGGACGCUAAGCCUAGGCUGAUCAGACGGGUUCUCCUGCUACAGGAAUUUGAUUUGCACGUCGUUGAUCGAAAGGGUGCCGAUAACUCUGUAGCAGAUAACUUGUCUAGGCUAGAGAAUGUCCUUGAUGACCCACUACCUAUUGAUGACAGCUUUCCUGAUGAGCAAUUAAAUGUCAUCCGCACUUCGCUUAGUGCACCGUGGUAUGCCGAUUAUGCAAACUAUAUCGUACGAAAUACAUACCACCUAGUUUCACCUAUCAACAAAAGAAGAAAUUCUUCUUUGAUUUGAGACACUACUUUUGGGAUGAUCCUCACCUUUAUAAGGAAGGAGUAGAUGGUGUUAUUAGACGUUGGGUGCCUGAACAUGAACAAAGACAGAUCCUGCAGAAGUGUCAUUCCGAAGCCUACGAAGGACACCAUGCUGGAGAUAGAACUGCCCAUAAGGUAUUGCAAUCAGGUUUCUAUUGGCACACUCUCUUCAAGGAUGCCCGUAAGUUUGUCUUGUCUUGUGAAGAAUGCCAAAGAAUAGGGAACAUCAGUAAGCGUCAGGAAAUGCCUAUGAACUAUUCACUUGUCAUUGAACCAUUUGAUGUCUGGGGCUUUGAUUAUAUGGGGCCCUUCCCGAGUUCCAAUGGGUACACUCACAUCUUAGUUGUUGUGGACUACGUUACUAAGUGGGUAGAAGCUAUCCCCACUAAAAAUGCUGAUCACCACACCUCUAUUAAGAUGCUUAAAGAAGUCAUAUUCCCAAGAUUUGGAGUCCCUAGAUACUUGAUGACUGAUGGCGGUUCACACUUCAUUCAUGGUGUUUUCCGCAAGAUGCUAGCUAAGUAUGAUGUCAACCAUAGAGUUGCAUCUCCUUAUCAUCCUCAGUCUAGUGGUCAAGUGGAGUUGAGUAAUAGGGAGAUCAAGUUGAUCCUACAAAAGACCGUCAAUAGAUCUCAAAAGAACUGGUCUCGCAAACUUGACGAUGCACUAUGGGCUUAUAGGACUGCUUAUAAGAAUCCCAUGGGCAUGUCACCGUAUAAAAUGGUUUACGGUAAGGCCUGUCAUUUACCUCUUGAGCUGGAACACAAAACUUAUUGGGCAAUCAAAGAGCUCAACUUUGAUUUCAAACUUGCCGGUGAGAAGCGGUUGUUUGAUAUCAGCUCGUUAGAUGAAUGGAGAGCCCAUGCAUACGAGAAUGCCAGGUUGUUCAAGGAAAAGGUUAAGAGAUGGCACAACAAACGAAUACACAAACGAGAUUUCAAUGUAGGUGAUUAUGUCUUGCUAUAGAAUUCCCGUUUGAGAUUCUUUGCAGGCAAGCUUCUCUCUAAAUGGGAAGGUCCCUAUGUUGUCGAGGAAGUAUAUCGUUCCGGUGCCAUCAAAAUCAAUAACACGGAAGGAAAUUUUCAUAGAGUGGUCAAUGGGCAAAGAAUCAAGCAUUACAUCUGUGGUACUCCCAUAAAUGUUGAGACCAAUAUCAUCAAUGUCAUAACUCCAGAGGAGUACAUAAGGGAUGUUUAUUAGCCUGUUUCAGACCUUGAAAACGAAGAUGUAUCUGUUUAGGUAAGAAAUUGGACUCCGAUACUUUUCCAAUAGGAAAUUUCUUCCGUUUUGGAAUUUUUGGAAAAUUAGAAAAAUAAAAAGCAGUCCGGAGAGCGAACGAGGCGGCCACAAGCCCUGCCACCGCCCCUACCCCCUGGUGGCGGAGGGCAAGCUUGUGGGCACCUCGUGUGCCUCCCGGACUCCGUUUUCUUGCGGAGGACUCCUUCUGGCCCAGAAAAAAUCAAUGUAUAGUUGCCCGAAGGUUUUGAUCUCCGUAUUGCGUAGUUUUCCUCUGUUUUCGUUUCGAGCUCGUUCUGCCGCAGAUCUAGGUCAAGAUGUCUUCUCAAGAUUCAGAGGGAGAGAGCUAUGUGGCUGACUACCUUGCUAACCCCAAGGUCUAUGGGGACUUGGAACCAUAUGGCUGGACCACUGAUGAGGAAGAGGACUAUGAGCCCAAAGGGAAGGAGCAAACGAGUUCCGAUGAAGAGGAGGCUCCUCUACCUCAACCUGCAAACACCCAUGUGGAGUUCAAGAAGUCAAGCCUCCCUGACCAUACGAAGAAGCCUAAGACCUUGUUUAUCCCUUUUCGUUUCUUGCAGGAGAGUAAGCAGGAGCUUUGCCAUAGAGUUUUGAAACUUGAGGAGGAAAAUGACGAUCUAAGGGAGCAAAACUUUUUGCUCAAGUGGAAAUUAGACAAGCUCAAGACUGCUCCAACAACACCACCAUCACCACCAAAGGAAGACAACUAUAAGCAUUGGUAUGGGCAAUCCCCUUGGCUUCUGCCAAGCUUGGGGGAGUUGCCCUGGUAUCGUAUCACCUUUAUAUCUUUUGCUUUUACCUUUGUUUUAGUUCUUUCCUUUUCAGUUUUUAUUUCUUAUUUUAGAGGAAUAAGUCUUUAGUUUUUAGUUUGAGUCUUUUGCUUUUGUCUCUCCCCCGAUGUAUUCGAGCUUACGAGCUAUAUAAUAAAGAGUAUCUUAGUCAAGGGCUUUGCUUUGUGCCAUGAUCAAUAGUAUGAAAAUAAUAAUAGCAUGAAAGAUCAUGAGACGAUCUUAUGGAAAGUGAUAACUUCACUUAUGACACGUAUGAUGAUUGAAACUUGUUGAGAAUAAAUCAACAUAGACCUCAGUCAUUGUUGCAAUUAAUAAGAAGUAAUAAGGAAAGAGAGGUUCACAUAUAAAUAUAUCAUCUUAGACACUUUUUACAAUUGUGAGCACUCACCAAACUAUUACAUGCCUAGGAGUAGAUGUUGGACAAGGAAGACAACAUAAUGAAUUGUGUUUGCUUGGUUCCAAACAAUGUUAUAUGAUUAGAGAUCCCUUAGCAUGUGACGAUUGCUUCCACCUCAUAUUAGCCAAAACUCCCGCACCAAGUAGAGAUACUACUUGUGCAUCCAUAAACCUCCAACCAGUUUUGCUAUGAGAGUCCGCCAUACCUACCUAUGGAUUGAAUAAGACCCUUCAAGUAAGUUGUCAUCGGUGCAAGCAAUAAAAAUUGCUCUCUAAUAUGUAUGAUCUAUUAGUGUGUGGAAAAUAAGCUCUGUACGAACCUGUGAUGAGGAAGACAUAAAAGCGACAGACUGCAUAGUAAAGUUCUUUAUCACAGGAGGCAAUAUAAAGUGACAUUCCUCCGCACUAAGAGGACACGCAUUCAAACCUCAAAAGCGCAUGACAACCUCUGCUUCCCUCUGCGAAGGGCCUAUCUUGUACCUUUACUUUUUGCCCUUGUAAGAGUCAUGGUGAUCUUCACCAGUUCCCUUUUUGCCUUUGCCUUGGCUACCGUCACUUGCUUGGGAAAGAUCUAUAUUCGUAUAUCAACUUGGAGUUGAGUACUUAUGCUUUAUUGUUGUUGACUUUACCCUUGAGGUAAAUGGUUGGGAGGCAAAACUAUAAGCCCCUAUCUUCCUCUGUGUCCAGCUGAAACUUUGACACCAUGAGUACCACGUGAGUUGUAAUAAUUGUGGAAAAUAAAAGAGAUGAUUGAGUAUGUGGGUUUGCCUUACAAGCUCUUAUUUGACUCUUUCUGAUGUUGUGAUAAAUUGCAAUUGCUUCAAUGACUAUCGACUAUUGUUGGUUACUUCUCGGUAAGGUUUUUGCGUCAUGCUUUGCUUUGUGAAGGAAUUGUUACUUUCCCAUAAGAAUCUUUAAGAUAUAUUGUUGUCCUAUGUGUGAUCAUGAUGCCCUCAUGUCCGUAUUAUGUUUUAUCGACACCUUCGUCCCUCAACAUGUGGACAUGUUUAUGGAACUUGGUUUUCGCUUGAGGACAAGCGAGGUCUAAACUUGGGGGAGUUGAUACUCCAUUUUGCAUCAUGCUUUCAUGUUGAUAUUUAUUGCUUUUUGGGCUGUUAUAUUACUUAUGGUACCAUAUUUAUGCCUUUUCUCUUUUGUUAUGCAAGGUUUAUUUGAANNNNNNNNNNNNNNNNNNNNNNNNNNNNNNNNNNNNNNNNNNNNNNNNNNNNNNNNNNNNNNNNNNNNNNNNNNNNNNNNNNNNNNNNNNNNNNNNNNNNUUAACAACCGGUGCUAAUGGGUCUUUAGCACCGGUUGUUAACACAGACCGGUGCUAAAGGGUCCAAAAUUGAGCGUGAACCGAACCCACCUUUAGGACCGGUUGUUGUUACAGACCGGUCCUAAAUGUCACCUUUAGGACCGGUUGGUGUUACAGACCGGUCCUAAAGGUUUUUUUCCUUUUUCUUUUUUCCUUUUUUCUGUUUCCUGUUUUCUUUUUAUUUUUGUUUCCUUUUUCUUUUUCCUGUUUCUUCUUUUAUUUUUCUUUUUUCUGUUUUCUGUUUUCUUUUUAUUUUUGUUUCCUUUUUCUUUUUCCUGUUUCUUCUUUUAUUUUUCUUUUUUCCUUUUUUCUGUUUCCUGUUUUCUUUUUCUUUUUGUUUCCUUUUUCUUUUUUCUGUUUCUUCUUUUAUUUUAUUUUUUUGUUUCCCUUUUCUGUUUUUUUACAUUUAUUUACAAAUUGUCAAAAUGUCAUUUUUACACUUAAAAAAAUAAAAAUGAUAUUUAUCAAAAUGAUCAAAUUUAGUGGAAACUGGUCAAAUUUUUAAUAUUUAUCAAAAUGGUCAACACAAUUACAUAAAAGGUUUAAUACAUUAUUACACAUCACCAACAACACCCCCUAUCUAUUUUUCUUCUUGCCUUUCUUCUGAUUGCGCCGUAACCAUGGACUAUCUUCAUCAUUUAACGGGAUGCUUGGAUCAUCUUUGACUUUGAAGGGAGGAAUUUCAUCAAAUUUAUUGUAAUCUUCUGACAUGUCUGUCUUGUCCUCGACUCCCAUGAUGUUUCUUUUCCCUGAAAGAACUAUGUGGCGCCUUGGCUCAUCGUCUGAUGUAUUCGCUUCCUUAUCUUUUCUUUUUCUCGGUCUGCUAGACAUGUCCUUCACAUAGAAAACCUGAGCCACAUCAUUGGCUAGGACGAAUUGAUCAUUGCCGUACCCAAGAUUCUUCUGAUCCACUGUUGUCAUUCCGUACUUCGGGUCUACCUUCACGCCUGACAGGUUGAACCAUUUGCACCAGAACAAAGGGACCUUAAAGGAAGGUCCGUAGUCAAGUUCCCAUAUCUGCUCUAUGUAACCAUAGUAUGUGACCCUUUGCCCGUUGUCGUCUUUUGCAUCAAACCGGACGCCACUGUUUUGGUUGGUGCUCUUUUUAUCUUGGUCUGCCGUGUAAAAUGUGUUACCAUUUAUCUCGUACGCUUUAAAGGUCAAUACAGUCGAAGAUGGUUGCUUGGCCAACAAGUAUAGCUCAUCUUCAACAAUGUUGUCAUUAAUGAGACGUCUUUGCAACCAACCGCCGAAAGUCUUCGCGUGUUCUUUAGCAAUGAAAUCUUCAGGUUGCUCCGGGUAUUCCGAGCGUAAAAUAUCCUUGUGUUCCUGGAUAUAUGGAGCCGCCAAGCUGGAAUUAACUAGAACUAUGUAGUGUGCUUGAGUGAAAGAUUGCUCGUCCAUACAUGUUGUUGAUUUCUUUCCUAGCGUGCCUUUUCCACGCAGUCUCCCCUCAUGGCGCGACUGAGGAACACCGAUCGGGUUCAGGUCAGGAAUAAAGUCAACACAAAACUCAAUGACCUCCUCUGUUCCAUAGCCCUUGACCAUGCUUCCUUCUGGCCUAGCACGGUUUUUAACAUAAUUCUUCAAGACUCCCGUGAACCUCUCAAAGGGGAACAUAUUGUGUAAGAAUAAAGGACCGAGAACGGAAAUCUCUUGGACUAGGUGAACUAUGAGGUGCGUCAUAAUAUUGAAGAAGGUUGGUGGGAACACCAACUCGAAGCUGACAAGACAUUGGACCACGUCCUUCUGUAAACUUGGUAGAGAUGCUGGAUCGAUUGCCUUCUGAGAAAUUGCGUUGAGGAAUGCACAUAGCUUCACAAUGGGUACUCGCACGUUUUCUGGCAGAAGCCCCCUCAAUGCAAUCGGAAGUAACUGGGUCAUGAUCACAUGGCAGUCAUGAGACUUUAGGUUUUGGAACUUUUUCUCUUCCAGGUUUAGUAUUCCUUUUAUGUUCGACGAGUAGCCAGAUGGGACCUUGAUACUGCUCAGGACUUGGAAAAAGAUCUCCUUCUCUUCCUUGGUAAGAGCGUAGCUGGUAGGACCUUUGAAAUUCUCUCGAUUCAUCAGGUCGUCUCGUUCGUGCAUACGUUGGUGGUGCAGCCGUGCUUUUGGUGUAUCUCUCGACUUCUUCCCAUGCACGCCCAAUAAGUUUAGCAGGUUCACGCAAAUAUUUUUCGUCACGUGCAUCACGUCGAUCGCAGAGCGAACCUCUAGGAAUUUCCAAUAGGGUAGUUCCCAGAAUAUAGAUUUGUUCUUCCACAUGGCUACGUGGUUGUCGGCGUCAUUCGGAACAGAUUGUGCGCCAGGACCCUUACCAAAGAUUACUUUUAUAUCUUUGACCAUGUCAUAUAUAUCAGUACCUUUAGGGAGGGUUGGCUUCCUCCGUGUAUCUGCCUCGCCUUUGAAAUGCUUUCCUUUCUUUCUUACGGGAUGCCUGUCUGGAAGAAAUCGACGAUGCCCCGGGUACACAUUCUUGCCUAUAUGUAUACUUUCAGUCUCGCCUAAACAGUGUGUGCAUGUGUUGUAUCCCUUGUUUGACUGUCCUGAGAUGUUACUAAGAGCGGGUCAAUCAUUGAUGGUUACAAACAGCAACCCUCGUAGGUCAAAUUCCUCCUGUUUGUACUUGUCCCACACACGUACACCUUCGUCAGCCCAUAACUCUAAAAGUUCAUCAACCAGUGGCCUCAGGUACACAUCAAUGUUGUUGCCGGGUUGCGACGGGCCUGGGAUAAGCACUGGCAUCAUAAUGAACUUACGCUUCAUGCAUAACCAAGGAGGAAGGUUAUAGAUACAUAGAGUCACGGGCCAGGUGCUAUGACUGCUACUCUGCUCCCCAAACGGAUUCAGGCCAUCUGUACUUAGACCAAACCUUAAGUUUCUUGGGUCACGUGCAAAGUUCUCGUACUUAUCGUCGAUGUUUCUCCACUGCGACCCAUCAGCGGGUUGUCUCAGCAUAUCGUCUUCCUUACGGUCUUCUUUGUGCCAUCGCAGCAACUUGGCAUGCUCUUUGUUUCGGAACAAACGUUUCAACCGUGGUAUUAUAGGAGCAUGCCACAUCACCUUGGCAGGAACCCUCUUCCUGGGGCGGUCGUCGCCCUCAACAUCACCAGGGUCAUCUCGCCUGAUCUUAUACGGAAAUGCACCGCAUACCGGGCAGGCAUUUAAAUUCUUGUGCUGACCGCGGUAGAGGAUGCAGUCACUGAUGCAUGCAUGUAUCUUAUGCACUUCCAAUCCUAGAGGGCAGACAACCUUCUUUGCUUCGUACGUACUGCAGGGCAGCACGUUAUCUCUUGGAAGCAUCUUCUUCAUUAUUUUCAGCAGCUUUUCAAAUCCCUUGUCAGAUAUUCCAUUCUCUGCCUUCCAUUGCAGCAAUUCCAGGGUGGUGCCCAGCUUUUUCUGGCCAUCUUCGCAAUUUGGGUACAACAAUUUUUUGUGAUCUUCUAACAUGCGCUCCAACUUCAACCUCUCGUUUUCACUUCCGCAGUUUAUCUGUUCUUCACGAAUGACCUGACGAAGAUCAUCAUCAGACUCAUCAACAAUGUACUCAAGUUUAGGCUCGUCUUCCCCCAUUUCAGUAUCACCGUGUUCACCGAACAUAGGAUAGUUAUCAUUAUCCUCUUCUUCUUCAUUGUCUUCCAUUUCAACACAUCUUUCUCCGUGCUUGGUCCAACAAAAAUAACUGGGCAUGAAGCCUUCUUGCAACAGGUGGGUGUGUAUGGUUCUUGAGUUAGGGAAAUUCCUUUUAUUCUGGCAUUUUUUACAUGGACAAAAAAUAAAUCCAUUCUGCCUGUUUUUCUCAGCCACAUUGAGAAAACUAUGCAUGCCAUUAAAGAAUUCGGGACGACGUCGAUCACUGUACAUCCAUUUCCGGUUCAUCUGCAUUAUAUAAAUUUAUCAAAAACCAUUAUGCUAAAUCAUCAUGACUAAAUUAAUUAAUUAAUACAAAAAGUUCAUCACACGGUUAAAACCAAAGUAGCGUAGUGACCAUACAUAUAUAGUUCUCAUAAAAACACACACUGAAACCAACCAUAAAAACUCUCUCUAAUUAAUGCAUUUAAAAACAACAACAAAUGCGAUCAAAAUCGCAACAAAGGUAACAAUUGACCUGACGGCAUAAUGAUACCAAGUCUCUUUACUAAUUGCAUAUUUUCUAAUCUUUCUAAUCUUCAGACGCAUUGCGUCCAUCUCGCUCUUGUGACCAUCGACGACACCGGCAAGAACCUUUUCUAAGGUCAUCUUCUCUCUUUCAGUUUUUUCCAACCUUUCUUCAGUUUUUUUCAAUCUUUCUUUCAGGCCAACAUUUUCUUGUUCAACUAAGUGUAACUUCUCACCAAUAGGGUCGAUUGGCAUUUCCGGUUCCACUACCUCCUAGAUAAAAAUAUCUAUGUCAAGUUGGUCGGCGUAAUUAAUUGUCAUAUAAUCAGGAAAUGAAAAUAUGUAGUUAUAAAAGAUAAUAUACCACAUCCAAAUCGUAGACUAGACGAGGGCCAACGGGGACGGAUAUCAAAACCAUGGCGCUAUACAUAUAAAAAAAAUCUUACACAAUAAGAAAAUUAUAUACAAGUAAAUAUGUAAAUCAUACAAAUCAAAAUUUGUUUUGGUAAAUAAAAACAAUAGGCUCACCAAGGUUGUGUCGGUGACGGGGCGAUCGACGGCGGUGAGGAAGGGGACAAGGCGCGAGACACUAAAAAAAACACAAAUCAUAAUUAAAUUUGAACUCAAAUUGCAUAUGUAUACAUAACAAAUGAUGAACUCUCUCUAGCUUAGGCAUUUCAUCAAACACCUAGCUAGCACAACAAAAAUAAAAUGAGCAAGAAAACGAGCAAAACUUGCAAUGCCGGAAGAGGGAAUGUUGAUGCUAACCGUAGGACCGAUGGGUGCCAACAAUCUUGACAAAUGGUGGAGAAAAAUGGGGAUGGAUUAGAGCUCCCAAGAGGAAGGAGAGAGCAAAAAUGGAGUUGAGCUCGAGCUAGAAAAAAUGGGGUGGAAUAUAGGGUGCUCGGGGAGGAAGGAGAGGAGGGCUUUAGGACCGGUUUGUGUCAAAAACCGGUCCUAAAGGGUCUGACAGCGGGGCCCUGCAGUUGCUGCAAAAGUGAGAAAACCUUUAGAACCGGUUUGUGAUACAAACCGGUUCUAAAGCGUCUGUCCACUGGGCCCCCUCCCUGCAGCAAACGGUCCAAAAACCUUUAGGACCGGUUUGUGUUACAAACCGGUCCUAAAGGCCUUGCGGCCAUUUGCUGCAGGGAGGAGGCCCAGCGGACAGACCCUUUAGAACCGGUUUAUAUCCAAUCCGGGUCCAAUGUGGUUGGCUCAAUGCCCUGUUUUCUACUAGUGAUUGGAACCGCCAUCGCGUCCGCGACCGAAGCGCCGCAGCCGCGCGCCUGCUGGGAUAGAGGCACCGCGGGUCGCCGUCCGGCCCCCACCGCUUCCAAUCGCUAGGCAAGCUCCGUCGUGGCGCCAAGCUUCGCCGCCGGGAAACCCUAGACCUCAUAAUGAGCGGCCGGCACUGCGUCGUCUUGGACGUUCGCACUUGUUGUCGCUGGUACAUGGGGGUAAAGUUGGAUUUCUCAUCAUCUCCGAACGACAGCAACCGUCGGCCAUGAGCGAGAAGCUGGACGCCGGAGCCGAAAAUCACCUUCUUCCUGUUGGUUGGUUGGGCGAUCGGUGAUGAGUACUGAGUGACCCAACAUUUGCAGCUGAUGGAUUAACGACCUUAACUUACGAUCCUGGGAAGCUGGACCCACAUAUGUGCCGACGGCCCUGUCUACGUCGAUCGCCCCAGCCGGUGUAGAUGGAUGUAAGCCGACGCUUUACUGUGCCUACGUUCUUUCCCUUGCCGUCGGCGGACCUCAAUCUAUGCCGACGGGAGCUGUCGGCGUAGAUAAGGCCGUCGGCAGCGUUCGUUAUUCCGGUAGUGGAUUGUUGCUUUUAUUGGCGAGAACUAAAACUCUGUUUUUUACCGGUGUUAUCUCCGUGCUAGCUCCUAAUUUUCUCUCUUGCGACAAUAAUAACAGAAGACACCGAUUUACAUUUCUAUCAUGCAAGCAGCUCUGCCUGUCUAUAGUAGUCUAGUCUCGCAACAGCGCUGGAAAAAUAACGCAUCCAUCUAUCUGUCUUGGCACUAAUCUAUACUUAAUAAUAAAGAGGCUAUUGCUUCUGUCGAAAACCCACCGCGACAUUCUUAUAAAAAAAAAACCCUGUAAUUUUUGUUAUUCAAUCCGUGCUCCAUCAUUUAUCUGGAACGCAAAAGAAAAGAAAAUGAUUCGCUGCAAAAUUAUAUCCGUACGCAUCGCCUCCUCCCGUCGACCCUGGGCCACCCUGGCCUGUGCCCAGGCCGCCGCCACACCACUCGCCGCCGCGGCCGACCUCAACCGCCACCGCUACCGAUCUCAAGUCACCCGCCUCCGCGGUCGUACCUCUCCCUGCUCACUGCCCCCGUUGCGGCGCUCGAGCGCAUCGCGUCGACCCUGGUCCACCCUGGCCUGUGCCCAGGCCGCUGCCACACCACUCGCCGCCGCGGCCGACCUCAACCACCACUGUUGUCGAUCUCAACCCACCCGCCUCCGCGGCCGUACCUCUGCCCGCUUGCUGCCCCCGUUUCGGCGCUCGAGCACAGCUUCUGGAUCAAAUCAACGCGACAGCUACAGUGACUGGGAUGAUGCGUCUGCUCGAUGCAGAACGGCGACGGCGCGCGGAUAAGGCGCGGCGAAGCGAAGUACUUGCAGGUGAAGGCGGGCCUCCAUGGCUCACACGGGGAACUCCUAGUUUAUGGCGCGGCAACGGCGACUCCUUAUGGCCAGAUAGAGGCGCCUAACCCUUGCUCCCCUCAUCGUAUCCCCUCCUCCGGCAGGAACUCAUCAUCUGGUGAGAUCCCCUCCCCAUGCCUCCAACCGUGUGCCAAGCACCGGCAAGAAAUUUUGUUUUGUGGGGAUUUGUUUGCUGAUGAAUUAAUGUAUCGAAUGUAAGAUUGUAUUGUUGUAGAGACAGAGAAUGGAACACCACCUUUAGUUUGUCAUCUGAUCCCACAUUCUCUACCCAAUGAGUGAAAUAAGAUAACAGUCCGUUGAUCAAUUUACGUAGCCUCUUUUUUUUUGCUUUGCUUGUCCCGCUCAAUUUCUCAUCAUGGUGGAAUUAACAAUGGAUGGGUUGAUUUCUCAACAAAAUAGGAUAAUACUGACUACAUUAGUUAGUUAGUUUAUUAUUUUAAUAAAUCAAAAUGAUUAUAAAAAAGAUUAAAAGCGUGUGGUAUUUUUUUCUCCCGUUGUAACGCACGGACCCUUUUGCUAGUAAAUAAUAAUAAUGCUAAAGACCCCUGUUUCCUUGUAGUUGGAUCGCCCACAUUUUGAAAGUCCUAAAUUCCACUUGAGCAUCGGAAUCUGGAUCAAUACCAGCAAAAACAUAUUGGUACGUAUGCUCGAUCGCUCCAAGAGGAUAGGGAAAGAUCCUGGCGGCAUGCCUGCUGCAUGCUAUGGCAGUGCUGGUUGCAUCCAUGCCGUUGGGUUGGCUGUGGACGAUCAGCUCCCCGUGGUCGGAGGUUUUUGUUUUGGUUCCAGAGAGAGCCAUUUGGAAGCUGGAAAAUGUUAUCGGUUGAUGUAAGAAUUUCGGUUGCCAGCGAUGUUUGCCCUGCUGGUUACAUUCGGAUUACAGCUUACGGCGUGACGGCAUCGUCAGCCGUUUCUAUUGAAGACACGUGGUAGGUACUUUUAUCGGAUGACGUGCUAGAAGCCGAGUGUUUUUUACGUAGAUACCGUGUCUCGUCUAUAAGCCGAGAGCUUUUUCGGGUCACACGGCUUAUAUGAUAGCAUAAGCUGAGUGAUUUGCUGUUAUUGGGUGUUUUUAUGGAGAACAAGGCUUAUAUGCGGAUAAGCCGAGCGCUUUACCACACGAUAAAACAGUUUUUUUCUCCUGCUCCUCCUCCUCCUCCUCCUUCUCGUCACUCGUCAAACGCUUUUGUUUGUUUCCAGAGAGCCAUUUGGCAGCUGGAAGAUUUUACGGCAGUUGAUAUAAGAGUUUCGGUUGCGAUGUUUGCCGUGCUGCCAGGUAAUUGAAAUUAUGUAUGCGUCGCAUUGAAAAAUAAGUCGACCGUCUCCUAAUUAAAUAAGAAAGCUACCCCAUAUGUCCUGAUCUCCACUUGAAAACAAAGACUCGAGACUCCACAAAGUCAGUCAAUGCGAGAGGAGAGUUUUGAAUUGUACCGAAAUAUCCAAAGCCGUUCAGUGGCAGAGAAUACACGGACUUGUUCUUGCCACAAAUAUGUGUUACAUCAGAAAUUAAUACUGUACAACAUUCUAACCCGUGGUAGGGGAUAUACGGAAUGCUUCAAAGACGUUCCCUGCCUUAGAAAACCAAGUUCGGAAAAUGUCUCUUCUUUUUUCACCACAACAGCGACGGAACGUGUAAUUCCGUUUGGAGAUGGAGUACGAGAGUAUAAUUCCGUUUAGCAGGGUGAUAUUGGACAGCUACAUAUAUAUGCAAGAGAACCAAUGCUGGAAGCAAAAGCAGCGAGACACCUAAAGCUUAAUACACCAUUUUCCCACAAAUACUGUGAUGAAGACGAUGAGGCUCCUCUGCUUGCUCGUGCUGCUGUUGCUAUGGACGGCAACGGCACGAGCAUCCGCUGGCGUGCAUGGAAGCCGGGCCGGGAACAGGAGUGCUCUUCCCUCCCUUGCCGGCUGUCAGAAGAAUUGUGGCAACCUCAGCUUCGACUACCCGUUCGGCAUAGGGCCGGGCUGCUUCCGGCCGCCGCGGCGAGACUUUGAGCUCUUCUGCAACAGAACCCCCGAUGCGUCGCAGCCUCCCAGACUCUUCCUGUACGACGGCAUCACCGAGGUCGUCGAUGACAUCACGGCCGGCGAUCGCUAUGGCGAACAAUAUAUCGAGGUAUCGUUUUCCCAAUCCGUCCCGGUGAGACCUGAGGAGGAUGCAUACAUCAUCUCGUGGAAUCCUGGGAGAUCUCCCGGUGGCUAUUCUUUACAAUUAAACUUCACUGGUUGCGACUUCGACAUGUAUGUGCUCGAUCACGAUACGAACAAGACGGUGNNNNNNNNNNNNNNNNNNNNNNNNNNNNNNNNNNNNNNNNNNNNNNNNNNNNNNNNNNNNNNNNNNNNNNNNNNNNNNNNNNNNNNNNNNNNNNNNNNNNCACCUAGAUCCGGGUUGGUCUGCGGGGUGCGCGUUCCUCUGCCUCUCGGCGUCUGCACGCCAAGGAAGGUGAUCUCCAUUGGUCCCCGGUAAUGGCUGCAUUGAGCACUGGCAGGGUGCUGCUGCUCGGAUNNNNNNNNNNNNNNNNNNNNNNNNNNNNNNNNNNNNNNNNNNNNNNNNNNNNNNNNNNNNNNNNNNNNNNNNNNNNNNNNNNNNNNNNNNNNNNNNNNNNNNNNNNNNNNNNNNNNNNNNNNNNNNNNNNNNNNNUGCUGCUCGGAUCUGCUAUUAUGGCUCCAGAUCGGGCCGUGCCUGGUUCGUGGUGAGUCACCCUGGACGGCACGAGCAAGCUUUUCGGCCCGCUCGUGGCCCGUUCAGGACCGGACCGUACGGUCCAGGCCCGACAACAAAACAGGCCGGUCCGGGUUUAGGAAUCUAGACCGAAAAUAGUUUGGUCUGGUCCGGUCUUUAACCUGGCCGAACGAGCGGACCGAAGCCCAACAAGGUCGAUCUGCUUGCUAACUCCACGCAGUAUUCCCUCGCUCGAUUCCUCCACCUCUGCUCCUCGCUCGAUUAGUCCUCUCCCUCGCGACGGUGCCAGCGGCCACUCCCCUCACCGACGCGCGACGGCGACGGCAACAUCUCAUCCAAGCUGGUUCUCUGGUUCAUCGUCGAGCGCCACGAAGGGCAGCCUGAGGUAACCUGCUUAGUUCAUCUCCCCCGCCGCCUGCCCGNNNNNNNNNNNNNNNNNNNNNNNNNNNNNNNNNNNNNNNNNNNNNNNNNNNNNNNNNNNNNNNNNNNNNNNNNNNNNNNNNNNNNNNNNNNNNNNNNNNNNNNNNNNNNNNNNNNCCCCCGCCGCCUGCCCGCCGUCCUCCUCCCCGAUGCUCGAUGUCCUUGACCGCCGCCGUGGCCCGUAGCGCUGCGCCCAUCACGCGCGCCUCGUGCGACACCGGGAGGAGGAGAUCGAGCAGUUGCCUCCAUCCCUUACUGACUCUGAACCUGAUCCUAGACUCUGAACCUGAACUCUGAACCUGCAAAAUUGAGCACUAGUCUCUCUCAGCUAUCAUUCAGUGCAUCAAAUUGCUAAUUUACAGCUCUACUUGUUCUAAAAAGUUGGCAGCUCAACAUAUGCCUAAACACCACCGAUCGACCACCAUCCAAGGGCCGCUGNNNNNNNNNNNNNNNNNNNNNNNNNNNNNNNNNNNNNNNNNNNNNNNNNNNNNNNNNNNNNNNNNNNNNNNNNNNNNNNNNNNNNNNNNNNNNNNNNNNNNNNNNNNNNNNNNNNNNNNNNNNNNNNNNNNNNNNNNNNNNNNNNNNNNNNNNNNNNNNNNNNNNNNNNNNNNNNNNNNNNNNNNNNNNNNNNNNNNNNNNNNNNNNNNNNNNNNNNNNNNNNNNNNNNNNNNNNNNNNNCUCGUUCCCAACCCCGAACAUGUUAUCUCGGUCACGCAAGAUCAGGAGGUAUUGACCUUUCUACAAGUGUCGCUCUCCCGUGAAGUUUUGCUUCACGUGAGCAACUGCACCACCGUCGCCACCGGUUGGACUGCUCUGCUGGAAAGUUUUUCCUCACAANNNNNNNNNNNNNNNNNNNNNNNNNNNNNNNNNNNNNNNNNNNNNNNNNNNNNNNNNNNNNNNNNNNNNNNNNNNNNNNNNNNNNNNNNNNNNNNNNNNNCCAUCAACCGCGUUCUUUGCAAUGCUUCCACUUAGCGAUCUUCAAGGGUAGGAAGAUGCACUCCCUCUCUCUCGUUGCUAGCAUCUCCUAGAUUUAACUUGAUGACACGUAGAUUUUUUUUUUUAAUUAUUAAUACGUUCCCCAACACCGGUGUCCGGCAACAUAGCCAGCGGCCGGGUCGCGGGAAUUCGACGGGGCAUCGACCAUGGCGGGGGGGGGGCAGACGGGAGGGGGGUGNNNNNNNNNNNNNNNNNNNNNNNNNNNNNNNNNNNNNNNNNNNNNNNNNNNNNNNNNNNNNNNNNNNNNNNNNNNNNNNNNNNNNNNNNNNNNNNNNNNNNNNNNNNNNNNNNNNNNNNNNNNNNNNNNNNNNNNNNNNNNNNNNNAAAGGGAGGGCACGUCGCGAGAGGGUUUUCGGGGGAAAUGAAAUGAAAUGGGGCGUGGGGGCAGGAAGGUCGUGCUGCCUUGUGCCACCGACGGGCGGACCAGGGGUAGGACAAGCGUGCACGUUCCGCCCGUCUGUGCGGCAUCCGCGCGUUGUCCGUUUCACCUCAAACCCGGGUGAAGUUUGAGCCGAGAAUGGGUCGAAAGCGGACAGAAAACGAACAAACGUCCGUUUGCGGCCCGCUGGGCUGCCUGGUGUGUCCGUUUUGCCCCAAAAGGACGCAGGCGAACAGGAUAGGGUCACGCGCUGGAGUUUGUCUUAGUGGCAAAUAAAUGAGUGACCAAAAUCGCAUCCGGAUUGGGUAAAAUGUUAGGACAGCAGUGACGUCAGCCCGGACACUGCCUUCUUGGUUUGAUGGUUGGGCCCCCNNNNNNNNNNNNNNNNNNNNNNNNNNNNNNNNNNNNNNNNNNNNNNNNNNNNNNNNNNNNNNNNNNNNNNNNNNNNNNNNNNNNNNNNNNNNNNNNNNNNNNNNNNNNNNNNNNNNNNNNNNNNNNNNNNNNNNNNNNNNNNNNNNNNNNNNNNNNNNNNNNNNNNNNNNNNNNCCCCGCCUCGACGUCAGAGCAUCUCCAACAGCCGCGCUAAACUAGUGCCGCGCCGCAAAUUAGGCCGUUUUAGCGUGCGCGCAACGCGGCGCGUGGCUCCAGCGGGCGCGCAAAAAUGGCGCGCGCGGCAUAUGCAGUUCAGCGCGCUGGCCGAAACGCAAUCGCGCACCGCUUAUUUGUUGCGCCCCCUCCCGCGCGCUGGACUCUCGCGCGCUCGCUCUCCCACUUCCACCCCCCCCCCNNNNNNNNNNNNNNNNNNNNNNNNNNNNNNNNNNNNNNNNNNNNNNNNNNNNNNNNNNNNNNNNNNNNNNNNNNNNNNNNNNNNNNNNNNNNNNNNNNNNNNNNNNNNNNNNNNNNNNNNNNNCCGGUGCACCAGAUAUCCCCCCCCCCCCAUCCGGCCGCGCCGCCGCCGCCACCCGCGCCCCCCGGCGACCGUUCAGGCGCUUCCUCGGCCUAUCCCCGCGCCACCGCGCUUCCGCCCCACCCCCUCCUAGUCCCGCCGGCCCUCGCGCGCCUCCAUCGUCCGAGGAACAGCGCCCGAGCGCUCGCUACCGCGCCGCGCCCGCAAGGUGUUCGACAAAACGCCUACAAGGUAUGUAUUGCUCAAACUUCAUGAAUUUGGUGCAUGUUUUGAAUUGUAGUUUUUAUAAUAUAGUAUUGAACAUUGUAGAUGAGUUCGUCGUAUGAUUCUUCCGAAGAAGAAUUUGAUAUGGAAGAGAAGGAGGAUCUUGCAAUGAUCAUAGCUAUGCAUAUCAAUAAAAAACCGAAGCAUGGUGGAUCGGUUAUGGGUCGGGAGAAAAUUUGGAGAGAUAGGAUUGAUGCCCAUAACAGAUUGAUGAAGAACUAUUUCGUGGAGAAUCCCACAUACCCGGAGUCGUAUUUUCAUCGCCGGUUUAGGAUGAGCACCGACUUGUUCAGGCGCAUUGCAGAGAAACUAGCGAGCCAUGACCGGUUUUUCCAGCAAAGGAGGAAUGUUUCCGGAGAGCUCGGACAUAGCACCUUUCUGAAGGUGACAGCCGAUUUACGUAUGUUGGCAUACGAUAUCCCGGCUGAUCUAGUUGAUGAUCACUUGGCUAUGGGUGAGAACUAAACCAUCAUGUGUGUCAAGCGCUUUGCAGUGGGAAUUGUGCAAGUGUUUGGCGAGGAGUAUUUGAGAUCUCCCACUGCUGAAGACGUCCCAAGGCUAUUGGCGAUGAACAAAUCUCGCGGCUUUCCUGGCAUGCUUGGCUCAGUAGAUUGCAUGCAUUGGAGUUGGAAGAAUUGUCCAAAGGCAUGGCAUGGGCAAUUCCACGGCCAAAAAAAGGGUUCUACUAUAAUCCUUGAAGCGGUGGCCGAUCAGGAGACUUGGAUUUGGCCUGCAUUCUUUGGAAUGCCUGGAUCUUUGAAUGACAUCAAUGUUGUCAACCGGUCACUACUGAUGAAUAAGAUUGCAAAUGGUGAGUUACCACCGGUGCAGUUUGUAGCAAAUGGUCGUACGUAUAACUAUGGCUCUUAUCUAUCGAAUGGCAUCUAUCCAAAGUGGCAAACCUUCGUGAAGCCGUUGAAAAAGCCGGAAGGUAAGAAAAAUCUUGAUUUCCACAAUGCUCAGGCGGCGGCUAGAAAAGAUGUGAAGAGAGCAUUUGGGAUUUUGCAAGCCCAAUUUGCUAUUGUGAGAGGACCGGCUAGAUUUUGGGAUCAAAAAAUGCUUUGAUACAUCAUGCACGCUUGUGUGAUCAUGCACAACAUGAUCAUCGAGAAUGAGCGUGGCCAAGAUUUAGACUACUCACAGUAUGAGCUCUUGGAACAUCCCGUGCUAGUGCGACGGAGGGCUGAAAGGGUAGCCCGUUUUGUUGCCUCCUAUCAUGUCAUUCAGCGUCCCGCAACGCACAAUGAACAUCAAAAGGAUCUGAUUGAAGAGUGGUGGGCAUGGCACGGACGACAAAGAACAUGAUUUCUGCAUUCGACAUUGUAUUGUUCAUGAAGUAUUGGUUGUGUUUAUUGCAUUAUUUGUUAUACUGAACGAUAAACUAUUUGUUUGAGUUGUAAUGACUAUUUAUUGUUGAUUUAUUUUGUUUGUUUGAUCAUUUUUGCUCCUCUUUUCUAAAAUGUAUAUUUAGUUUGUGCGUGUUGCGCGCGCUGUAUUUUUGCGCGCUGUUGGAGCGGCGCGCGUGCUGCAUUAUAGCGUGGCCGUUGGAGCCAGCGCUGGCGGCCGCGCUAAACCAACCGAAGCGCGCGCGACAAACAGGUUUUUUGCGCGCGGCGCGAAGCGCGGCUGUUGAACGGAACCAUCGUAGUGGGGACGCCAUUCACUAGUGGAGAAAGGGGUAUUAGAACCGGUUGGUAAGGGCCUUUGGACCCGGAUACACAUCCGGUGCUACGUAUCCGGGACUAAAGGCCCCCCACUUUAGCACCGGUCUCUUACAAACCGGUGCUAAAGGCCUCCACGUGGGCGCCGAAAAGUGCGCACAGGCGGAGGACCUUUAGGACCGGUUGGUAACACCAACCGGUCCUAAUGCUUUUUUUUUCUUUUUUUUUCCUUUUCUUUUCAGGGUUUCCGAUUCCGUAUUUCGGUGUUUUCGUGUUCCGUAUUUUCAGGGUUUUCGUUUACGUGUUUCCGGUUCCGUAUUUCCGUUUACGUCUUUCCGAUUCCGUGUUUCCGAUUCCGUGUGUCCGUGUUCCGUUUUUUACGAACACGUAAUCGGAAACACGUAUCCGGAAACACCGAUUCCGUGUUUGCGGUUAAGUGUUUCUCCGACUCCGUGUUUGCGGUUAAAUGUUGAUGCACCAAAUAAAAGUACAUAUAUACAUGUAACACGAAGUACUGGACCGAUUAUCAUUACAUAAUUUGAAGUUCGUUUCCUAUAUAUAGCUCUAUACUUGCAUAGAGAAGGGAGCUGGCUAUUGGUUCAUAGGAUGGAAAAAUUCUCCGCCUUCAUCUAUGACUUGCGUGAGGAGAAAUCCUGCCAAUUCCUCUACAACUGCCUUGCAACGUUGGAUUGGUCUUAGCAUCGCCCGCUUUCGUUGCAGCUUUAAAAGAAGUAGAUGAAAACAAUUAAGUUAUGAACAAAACUAACAUAAUUGAUGGCAACAUAAAUAAAGUUAUGAAGAUCCGGUUACGUACCUCUAGAUUUCUGGAAGUACAGGAUUUCUCAUUGAUAAUCCUGUGAAUGUACUCGCAAACGUAGUAUCCACAAUAAUCAGUGCCCUGUGGUUGUUGCGGGACGCCCUAUAUACGAGAACAUAAUUCAGUCAAAUUAAUAAUAAUCAAGAGAAUGGUAAUGGUAUUGAAACCAGGGUACGUAGUACUACUUACUUUGUUAAUCUGAAAGUGGAGCUUGUCUGCCCAUGUACCGGGUUCUUCCUUGAUGAACAUUUGCCAAACCCUGGCCGACAAAGAAAAAUGAAUACAAGAGUUAAUUAUUACUUACUUGAUAUCAGGAAAUGAACGAAAAAGAGGCCGAUGAACGAAAGAGGCCGAUAUAUAUAUACCUUUGAAGCAUCUGACGCGCGCUCUUCCAUUUGUCAGCGUCCCAGGUUAACGGGUCCCAGACUUCAACCACUCCUUGAUCGAUUCUAAUGAUGAACAAUAUGAAGUGGGACCUGCGCACGUGUACACACGCAGUCAUGCAUACUCAUCAAUUACACUUAACAUCAGGUAAGCAAAAUGGAAUGUGUACAAGACAGUAACACUCACUUGAAUGCGUAGGGCCAAAGUAUUUCUUUUUUGGUACUUUGUCGCUUCAAAAACCUUAGCAAAUCAUCCGGUGUAUCCUUGUUUAACUUUUCUAUUGUCUCUUGAUGAAACGAAUACGGGUCAAUGAACCCAAAGUCCCAGAUUCCUGCCAGCCUGCAUUCACGAAUCUUCAUUCUGCAUAGUAGCGUACAAAAAGAAUGUCUCGUGAGUGAUAAUUAUACGGGCAAUGAACGCGAGCUUAACUAAAUAAUUAAAUUACACAAGUAAAUCACUUACAAACAGUAGCAGCUGACGAUAGCUUUGUCGGGGGCACGUUGAUUGUACAUCUGGAAAAAAUCAUUGAACCCAACCUCCACACCGUACUCUCCGAAGUAGUGUUGAUCCUGAACCGCCGCCAUGAUACAGUCUCUCUUUUGCCUUGCGGCCUCCAAGUACCAACCAUGUAAAUUCCAUAGUUGGGUUGUUAGAGCACUAGGAUUUUCGACCAGAGGCUGCUCGGGCUUAUAUUUAUAUACCACAUCAGCAAUAGCGUAACCUACGUCGCCCAUGCGUGGACCGGACACUGAAGCCUGGUCAGAUAACACCUUGAGCGGGGCAAUUGACUGUGCUUCUUGUUGUCCGAACUGGGGAACUUGUUUCCCGCAUUUCGUCUGCUCCGCCUGCUUCAUCUGUGCGGUGUGCAUCUUUUCAAUGAACCGUUCAUAGUCUGAAAGGGGCGGCGGUGGCGGCGGUUCAGGAUAAUAUAAGUUGUCGAUGGUGCGCUCAAUUUUCCACUUUGGUACGUUCUUCAGAGUUUCCUUCCAGAUGUCUGGAGGGGGCUUCAGGGGAAACCGUGCGAACCAUGCUUUGUUUUUGGCUUUCACGGCCUCGUCUAGUUCCUCCGGAGUCAUCAGGCCUGGUAACUUCGGGGGAGUCUUGACUUUAUUGGGUUUCCUUUCUCUCUUCUUGGGAGGACUCCCGUUUCUUUUGAACUACAGCUUCCGCUUUGCCGUACCCGUAGUGCGUGCAUCAGUCGGCUCACUGGAGUGCACGGGCGAUGGACACUCGGCCUCGGGCUCCCUAUGUUCGUUGUGGGGUGGACUUGGAGGUGCGUUGGGGGGUGGACUUGGAGGUGCGUUGGGGGGUGGACUUGGAAGUGCGUUGGGGGUGGACUUGGAGGUCGUGCAUUCUCUGUACGAAAGUGAAAAAACUAUUAAAAAUAGGCUUACAUGUGGUGCAACAUUCAGUAAUUGUUGGAGGUGGUGCAUAAUUGUACCUGGAGGAGUCGGUGGCCUUGGCGCCGCGUUAGGAAACACGAUGUGUUUCUUCUUCCACAAGAUGAUACCUAGCUCCAUUUCUCCCAGUGUCUUCUCGCCUUCACCUCCAGGAAUAUCAAGCUCAAUUGACUGGCAUCCCGGCGUAAUUGUUGGCAACCCGACACGAGCAUGGGAUGCUGGAAUCUGACCACCAUGGUAGGUUGCUCCAGGUUGAUUCGGUAAAGCAUAGCCUGACGCCACCAUGAAGGAUAUGUUCCCCAUUGGCAUAUGUAUCUCACAGUUUGUCUUCUCCGUGACAUCAUCCACGGGGUAGUGAGGCGCCGACGGUUCGACUGCAGGACCGUCUUGUAGCUGCAGCUGCAUGGAACCCACGCUGCUUCUAUGCUGAGAUGGGACGGCAUCUGCUACAGGAUCGUCUUCUAAUUGCUGCCUAUCAGCGUCAGGUGCAGGAUCUUCUUCCUCCUCUUCAGUGUCAGGUACAGGGUGUCCCCCUUUCUUCAAGAGAAACGACACCUUUUCUUCUAAUGUCGCUAUCCGUUCCAGCGCCUUCCUCUUGCUUCUACCACGGCUUCUGUAAGUGCCAAGGUCCGCCGGAAACCCUUGGUUCCACGGGGUAGUGGCUCCAAAGCCUCGUGUUCGUCCCCACUUUUCGGGGUUCCCGAGUGCCUUCGUCAACUCGUCGUUCUCUCUAUCGGGAACAAAAGUUCCUUUUCGAACAGCUUCUAUUGCCUUCUCUAGAUCUGAUACGACUUGUCUUAUUUUUUCCGACCAUGGUCCCUCCGCAACAAUCAUCCCAGUCUCAGCGUCCAACGUUGCCCCAUGCGCGAACAACCAGAACUUGGACCUAUCGGGCCAGUCAUGUGUCUGUGGAAUGAUAUUUCUUUUCAAAAGCGCAUCUUCAUAGCGUCGCCACCUAGGCAGGGCAGUCAUGUAGCCACCUGACCCCAAAAUAUGGUGAUAUUUCUUCUUCUUCGCAUUCUCCGUAUUUGUGGCUGAUCGGGAUGUAAAGACACCCGAUUUCUUGUACGCCUUAAAAUCAGGCCAAGCGUCUCUUAUCUUCACUAGGUGCCCAGUGAAAACUGGACCUUCGUCCUUAUAUUUCUUCCACAAGUCUUUCUUCCACCUCUGGAAUUGUGUGGCCAUCUUCUUCAAAGCCCACUCCUCGACUUUCUUCUUCUUAUCUUCCGCUAUGCUGAAAUUUAGCCAGACCGUGUCGCAAAGCACUCUUUUCAAUCUGUCAUCGACAUAAGUAGCUCCAACAUUGGCGCCGGUCUUCGUCUUAUUCCAUUCUAUUAAGUUGAUCGGGACCAGGUCUCUUACAACAACUCCGCACUGAUUUACAAAUUUGCGAUAAGUUUCUGGGGGUUCCAAUGGUUUGCCAUCAGCAGCAACUUUAUCGAUCGAGUACCUUGCAGUAUCUUUCAACCUUGCGGCCGGGCCUCGUUUCGACUUUGUCUCAGUACUUGCGCUAGGUGUUCCGGAGGGCACCUAAACGGGAAAAUAAUGAUUCGUUAGUAAGUGCAAUACAAAUUAAUUGUUGCGUCAACGGUGACUUGAGAUAUACAUUGGCAGAGUUUGUUCUGGAGGGCACUUCUUCAUCUACUACAUCUUCUAUAUUCUCAGCUCCGUCACCGGAGUCGUUCAAAAAUUGAUUGCUAAACGCAUGCCCACCGUCGUCAUCAUGAUAUAUGGCCGUUGCAUCUUCAAAAAUCAUCUGGCACAUGUAUCUUUCCUUCUCCGCCUCACCCAUUUCCGCGAGCUGAUCGGCGUGCUGAUCAUGUGGUUCUUGGGGAUCCAUAGCUCAACACCUGCUAGUAACAAGAAUUUAACUUAGCAAAAUUAUUUACGGAAAAGUUUUACGGAACCGGAAAUUUUACGGAAAAGUUUUACGGAAUCGUCAGAGUCGUAAUCAUCGCAAAGUUUUACGGAAUCGUCGGAAAGUUUUACGGAGUCGUCGGAAUCGUCGGAAACUUUCCCCGCAGUUAUGGAACCGUCGGAAUCGUAGGAAAGUUUUACAGAAUUGUAAUCGUCGGAAAGUUUUACGGAAUCGUCGGAAUCGUCGGAAACUUUCCCCGCAGUUAUGGAAUCGUCGGAAUCGUAGGAAAGUUUUACGGAAUUGUAAUCGUCGGAAAGUUUUACGAAAUCGUCGGAAUCGUCGGUUUAGGGUUUUAAUGAAUCGUCGGUUUAGGGUAAACUAUGAAUCGUCGAAAUCAUCGGAAUCGUCGGUUUAGGGUUUUACGGAAUCGUCGGUUUAGGGUAAACUAUGAAUCGUCGGAAUCGUCGGUUUAGGGUAAACUAUGAAUCGUCGGAAUCGUCGGAAUCGUCGGUUUAGGGUUUUACGGAAUCAUCGGAAUCGUCGUUUUAGGGUAAACUAUGAAUCGUCGGAAUCGUCGGAAUCGUCGGUUUAGGGUUUUACGGAAUCGUCGGAAUAUGAUGAUGGCGGCUUCACGUAACUUUUUUUUUAUAGGAUGUCCUUACGUGAAUAUACGAAAAUAUGGAUAUACCUUUGACGACGGUGCGGCGAAGAGGCGGCGAGGAGGCGACGUUGCGGCGAGGAGGUGGCGCGAGGAUCGGCGAGGAGGUGGCGCGAGGAGGCCGCGCGCGAGGAGGCGGCGAGGAUCGGCGAGGAGGCGGCGGCCGGCGCGGCGAGGAGGCGACGGCCCGGCGAGGAGGCGGCGNNNNNNNNNNNNNNNNNNNNNNNNNNNNNNNNNNNNNNNNNNNNNNNNNNNNNNNNNNNNNNNNNNNNNNNNNNNNNNNNNNNNNNNNNNNNNNNNNNNNUUCCACCAAAUAAUCCAACUAGCAUCAACUACAAAGAGUAAUCAACACUACUAGCAACCUUACAAGUACCAAUCGGAGUUGCGAGACGAAGAUUGGUUACAAGAGAUGAACUAGGAAUUGGAGAGGAGAUGGUGUUGAUGAAGAUGUUGAUGAAGAUGCCUCCCCUCCGACGAGAGGAGUGUUGGUGAUGACGAUGGCGGCGAUUUCCCCCUCCGGGAGGGAAGUUUCCCUGGCAGGAUCGUCCUGCCGGAGCUCUAGAUUGGAUAUGCUCAAGUUCCGCCUCGUGGCGGCGGCGAAACCACGAAAAAGCUGUCUCUUGAUUUUUUCUGGACCAGGACGCUUCAUAUAGCAAAAGAGGGGGGCUAGUGGGCCGUGAGGGAGCCCACAAGCCCCCACUCCGCCACCAGGGGGGUGGCGGUGUUAGGGCUUGUGGCGCCCUGGCAGCCCCCCUCCGGUAGUUCUUUCGCCCAGUAUUUUUUAUAGAAUCCAUAAAAAAUCCACGUAACUUUUCAGGGCAUUUGGAGAUGUGCAUAAUAGUGGACUAGGAUUUGCUCCUUUUCCGGUCCAGAAUUCCAGCUGCCUGAAUUCUCCCUCNNNNNNNNNNNNNNNNNNNNNNNNNNNNNNNNNNNNNNNNNNNNNNNNNNNNNNNNNNNNNNNNNNNNNNNNNNNNNNNNNNNNNNNNNNNNNNNNNNNNGUGGGUUGCCCCCCCCGGUGAACACCCGGAACCCAUUCGUCAUUCCCGGUACAUUCCCGAUAACUCUGAAAACCUUCCGAUAAUCAAAUGAGGUCAUCCUAUAUAUCAAUCUUCAUUUCCGGACCUAUUCCGGAAACCCUCGUGACGUCCAUGAUCUCAUCCGGGACUCCGAACAACAUUCGGUAACCANNNNNNNNNNNNNNNNNNNNNNNNNNNNNNNNNNNNNNNNNNNNNNNNNNNNNNNNNNNNNNNNNNNNNNNNNNNNNNNNNNNNNNNNNNNNNNNNNNNNNNNNNNNNNNNNNNNNNNNNNNNNNNNNNNNNNNNNNNNNNNNNNNNNNNNNNNNNNNNNNNNNNNNNNNNNNNNNNNNNNNNNNNNNNNNNNNNNNNNNNNNNNNNNNNNNNNNNNNNNNNNNNNNNNNNNNNNNNNNNNNAGAACUAUGUAGACAUGACCCGAGAGACUCCUCGGUCAAUAUCCAAUAGCGGGACCUGGAUGCCCAUAUUGGAUCCUACAUAUUCUACGAAGAUCUUAUCGUUUGAACCUCAGUGCCAAGGAUUCAUAUAAUCCCGUAUGUCAUUCCCUUUGUCCUUCGGUAUGNNNNNNNNNNNNNNNNNNNNNNNNNNNNNNNNNNNNNNNNNNNNNNNNNNNNNNNNNNNNNNNNNNNNNNNNNNNNNNNNNNNNNNNNNNNNNNNNNNNNNNNNNNNNNNNNNNNNNNNNNNNNNNNNNNNNNNNNNNNNNNNNNNNNNNNNNNNNNNNNNNNNNNNNNNNNNNNNNNNNNNNNNNNNNNNNNNNNNNNNNNNNNNNNNNNNNNNNNNNNNNNNNNNNNNNNNNNNNNNNNNNNNNNNNNNNNNNNNNNNNNNNNNNNNNNNNNNNNNNNNNNNNNNNNNNNNNNNNNNNNNNNNNNNNNNNNNNNNNNNNNNNNNNNNNNNNNNNNNNNNNNNNNNNNNNNNNNNNNNNNNNNNNNNNNNNNNNNNNNNNNNNNNNNNNNNGGAGAUACCUGUAGAGCAUCUUUAUAGUCACCCAGUUACGUUGCGACGUUUGAUACACACAAAGUAUUCCUCCGGUGUCAGUGAGUUAUAUGAUCUCAUGGUCAUAGGAACAAAUACUUGACACGCAGAAAACAGUAGCAACAAAAUGACACGAUCAACAUGCUACGUCUAUUAGUUUGGGUCUAGUCCAUCANNNNNNNNNNNNNNNNNNNNNNNNNNNNNNNNNNNNNNNNNNNNNNNNNNNNNNNNNNNNNNNNNNNNNNNNNNNNNNNNNNNNNNNNNNNNNNNNNNNNNNNNNNNNNNNNNNNNNNNNNNNNNNNNNNNNNNNNNNNNNNNNNNNNNNNNNNNNNNNNNNNNNNNNNNNNNNNNNNNNNNNNNNNNNNNNNNNNNNNNNNNNNNNNNNNNNNNNNNNNNNNNNNNNNNNNNNNNNNNNNNNNNNNNNNNNNNNNNNNNNNNNNNNNNNNNNNNNNNNNNNNNNNNNNNNNNNNNNNNNNNNNNNNNNNNNNNNNNNNNNNNNNNNNNUAGCAUGGAUAAUAAAUGAUUAUCUUGAUACAUGAAUUAUAAUAAUAACUAUAUUUAUUAUUGCCUCUAGGGCAUAAUUCCAACAGUCUCCCACUUGCACUAGAGUCAAUAAUCUAGCCCGCACAUCAUCAUGCGAAUUACAUUGUAAUAAAUCUAACACCCCUACAAUUCUGGUGUUGAUCAUGCUUUGCCCGUGGAAGAGGUUUAGUCAACGGGUCUGCUACAUUCAGAUCCGUGUGCACUUUGCAUAUAUUUACGUCCUCCCCUUCGAUGUAGUCGCGGAUGAGGUUGAAGCGUCGUUUGAUGUGUCUGGACUUCUUGUGAAACCGUGGUUCCUUUGCUAGGGCAAUGGCACCCGUGUUGUCACAGAACAAGGUUAUUGGAUUCAGUGCGCUUGGCACCACUCCAAGAUCCGUCAUGAACUGCUUCAUCCAGACACCCUCCUUAGCUGCCUCCGAGGCAUCCAUGUACUCCGCUUCACAUGUAGAAUCUGCUACGACGCUCUGCUUGGAACUGCACCAGCUUACCGCACCCCCAUUAAGAAUAAAUAUGUAUCUGGUUUGCGACUUAGAGUCGUCCGGAUCUGUGUCAAAGCUUGCAUCGACGUAACCUUUUACGGCGAGCUCUUCGUCACCUCCAUACACGAGAAACAUCUCCUUAGUCCUUUUCAGGUACUUCAGGAUAUUCUUGACCGCCGUCCAGUGAUCCACUUCUGGAUUACUCUGGAACCUACCUGCCAUACUUAUGGCCAGGCUAACGUCCGGUCUAGUGCACAGCAUUGCAUACAUGAUAGAACCUAUGGCUGAAGCAUAGGGGACGGUGCUCAUAUGCUCUCUAUCCUCAUCAGUUGCUGGGCACUGAGUCUUACUCAAUCUCGUACCUUGUAAAACUGGCAAGAACCCUUUCUUGGACUGUUCCAUUUUGAACCUCUUCAAAACUUUAUCAAGGUAUAUGCUUUGUGAAAGUCCUAUCAGGCGUUUUGAUCUAUCCCUGUAGAUCUUAAUGCCUAGAAUGUAAGCAGCUUCUCCUAGGUCCUUCAUAGAGAAACUUUUAUUCAAGUAAUCCUUUAUGCUCUCCAAAAACUCUACGUUGUUUCCAAUCAGCAAUAUGUCAUCCACAUAUAAUAUUAGAAACGCCACAAAGCUCCCACUCACUUUCUUGUAAAUACAAGAUUCUCCAACCACUUGUAUAAACCCAAAUGCUUUGAUCACCUCAUCAAAACGUUUGUUCCAACUCCGAGAUGCUUGCACCAGUCCAUAAAUGGAUCGCUGGAGCUUGCACACCUUGUUAGCAUUCUUAUGAUCGACAAAACCUUCGGGUUGCAUCAUAUACAACUCUUCCUUAAGGAAACCGUUAAGGAACGCCGUUUUGACAUCCAUUUGCCAGAUUUCAUAAUCGAAAAAUGCAGCUAUUGCUAACAUGAUUCUGACGGACUUAAGAAUCCAUACGGGUGAGAAUGUCUCAUCGUAGUCAACUCCUUGAACUUGUGAAAAACCCUUUGCCACAAGUCGAGCUUUAUAAACGGUCACAUUGCCGUCAGCGUCCGUCUUCCUCUUAAAGAUCCUUUUGUUCUGAAUAGCCUUGCGACCCUCAGGUAGUACUUCCAAAGUCCACACUUUGUUCUCAUACAUGGAUCCUAUCUCGGACUUCAUGGCUUCUAGCCAUUUGUUGGAAUCUGGGCCCACCAUCGCUUCUUCAUAAUUUGCAGGUUCAUUGUUGUCUAACAACAUGAUUGACAAGACGGGAUUACCGUACCACUCUGGAGCAGCACGUGGUCUCGUUGACCUGCGUGGUUCGACAGAAACUUGAACUGGAGUUUCAUGAUCAUCAUCAUUAACUUCCUCCUCAACCGGCGUCGCAACGACAGAGGUUUCCCCUUGCCCUGCGCCACCAUCUAGAGGGAUGAGAGGUUCGACAACCUCAUCAAGUUCUAUCUUCCUCCCACUCAAUUCUCUGGAGAGAAACUCCUUCUCGAGAAAAGCUCCGUUUUUAGCAACAAACACUUUGCCUCGGAUUUGAGAUAGAAGGUGUACCCAACUGUCUCUUUUGGGUACCCUAUGAAGAUGCACUUUUCCGCUUUGGGUUCCAGUUUUUCAGGCUGAAGAUUUUUGACAUAAGCAUCACAUCCCCAAACUUUAAGAAACGACAACUUUGGCCUUUUUCCAUACCACAGUUCAUAUGGUGUCGUCUCAACGGAUUUUGAUGGUGCCCUAUUUAAAGUGAAUGCAGUUGUUUCUAAUGCAUAACCCCAAAACGAUAACGGCAAAUCGGUAAGAGACAUCAUAGAUCGCACCUCUCUAAUAAAGUACGAUUACGACGUUCGGACACACCAUUACGCUGUGGUGUUCCAGGCGGUGUCAACUGUGAAACAAUUCCACAUUGUCUUAAGUGAGCACCAAACUCGAAACUCAGAUAUUCACCCCCACGAUCAGACCGUAGGAACUUGAUCUUCUUGUUACGAUAAUUUUCAACUUCACUCUGAAAUUCCUUGAACUUUUCAAAUGUUUCAGACUUGUGCUUCAUUAAGUAGACAUAACCAUAUCUACUCAAAUCGUCAGUGAAGGUGAGAAAAUAACGAUAUCCGCCGCGUGCCUCCACGCUCAUCGGACCGCACACAUCGGUAUGUAUGAUUUCCAACAAGUCACUUGCACGCUCCAUUGUUCCGGAGAACGGAGUUUUAGUCAUCUUGCCCAUGAGGCAUGGUUCGCAUGUGUCAAGUGAAUCAAAGUCAAGUGACUCCAAAAGUCCAUCGGCAUGGAGUUUCUUCAUGCGUUUUACACCAAUAUGACCUAAGCGGCAGUGCCAAAAAAAUAUGGCGCAAUCAUUGUUAACUCUAACUCUUUUGGUCUCAAUGUUAUGUAUGUGUGUAUCACUAUCAAGAUUCAAUAUGAACAAUCCUCUCACGUUGGGUGCAUGACCAUAAAAGAUGUUACUCAUAGAAAUAGAACAACCAUUAUUCUCUGACUUAAAAGAGUAACCGUCUCGCAAUAAACAAGAUCCAGAUAUAAUGUUCAUGCUCAACGCAGGCACUAAAUAACAAUGAUUCAAGUUCAGAACUAAUCCUGAUGGUAACUGAAGUGAAACUGUGCCGACGGCGAUUGCAUCAACCUUGGAACCAUUUCCUACGCGCAUCGUCACUUCAUCUUUCGCUAGCCUUCGUCUAUUCCGCAGUUCCUGUUUCGAGUUGCAAAUAUGAGCAACAGAACCGGUAUCGAAUACCCAGACACUACUACGAGAGCCGGUUAAGUACACAUCAAUAACAUGUAUAUCAAAUAUACCUGAUUUUUCUUUGACCGCCUUCUUAUCAGCCAGAUACUUGGGGCAAUUGCGCUUCCAAUGACCCAUACCCUUGCAACAGUAACACUCUGUUUCAGGCUUAGGUCCAGCUUUGGGUUUCUUCGUCGGAUUGGCAACAGGCUUGCCGCUCUUCUUUGAAUUACCCUUCUUGCCUUUGCCUUUCUCUUGAAACUAGUGGUCUUAUUCAUCAUCAACACUUGAUGCUCUUUACGGAGUUCAGACUCUGCGACUUUCAGCAUCGCAAACAACUCGCUGGGAGACUUGUUCAUCCCUUGCAUGUUGUAGUUCAACACAAAGCCUUUAUAGCUUGGCGGCAGUGAUUGAAGGAUUCUGUCAGUGAUAGCUUCUUGCGGGAGUUCAAUCCCCAGCUCAGCUAGACGGUUUGAGUACCCAGACAUUUUGAGCACAUGUUCACUGACAGACGAGUUNNNNNNNNNNNNNNNNNNNNNNNNNNNNNNNNNNNNNNNNNNNNNNNNNNNNNNNNNNNNNNNNNNNNNNNNNNNNNNNNNNNNNNNNNNNNNNNNNNNNNNNNNNNNNNNNNNNNNNNNNNNNNNNNNNNNNNNNNNNNNNNNNNNNNNNNNNNNNNNNNNNNNNNNNNNNNNNNNNNNNNNNNNNNNNNNNNNNNNNNNNNNNNNNNNNNNNNNNNNNNNNNNNNNNNNNNNNNNNNNNNNNNNNNNNNNNNNNNNNNNNNNNNNNNNNNNNNNNNNNNNNNNNNNNNNNNNNNNNNNNNNNNNNNNNNNNNNNNNNNNNNNNNNNUGAGUAGUCCUCCUUACGUGCUAACCAAGCGUUCUUAACAUCCUGAUCAGCCGUAGCGGGUGGUUCAUCUCCUAGCGCAGCAUUAAGGACAUAAUCCUUCUUCCCAGCUUGUAAGAUUAGCUUAAGAUUACGAGCCCAGUCUACAAAGUUUCUUCCAUCAUCUUUCAACUUAGCUUUCUCUAGGAACGUAUUAAAAUUCAGGGUGACUGUCGCGUGAGCCAUGAUCUACAACACAAAUAUUUUCAAAGUGGACUUAGACCAUGUUCAAGAUAAUUAGAGUUNNNNNNNNNNNNNNNNNNNNNNNNNNNNNNNNNNNNNNNNNNNNNNNNNNNNNNNNNNNNNNNNNNNNNNNNNNNNNNNNNNNNNNNNNNNNNNNNNNNNNNNNNNNNNNNNNNNNNNNNNNNNNNNNNNNNNNNNNNNNNNNNNNNNNNNNNNNNNNNNNNNNNNNNNNNNNNNNNNNNNNNNNNNNNNNNNNNNNNNNNNNNNNNNNNNNNNNNNNNNNNNNNNNNNNNNNNNNNNNNNNNNNNNNNNNNNNNNNNNNNNNNNNNNNNNNNNNNNNNNNNNNNNNNNNNNNNNNNNNNNNNNNNNNNNNNNNNNNNNNNNNNNNNNNNNNNNNNNNNNNNNNNNNNNNNNNNNNNNNNNNNNNNNNNNNNNNNNNNNNNNNNNNNNNNNNNNNNNNNNNNNNNNNNNNNNNNNNNUGUUUUGCACCCGUUGUAUGUGAACGUUGAGUCUAUCACACCCGAUCAUCACGUGGUGUCUCGAAACGACGAACUGUAGCAACGGUGCACAGUCGGGGAGAACACAAUUUCGUCUUGAAAUUUUUAGUGAGAGAUCACCUCAUAAUGCUACCGUCGUUCUAAGCAAAAUAAGGUGCAUAAAAGGAUUAACAUCACAUGCAAUUCAUAAGUGACAUGAUAUGGCCAUCAUCACGUGCUCCUUGAUCUCCAUCACCAAAGCACCGGCACGAUCUUCUUGUCACCGGCGCCACACCAUGAUCUCCAUCAACGUGUCGCCAUCGGGGUUGUCGUGCUACUCAUGCUAUUACUACUAAAGCUACAUCCUAGCAAAAUAGUAAACGCAUCUGCAAGCANNNNNNNNNNNNNNNNNNNNNNNNNNNNNNNNNNNNNNNNNNNNNNNNNNNNNNNNNNNNNNNNNNNNNNNNNNNNNNNNNNNNNNNNNNNNNNNNNNNNNNNNNNNNNNNNNNNNNNNNNNNNNNNNNNNNNNNNNNNNNNNNNNNNNNNNNNNNNNNNNNNNNNNNNNNNNNNNNNNNNNNNNNNNNNNNNNNNNNNNNNNNNNNGACGUGCAAGUCGAUAUUAUCUAUUACAACAUGAUCAUCUCAUACAUCCAAUAUAUCACAUCACAUCGUUGGCCAUAUCACAUCACAAGCAUACCCUGCAAAAACAAGUUAGACGUCCUCUAAUUUUGUUGUUGCAUGUUUUACGUGGUGACCAUGGGUAUCUAGUAGGAUCGCAUCUUACUUACGCAAACACCACAACGGAGAUAUAUGAGUUGCUAUUGAACCUCAUCCAAGGACCUCCUCGGUCAAAUCCGAUUCAACUAAAGUUGAAGAAACUGACAGUUGCCAGUCAUCUUUGAGCAACGGGGUUACUCGUAGCGAUGAAACCAGUCUCUCGUAAGCGUACGAGUAAUGUCGGUCCAAGCCGCUUCAAUCCAACAAUACCGCGGAAUCAAGAAAACACUAAGGAGGGCAGCAAAACGCACAUCAUCGCCCACAAAAACUUUUGUGUCCUACUCGAGAAGACAUCUACGCAUACACCUAGCUCAUGAUGCCACUGUUGGGGAACGUCGCAUGGGAAACAAAAAAUUUCCUACGCGCACGAAGACCUAUCAUGGUGAUGUCCAUCUACGAGAGGGGAUGUUUGAUCUACGUACCCUUGUAGACCGUACAGCAGAAGCGUUAGUGAACGCGGUUGAUGUAGUGGAACGUCCUCACGUCCCUCGAUCCGCCCCGCGAACNNNNNNNNNNNNNNNNNNNNNNNNNNNNNNNNNNNNNNNNNNNNNNNNNNNNNNNNNNNNNNNNNNNNNNNNNNNNNNNNNNNNNNNNNNNNNNNNNNNNCUAGUUUGCAUGCAUGCUGAACUCUUCAAAGACGUUCCCUACCUUACAAAAUCAAGUUCGGAAAAUGUCUGUCCUUUUUCCACCACAACAGCGACGGAACGUGUAAUUCCGUUUGAAAAUGGUGAUACUGGACAGGUACAUAAAUAUGCAAGAGUACCAAUGCUGGAAGCUAAAGCAGCGAGACACCUAAAGCUUAAUACACCAUUUUCCCACAAAUACUGUGAUGAAGACGAUGAGGAGCCUCUGCUUGGUCGCGCCGCUGUUGCUAUGGAUGGCAACGGUGCGAGCAUCCGCUGGCGUGCAAGGAAGCCAGGCCGGGAACAGGAGUGAUCUUCCCUCCCUGGCCGGCUGUCAGANNNNNNNNNNNNNNNNNNNNNNNNNNNNNNNNNNNNNNNNNNNNNNNNNNNNNNNNNNNNNNNNNNNNNNNNNNNNNNNNNNNNNNNNNNNNNNNNNNNNNNNNNNNNNNNNNNNNNNNNNNNNNNNNNNNNNNNNNNNNNNNNNNNNNNNNNNNNNNNNNNNNNNNNNNNNNNNNNNNNNNNNNNNNNNNNNNNNNNNNNNNNNNNNNNNNNNNNNNNNNNNNNNNNNNNNNNNNNNNNNNNNNNNNNNNNNNNNNNNNNNNNNNNNNNNNNNNNNNNNNNNNNNNNNNNNNNNNNNNNNNNNNNNNNNNNNNNNNNNNNNNNNNNNNNNNNNNNNNNNNNNNNNNNNNNNNNNNNNNNNNNNNNNNNNNNNNNNNNNNNNNNNNNNNNNNNNNNNNNNNNNNNNNNNNNNNNNNNNNNNNNNNNNNNNNNNNNNNNNNNNNNNNNNNNNNNNNNNNNNNNNNNNNNNNNNNNNNNNNNNNNNNNNNNNNNNNNNNUACGAACAAGACGGUGAGUCAGUGCAAUAGUACAUGCCCUGACGAAGACAUCACGGAUAAGGUGGUCAGCCUCAGGCAGGACUGCAACGGUACAGGAUGUUGCUCCACCCAUCUUAGAUCCGAGUCUAC
This 102686-nucleotide long non-coding RNA is filed under the name Hordeum vulgare. RNAcentral's name for it is "long non-coding RNA (HVUL_LNC014581)". The record is from RNAcentral. Lineage: Eukaryota; Viridiplantae; Streptophyta; Magnoliopsida; Poales; Poaceae.